ACAACUUUAGCUCUCGUAACCCGGAACCACUGCCUUUUCCCACAACAAAAUUACACAACGUCUGAAGACUAGUCAACCUACCAAUUCCUACUGGCAUUUCCUCCAACGACUUCGUAUUUGAAUUCUUAAGAUGAUGCAAUUUGGCGAGGUUUCCCAUGUCUGCACACAACUUCUUCAGCCGAUCACAAUCUUCCAACAAAAGACUAUGCAAAUUGUAAAGCUUGUUGACUGAUUCAGGCAGAGUUCUAAUCUCAGUUGUAGACAGGUUAAGGUACCUUAAAUACCUCAAAUCACCAAUUGAAUCAGGCAGCUCAGGGAUGCAGUAUCCACGCAAAGAGAAGACCCUCAAGCGUCGGAGUUUGAGCAACUUAGGAAGAAUGCUAGGAGCCAAGAAGCCAGGCGAACUUUUUGUCAACAUUACUGGUAAAAAAGUUCUCAAAUGCUGGAUAUCAUACAAGUCCCCAAACCUUUUACCGCCAUCAAAAUAUUCAGGAAUGUAUGAUAGAUGACGAAGAUUUUCGGAAAAACUUUGCUGCUUGUAAAUUUCUGAGGUAUACUCCAUUGUGAAGUAUAUCUCCCCCGCAGCCCAACGGGCAAGGUCAUUGAUAAGAUCGUGCAUCACAAAUCGUGAUGUAUUGUUGCUUAAUUGCUGGAAAAAAGAUCUUGAACGUAGCUCUUGAAAGAACUUUCGACCUAGAACUUCGUUAGGAUUCCCACUCUCUUUAUGAACCAAGAAACCCGAAGCACUCCAUAAUAAAAUUAUCUCCUCCUCUUCAAAUUCAUAAUCCUUCGGAAACAACGAGCAGUAUGCAAAGCAUUGUUUCAAAAUUGGAGGAAGAUAAUAAUAGCUCACUGCAAGAGCUGGUAUAAUGGGACAUCUAUCUUCUGGUAAUUCCCAUAUCUUGCUACUGAGCACAUCUUCCCACACACCUCUGUCAUGUUCUCCACAUAAAAGUCCUCCCAGUGUUUUUGCUGCCAAGGGCAAGCCAUUGCAUUUGAUCACUAUCUUCUUACCAAUGUCCUCCAAUGACUUGUGUGAACUGAAAUCUCUUGUCCCCAAAGAGUGCUGAGCAAACACAGACAGACAAUCCUCAGUUGACAAGUUUUUCAAUUCAUAAGCUUGAUCCGGCCUCAUGAUUUUUGCAACCUGUUGAUUGCGAGUAGUGACAACAAUCUUACUUCCCUGUGCGCCAGCUUCAAACGGACGGCUCAUGUCAACCCAGUCAUUGUAAUUCUCAUUCCAAACGUCGUCUAAAACGAGCAAAAAUUUCUUUUGAGAUAACUUCUUCUUCAGCUCCUCUUGAAGCAAAUUUAAAUCACUGUCAUCAAUAGUCUGCUUGGUAAUGGAUCUUAGAAUUGUUUUUGUUAGCCCCUUAACGUCGAAAUCCUCAGAGACACAAGUCCAUGCCUUGAGAUCAAAAUGAUCCUGCACUCGCUUAUCAUUGUAGACAAGCUGAGCAAGAGUGGUUUUGCCCAGGCCGCCCAUACCUAUAAUAGGAAUAACAGAGAAUCCACCAUCGUUGCUUAAAUCAUCCCUCAACAGCAGUUCAACAACAUCCUUCUUUUCUGUUUCCCUGCCAUAUACUUUGGCUUCAGUCACUAAAGAGGUUGUCUCCAGCCUUUGACUGGCUUUGUUGGACCCUCCAGCUGAACUUUCUUUCAAAUCUAGCAAGUUUUUCUGUGUCACAAUUUCUUGAAAUCUGCUGUUGAUCUCUUUGAUUUUGGACAUCAAGCCAUAAUCGAACUGAAUCGAUUGUGGAGUAAAAGUGGUGCAGCAAGCAGGAAUGAGCUUCCGAAACUUACUUGUUCUGGCACGACUGCUACUGGGUUGAUCAUGAGCAGCAGCUGGUUCUCCAUUUCCAAGCAGCAACAUCCUCCGGAAAGCCUCAGUUUGAAACUCAUCCAACAAGUCUUCAACAUCAUAAGCCAAGUUCUGAAGCUUGCCAAGCCACUUCUUCACAGACCGAUUAGUUGUCUUCUUCUCCUCAGCAUCAUCAAGCACCGCCUUGAUCAUCUCCAACAUAUUCUCCCACUUCAUUAGAUAGUCUUGGAUCUUCUCUUGGCGUGCAAAAAACAGAAUCCCCUCUGAAGCUAACUUAUUGACCAGCAAAUCAACAGAUGCCGUAAGGAUUGCCUCUCCGAUGAUCGACAUUUUUUUUCUUUUUUUUGGGCAAAGGAAGAAAGGAGCAGAAUUAUGGGUUAUGGAAAGCAGAAUGAGAAUAUUGAACGGGUGAGAAAAUGGAUAAUUAAGCGGAAUGAGUUUGUGAUUGUGAAGGGUCUGGUACAGCAAGCUUAGUAGAAAUCACGCGUUUGUACUUUAUUGACCAAUGACUAAAUAAUUUGGCAAUGCACCCACCACCACCACUUGGUGAGCAAAAUGAAAAAGUUUAAUAAGUGGAGGGGUCCAGCAAAAUACGACGUAAAAUGUGGCAAGUCUCCCCACUUGUUGUUCGUUGCAGCUAAGAAAAGAAAAAACAGAGCCCACCACCCAUUAAUAAUUUAGCAAAUCACCAAUCAUCACAAAAUUCCAUUAGAUAUUCGUCGAUCAAGUAGUUAAUCCAGUGUCUGCUACGUAGAGCCUUCACUUUACAAAUCUUCAACUCAUAAACCAAGUUAAAUCAAGACGUUUCUCUCUCUGUAUAUAUUUUUUUUAACUCCUAAAACGUUUCUUUUUAGAAAUAUAUUACUUUAUUCAUCUAAUAUGUUAUCUAACAAAUAGACACAGAUGAAAUCACUCUAAAGUGAAGAUGAAAGGGGAAAAAAAAAACAUUCCAACCACCAAUAAUUUAGCAAGCGUCACUUUUAUUCCACCAAAGUGUAAAUAAAGCCAGCCCCCACCACCAUCGAUAAUUUUGCAAGCUUCACACGCUUGUUGUCUUCUCCUUGACGAACUGGACGGGGUGGACCAAGAAUCAAUGAAAGAAUUUUAAAAAUAAUAAUAAAAGAAAAACAUAAACAUUUUGGACUCAGAGUAGAACCGUAAUUAAUGCUAAAAUUUACUCCGCUAACGUUUUCAAAAUAUUGUUCUUUACAAUUGUACAGCAAAUAAGACUAAGUUUUGGACAUUUUCAUAUUCACUUACUUUCAAAAGCAGUAUUUCGAAACAUUUUACAGAAUCAAGUAACAGUUAUAUAACGAGAAAAGUGCAAAGUUGUGUAAUUCUAAUGUUUAUUUUAUCACUGACACUCAGAUCAUUUUUUAUUUGGGUCGCCAACUCGCCAAUGAACCCAUGAUUGAAUAAGUGUUUAGAAAGAAAAUCAAUAAAAAACAGUUUUUUUUUUGUCGUCGAAAUAUAGUAAGUGAGAAAGAUUAUUCUGUUUUUUUUGUUAAUUAGGUUAGUAAUUAUGAUUGAGUGACUCAGAACUAUAUUCUAGAUUGAGAAUCAAUGGUUCUCCCACACUGAGAGGCUGUAAGUUUAAGAUUGUCGUUUGCUAUUUCAUCAACAAGAGAACACUUGAAUUUAUUAAAAAGAGAAGGCCAUAAAAGUUUUCUUUUAUGAGAAAUGUAUCUGAUCAUUCCUUUUUACUUGAAAAUUUCAUAUAUAAAAACUCAUUAAUAAAUGACAGAAUAUACAUAAAUUAUUAAUUCAUUUGAUAGUUGAUUAUCGAAGGACAUGUGACCCAUGGGAGCAUGCAGACUAUAAAAUAAUUCUUUUUUUUAUUAAACAAAAAAUCGGUGAUGUUGAAAAGCAAUAUUAAUUCGACUGAUAAUUGGGGUGAACAUUCAUAAAAAGAAUGCCGUAUGAAACUAAAUUAUUAAUUCGUUUGACAUGUGACCCACAAUAAAUAGUUAAAUUUGGCGGCAACAAUAAUUACAAGACGAACUUAAAGCAGCGCAUAGGUUUUUCUUAAAAAUACAUAAACAAUUCGAUAUUUGAAAUUCUAAUAUCUCAAUAAUCUAGUUAUCCUGUAUUUAGAUCCACAUACAAUUUCUUUUUUUCUUUUUUCUGAUUUCCAAUCGUUACCAAAAGAAAAUAUUUAGUGAUCCCUUUUAUCAACUUGGUUUUAUUGACUUUCUUCCAAUCAUAGAAGUGAAAAGAGAAACAGAGGCCAGCACCAAUAAGUGUUGUGUUACCAGAUUCUGUAAAGACAAAAUCAGUGCCCAGCAAAAAGAAGCAAUGUUUUCGUUAUAUGCUGCUUCCUAUUUAGUACAUGCAUAUAAAGAUAUGCACGUGCACAUGCAGCACAUCUAUCUAAAAUUUAAAAAAAGUAAUUAGAAAUACAGGAAUUAUGGUAGAAAUAUAACAGGAAUAAGAGUGAAAUUACAAUUUUAAAAUUUGGGAGAAAUGAAAUGCGAUAUUUUUUUUAUGAAUAAAAUAAUUUAAUUUUUUUUAAUUCUACCAGCAAAAACCAUUAACUUAUCAAGUUAUUGGUUUCAUUCACAGUUAACAGUCGGUUUCUUAGUUUCAUUCCUUAAUUCUACAAGAAAAAAACAGAAUACUUGACAUUUACUAUUUGACAAUUUUUAAGAAAUGUCAAGCAUAUAUGACAUUUUGUGAAAAACUGAGUAAUUGUGAAAUAUAAAUGACAAUUUAUUUAAACGUCAAAUAAUUGUGACGUUUUAUCAAAUAAAUGAUAAAUAUAUUACAUAUUUAUUAAAUAAUUAUCAUUUACCUUUUCCUUUUAUUGACUUGAGAAAAAAACAAAAACAUUGACUAUACUGCUUUUGUUUUCGUUCUUAGAACAGAUUUUAGUUUCUUUUGAGAAAAUUCAAACUCAUUCCCAUUACUUUCUUUUCAAUAAUCACCUCUCAGUUUUUCAUCAAUCACUCAAUACCGAAUUACAUCUCCAUUCUCUUUCGAAGAAGAACGCACGAAGAAUUUUAGCUUGCUUUCGCUGCUUCUCGAAUAUUGGGUAUUGUUUCCUUUAAUUUAGAUAAUUUUUUUUUUUAUAUCUCUCUUUCUAGUUUGAUAAUUUAUGGUUAUACUUGAAUUAAUUGUAUUUUUAAUCAACCAAGGUUGAUUUAAUUGAUUCCAAGUCUCAAUUUCCUGUUCAACAAACAAGGAACGCACAAAUAAUUUUCAUUUUCAUACUCAAUUUUGAAAGAAUCAAUUUAUUUUAUCUUUGGUUAGUACACUUCUGUUCAAUUUUUGUUUAUUUAACUUAAGAUAUCUUUUUCUUUCUUUUCUUCAAGCAGAUUAUAGAUUAUAUUGAGAACAGAGCUUUCUCCUUAAUUCCGCCAAGAGCAACGUUGAUUUCAGGUGAUAAUUGAAUGUGUAAUAUUUUCAAUUGAAAUUAAUUGAGUCUCGUAAUAAUAAUAGGGAUUUGAGAUUUACAUCCUGUUGAAAUGAUUUUAGAGUGUUUUGCUAUUUGAAUGCGUAUUAAUUGUUCCUCUGUUUCAAAUCCAAAUCCACUGGUCUACUAUUCAUUAUGACAAUGCAUAUGCCGAUAUUGUCUUCCAUCCUUUGUGUACCUUUCAAUUUAGUGAGGUUUAGACAGGGGUUCCAGAUUUGGUAAAUCAACAAUCACCAGAUAUGUAGAGCGGCCGGAAGAGGAAGCAUGGUUCCUAAUCCUAAUCUUGAUUUAGAGCAGAUUAGGUAACAUGUGACAUUCUACAUUCUUGCAAUGCCAUUUCUUGUUAUGGCAGCGGCAUUCUUGGUCAUGGCAUCACAAGCAAAUGCUUUGAUUUGAAGACUUGCUUGGCUAUGAAAAAUAAGGAGAGCAAAGGUAAUUAAUCUUGGUGUGAUCAACAUUUUUAUGGGGGUACUAAGAAAAAUAAAGAUAAUAUAAGGAAUGUUGUUGAGGAGUAUUUUCAUAUUUACACAAGUAUUCAAAGUAAAAAUUGAUUUCUUAAAACCCAUUAGCUAGCGCACAUAAUAAUGGGGAGAAAAUUUUAGACUACGAAUGGUCCCGCCCAUUUAAUAAUAUUCUUCAAUCAAUUAUGUUUACUUCAAAAAAAAAAAAACCUAUCUCUUUAUUACUUUCUAACUAUUCAUAUUAAUGUGUUAAUAAUUAUGAAGAACCGGUGUAAUUUAUAUGAUGUAGGAAGCACUUUAGGCAAAAUCAUUUGAAUCUCAAAAUUUCGUGAUAUUGUGCCAAAUAUCGAAAACAGAGCUUCCUAUCACAGAAAUUAGGAAUCACUGGAGAGUAGAGUUACGUGACUGAAUAGUAUCAUAUCACAGAAACUCAAAACUCAAAAGUGCAAUAACAUUGAACAUUCAGCUGGCUAGCUUAUAUUGAUUAAUUAAUACUACUACUAGUUCUUUAUGAUUAAUUAAAAGAUAAAAUAUUUGACAAUCACGAAACAUUAUUCCAUCACUGAAGAGUAGAGCUUCCUACAUUGUUACCCAAGCUCUUUUAUAUCUCCCAAACAUUAUUAGAGUCCCACAUUUGUGGGCACAUCAUUAAGUAAAAUGUGCCAAUUAGGAAGAACUGGCUUCUUUGUUUUGUUUUCUGGGAUGUGUUGCAAUUUUCAAGUAUCAUUCAAAAUUUUACACCAUCAACACAGGAAAAUUAUAUAUAUUCUGUCAGCACUUGCAUAUGUUGCAAGUGCUGACAGAACUUUUCAUUUGAUUUGAUAAUUGGCUAAGGGUGAUUUCGAUAACGUUUCCAAAGAAGACAUAGAACAAAGAUCAAAAAGAAAAAUAAGUAAUUUGAUCAGUCGAUGCAAAAAAUGAGCGAGCUUCGUAGUCUGACUAACAGGAAAUGGCUUGGAGCAAGGAUCAAUGGACAAGUUUGAGGUUUAUGAAUAAACAGAACAGAGGAAAUAAGUGAUCAAUUUAUUACUUCGUGCAAUGGCCACAGCAACAGCGAAAAUAUGUCUACAUGACUACAUUAUCCGACUGGCAUGGUACUAUAACCGUGCAGCAUUACACUAACAUUUCCUUAUCAAUCAAUUUUGAUGGUAUGAUAUUAAAAACAUAGAUUUCAUAAUUUUAUGUAAUUCAAAGAAAAGAUAUAAUUGAUUUGAGUUAGUUUAACAUAUAAGGAAAGAGUAAUGGGGAAUGAUGUUGAUGUGGCAUGUGAUGAGUAAAGAUAGACAACAAAUAUUGAUCGUGUAAUAAUGAAAUAUGUAUUUAUUGAAAAUAAAUUGACAAUUAAAAUUAAUAGAUAUAUAUCCAAUGCAUCGAGUUUAUUUUAUCACUUCGCUAACCAUUUUGUAACUACAUGUUAAUUAGAAGUUCAAUUAAUUUUGACCAAAGACUCUAGAGAAUGUCGAAAAGAGAUUUGAUUUUUGUCUUAAAAAAAAUUAGAAAUGAAAUAAGUCAAAAUCAAUCACAAGAACAACAACAAGAGCAUAUUUUAUAAAACCACAAAUACAUAAUAUAAAUUUAGUUUCGAAUUAGAUAAUUAUUAAUUUGUAUUGUAAGAGAGUCUUAUAGAAAAAUAGGAAUUUUUUAAAAGGAGAUUUGCUUAAGGAACAACUUUAGUUAAUGGAAGGAAAUACAAGUUUGAUUUUGACAAAGUAAUCACUAAAAUAUUUGACAAGUUUGAGAUGUUAAAAAACUGGAAAAAUAGACAAAUAAUGAAAACCCUACAAGUUGGCAAAGCGAAUAAACAGAGGAAAACAGAGCAAAUAUUUACCGUUAUACAUAUAUUUUUUUAUUUUUUUCCGAAAAAGAAUGUUGCGAUAUUUUUUCCCAAAAAGAAGCACAGUUUGAUAUUACUACCAAAGAACUUUAGCUACCAUAUAUAAGCACGUGUCUAAUUACCAAAUGAAUUCCGCUAUAACAAAGAAUAAAAGCUAAUUUCAUUGAUGGCAUAUGUCGUGCUUUCUUUUCUUUUAUUUUAUUGAAGUUACUUUGUAAACUGCUCCAAGCUAAAUACAAAAUUUACUCUUACACUAGGAUCUUUGCAAUGGUCCAGCAAUUUGUAUUUCCAUUCGGUGAGGUUGGUUUUUUUCUUUAAAGUUGGGAAGUCCAUGUUUGCCAUCAAGAGUACGAUUAAAGAAGAGAUGUUACAAUACACAAAAAGGAAAAAAAAUGCCCAAGGAAGCUUGGGACACUUUUGCAAUGAUUUUUUUUCAAUGAAGAAUAACACACAACUACAACUUUUGGACAAUGAGUUACAGUCAAUUUCACAGCAAAGCAACUUCAAUAACCGCAAAAUUUUUGGGUUAGAUCCUACUGUUGCAAUUUCUGAAUCCAGAAUGAAGAGAAUUAUUAUCCAUAGCUUGGUCAUAUACAAUAUGUGUGUGCGUGUGUGUAUGUGUGUGUAUUGGGAUGUCACAGGCCCUAAAAGAUACAGCUGAACAUCAAUCCUAAAUCUAAAGUGAAAAACAGUAGCUAGAACAUAAUCUUUGUUUUGAUGUCUUUGUUUAUAAGCUCAAACAAUUGACAGUAUAGAAAAUGCAUGAUAGAACAUAGAACUCAUAUUUUAGCAAUAAUCCUAAGCUCACUGGCCCUUAGUUCAAACUGGCAGUUCUUAUUAGUCAAAGAAUCAAAUUGACUUUUAGUUGUAUAUAAGUAGAGCACUAGAUCAACAAAUAAUUGAAGACUUGCUUGGCUGUGGAACCAUAGGAAGGCAAUUCGUGAACAGCCUUGAUAUUUCAUUUGGUUUUAUUUAAUUCUUUGUAAAGUCGUAUUGUAUGUAAAAUUUUUGUUAAAUGAAAUCGGUAUGUGAAGAGAAUUUUUAAAAGCAACCAUCAAAGUCACGAUCAAAGGGACGAAAUCAGUAUAAAUAUUGAUUGUCUCAAGUUAGAUUAUACAAAGAUGAAAUAAUUCUAAUCUAGAAAAUUCGAUCAUUAUAAUUUGAUUUCCAUUAUAUUAAUUAUGUUCAAUCUUGCUAUUUUAAUGAAGAACACUCGAGGAUUUAUAUACACUCAGCUUAUGAAAUUAAUUACAAAACGAUCUUUGACCAAGUCUGAUGAAAAGAUCAUAUUAUAAGUGCAAAGUUACACUUCCCGAUCAUGCAACUAUCCAUCGAAUUGUGUAUUGUGUUAUCGUUGAGCUCUUAGGAAGAUUCAGCUGCUGAGGAGAAGAUGUAAUCUGUUUUUAUGUGACAAGCCAUGUACUCUGCUUUUAUGGUGUUUCUCUUGGUAGUUUUGGACAAAACUGUAAUGUAAAUUUCUAUCUUAAGGGAUUCCUAAUCCUUUUAGUUAGUUUGGGAUUGUUGAUUUAUCUAUGAUGUUUGGUAUCCAAAAUUCAGGUGAUGAUAAUCUUCGCAGUACUUUUGUCAAAUUUUCUUUUAUGUUGGUGUUGUUUUAAUUAAAUAUCACAAAGGUGCAAAAUGCGGUAAAAUUAACAUUGAGCUCAUGAGAUUGCCAUUAGAUAUAUUGAAAAAGAAAUUGAUACAAGAAACUGAAAAUUAGUUGUUAAUUAUGAUGGGAAUAUAAUCUUUGAAUUAUAAUUAUAUCUAUCUAACGCAUGUGCACUAAUCUUAUUUAUCUCUAUCACUGAAAAAGCAGAGUGGCCUGAUUGAAUAGUAUCAUAUUAUGUCACAGCAAUCACAAAAACUCACUCAACAUUAUGCUAAUUUAUACUAAUUAAUUAAUACGACUAACAGGAAAAGUUGGAUCUCGCCUUGCUAAAAAUCAGGUGAUUGUUUUUCAUUUUUGCGGCUACUUGACUCAAUUAUGUUAUUGCAAGAGGAGAUUUCUAUUUUGUCCGGUUUAAGCCAUAAGAUGGGUUUUAAGAUUCAUUCUGAUUGGUUAUCUGUUAGCUUUUUGUUUUAAGAACUUCUUAUUUACGAAAGCCAAAUUCUUCUUUCUAGGUUUAUUCAUAUUCAGAAGUUGCUUUUGUCAUAUCAGAAGAAGAGGCUAAGACUGUUGAAGUACUAGAAGGGACUACUGCGCUGAUUGCCUUUUUCAUGGGCUUCUAAUAUCCAAUGUUGAUUAUCUCUUCCAUUUGAACAUGAGAGUAAAAAGAUAGUUGAUAUUUAUGUUACAAAAGUUGGAAGCGACUUAAGCAAUUCAGUAUCAUGCGAGGACUAUAAUAAUAACCCCGAUUAUUUUGCCUCUUGGAUUUUUUUGUUAAUUCACUUGCUUUAUGCUUAUCCGACCUCUGAUUUUUUCUUAAUAUUUCUUUGUAGUUCACUUCACAGCACUUAUAGCCGCUGCAUUGGCAUUUUCUGCUAUUUGUUAUUGUUCAUUGAAGCUAGUUAGUUUACGAAAUUUCUUUUUGAUAAAUCUUCUUCAGAGGGUUGUGAGAGGCCAAAUCAAUUGAGAUGACCGGGUUUUCUAGAUCAGCCAUCUUUGUCGUCAACAGUGCUAAACUGUCAAUUACUGAGACACCAAACUCUAACCCGAUUCAUAUGGAUGUAGACUAAAGCUUCUUGCCGAUACCAUCCCAGUCAAAGCUGCUAUCUUUGAAAGUUUCGCAAGACAAAACAACGUUGGUUUCCCAGUCGACACAAAUACAGAUUUCAUAUGUGCAGAUUGCUCUCAAUCUCUGUUUAAUAAGCUAGUCCUCUGCUGUAUCCUAGAAGGUGGAACAAUACAUUAUGCUUCCCAGCAGGCUCCAAUGGGAUCUAUAUAUGUUUCUGCUGCCAAAUUUUUGAAAGCGAUCAUUGUGAAUAUCGCUGCCCAGUCUGAAGUGGGCUUUGAUACUUGUGACAAUACUCCAUCGAGGCUGUAAAGAAGCCGUGGGUGUACAUUUCUGGUCCAACAAUCAAUCUAACUGGCUUACUUUACAGCAACAAAGAGAUAGAAAAUAUAUUAACUGCUUGUGCAGAAUAUGGAGCAAGAGCUUAUUUAGUGUCGUGUCAAAAUAAAUAUAACAAAGUUUAAGCUGAAUAUAAAUUGUUAAUUACAGGCAGAGCAAGUUGAGUUUAAAAAAUGCGAAGCACCCAGUCCCAAAACAGAGAAGCUUGACGUUGGCCGGCAGGAUUAAUAUUAUUUUUUUUAACAACAAUCAAAGCCAGUCGGGAAUUUAUUAAGAGGUUAAUUAGUUGAAGUAUAAAAAAGGAAUUAGCAGGAUUCACGCCCGACCAAAUCCACAUGGCCAAAGCAAAGGAUUAAGUUUGAGAGAUUAUAAUGAAAUAUAAGUAAGCUUCGCACAUGCAUGCGUCUGACUGACAGAACAAAUGAAGGAAACAUAAACUUAUCAUUUUUAAGAUGUAAGCAUCAAAACAUUCGACAAGUUUGAGGUUCGUGAGAUAUUGGGAAAAUAUACAAAUAAUAAAGCCACUACAAGUUAAGCAGAGCAAAUAAACAGAGGAAAUAACUGAUCAAUUUAGUUCUUUGUGCAAUGGCCACAGCAACAGAGAAAAUAUGCCUACACGACUACAUUAAUCCUACUGGCGUGGUACUAUCACCAUGCAAAUUAACAUUAACAUUUCAUCAUCAAUCAGUUCUGAUGACAUGAUAUCAAAAACAUUGAUUUCAUAAUUUUAUGUAAUUUCAUAUAAAAGAUAUAUAUAGUUUAUUUGAGUUAGUUUAAAAUAUGAAGAAAGAGUAAUGGGGAAUGAUAUCGCUGUAGCGUGUGAUGAGUAAUGAUAGACACCAAAUAUGGAUCAUGUAAUUAUGAUAUAUGUAUUUACUGAAACAUAUUUGGCAAUAAAAUGAUGCUUUAAAAAUUUAAUAUUGUUUGCUUGAAAAUAAUUUGACAAUUAAAAGUAAAAGAUGUAUAUGCAAAACUUUGACCUUAUUUUAUCACUUCACUAACCAUUUUGUAAGUACAUCUUAAAUCGAAGUUCAAUUAAUGCUGACGAAAGACUCCAGAGAAUGUCGAGAAGAGAUUUGAUUUUGGUAUACCAAAAAAUUACAGAUGAGAUAAGUUAAAAUCAAUUACAAGAACAACAAAAAGAAUAUAUUUUAUAAAAGCCACAAAUACAUAUAAUAUAUAAUCAGUUUCGAAUUAAGUAAUUAUUAACUUAUAUAGUGAGAAAGUGUUAUAGGAAAGUUGGAAUUUUUUAAAAGAGAUUUGCAAAGGAAAAAGUUUAGUUUAGUUUAGUUUGCGAAGGCUCAAGUAAUUCAAAGCAAUUAGCAAUGCAAUUGAAGGAAAUAUAAACUUCUAAUUUUUACAAAGUAAUCGCUAAAAUAUUUGACAAGUUUGAGAUUUUCAAAAAGCUGAAAAAAAUAGACAAAUAAUGGAGACCCUACAGAUUGGUAGCGCAAAUAAACGGAGGAAAAUAUGGCAAACAUUUAUUUUUUCCAAAAAGAAUAAAAGCACGUGUCUAAUUACCAAAUAACUUCACUUUAAAAAAUAAUAAAUGCUAAUAUCAUUGUUAGCACAUGUUGUGCAUUUUUCAUUUAUUUAUUUGCUAUUACUUAUUGAAGUUACUUUGCAAACUGCUCCAAGCAAACUACAAAAUUUCUUAUCACUCUAGGAUCUUUGCAAUGGUCCUGCAAUUUGCCUUCCUUUCUAUUAGGUUAGCUGUUUAUUCAAAAGAAAAAAAAUUGGGGAAAUGGAAACCUCACCCUCUUAAUACAGAUUUUGAAUUUUAUUAUUAUUAUUCAAAAUUAGAUAACUAUGCAAAUAAUGGGCGGUUAUAACCAGUGAAACUGUGUCUAGCUACGACGCAGGUUUAAUUUUCUCUUGAUUAAAUAUAUAAACAAAACUAAAUCACCUGAGCCUCUGGUUUCACUAUUUUUCAACUUGAAAUUAAAACGCAAAAAUUGAUGGUAUUGGAGUUCGUUGUUUAGUUUUGCUGUAGGUCAUGGGGAAUCAAAUAGCCAUCCAUUUUUAAGUCUAUUUUAUGUACUAUUGGUCACUAAGUAUUGGGAUGUCAUAGGCCCUAAAAGAAAAAGCUGAAAAUCAAUCCCCUAUCUAAAGUGGAAAACAGUAGCUAGAACAGAAUCUAUGGUUUGAUGUCUUAGUGUAUAGGCUUAAACAAUUAAUAGUAUAGAAAAUGCAUGAUAGAAUUCAUAUUUUAGCAAUAAUCCUCACCUCACUGGCCGUUAGUUCAGAAUGACAAUUCUUAUUAGUCAAAGAAUCAAGAUGAUUUUUAGUUGUAUAUGAAUAGCGCAGUAGAUCAACAAAUAAUUGAAGACUUGCUUUUGCUAUUGAACCACGCGAUGGCAAUUCGAAGACUACAGCUUAGCUCUGCCAUUCGAAGUAAGCAAAUCAGCUGCCCAAAGACUGCCAAGCCAUCAAGACAAUACCAAGAUACAACAUCAAGAAUUACAUACAGGCCGUCACAUAUUACAUUUCUCCUCUGUUUUAAGAGAGAUUUACGAGCCCAUGCAGUAGAAGUAAUUAAUUAAUUUAUACAGUUCAGUACUCAUUCCUCCUCUGUUUCAAAUCCAAAUCCACUGCUCUGCCAUUUAUUAUGACGCAGGGUAUAUGGGUUAGCAAGUGUCGAUAUUGUCCUUCAUCCUUUGUGUACCUUUCUUCUAACAAGGGACAGCACGAGAUCUCUAAUCACAAAAGAGAGGCAGGCAGGCCGUUCGCUGGAAAGUACUUGAGCUUGGGACAAUUACAGAGUUUCAAUGAAAUGAGGUUUUGAUGAUCAACAAUUGAAGAAGACAGGCGUUCCAAAUUUGGUAAAUCAACAAUCACCAAAUAUGCUAGAGUGGCAGGAAGAGGAAGCGUGGCUCCUAAUCCUAAUCUUGAUUUAGUAUUGCGUAUGUAACAUGUGGCAUUCUACAUUCUUGCAAUGCCAUUUCUUGUUAUGGCAGUAGCGUUCUUUCACCAUGGCAUCGCAAGCAAAUAUUUGACUUGAAGACUUGCUUUGCCAAGAAAAAUAAGGAGAGCAAAGGUAAUUGAUUUUGGUGUGAUGAAUAUUUUUAUGGGUGUUCUAAGAAAAAUAAAGAUAAUAGAAGUAAUGUUAUCGAGGAGUAUUUUGAUAUUUACAAAAGUGUUCAAAGAAAAAAGUGAUUUUUUGAAAUCUAUUUGCUGGUGAACAUAAUAAAAUGGCAUUCCGACUUCUGCGUAAAUUUAAAACUACAAAUAGUUUUACUCUUUUAAUAAUAUUCUUCAAUUAAUUCUGUUUCUUUCACAAUAAAAAAUCCAUCUCUUUAUUACUUUCUAACUAGUCAUACUAAUGUGUUAAUAAUGAAGAACCAGCGUAAUUUAUAUGAUAUAAGAAGCCCUUUAGCACAUUAACCCGAAUUUAGCUAAUGCAUGUGCCUAAUAUAGCGAAAUCAACAUUCGGCUCAUUAGAAUGCCAUUAUAUAUACUGAAAAAGAAAUUAAUACAAAAAAAAACUGAAUAUUAAUUGACACUGGAUCAUGUUGGAUUGUUAGUUGUUAAUUAUGAUGGGAAUACAAUUUUCAUCUUUUGAUUAUCCGCUAACUAAUGCAUGUGCACUUUCAUUUGUGUCUAUAUAUACAAAAACUUGUAUCCCAUGGUUUACAUAUGUAUGAAGAUAAUGUAAUAAAGUGCUUUUGAUAAAUUCCCCUGGUCUGUUUACUUCACUAAUUCAUUAAUGUGCAAGUCCUCUAUAGAGCUGUGUUGUGCGUACAAGUUUUGCUACAUGAAAUCGUUAGGUGAGGAGAAUUUUUAAAAGCAUACAUCAAAGUAAUGAUUAAAGGGACAAAAUCAACAUAAAUAUUGAUUAUCUUGAGUUAGAUUACACAAAGAUGAUAAUGUAGUAAAUUUAUCAUAAUACACUACUAAAAAAUGCAUUUUAAUGACACAAAUUUUAUGACAUACAUCUUUAUGUCAUGAAAAUACUUGCAUGAUGUAUAAUGCUUCUGUGAUUAUUUGAUGAUAAAUUCAUAAUUGAUGCAGAUACAAAAUGAAGUGAUGAUAGGUAAAUAUCAUGUGAUUUUUUUUAUGGGUAAGAAUAUUUGAACCCACCAAAUUACUCUUUAAACUUACUUUUUUAUUGAUAAUUUUAUUACAAAAUUACUGANNNNNNNNNNNNNNNNNNNNNNNNNNNNNNNNNNNNNNNNNNNNNNNNNNNNNNNNNNNNNNNNNNNNNNNNNNNNNNNNNNNNNNNNNNNNNNNNNNNNNNNNNNNNNNNNNNNNNNNNNNCCGCAAAACUCAAUCAAAGUAUGCUUAUUUUCUUCUUCUGCACAAGUGUAGCAAAGUUUUUAAUAAGUUCCUCCUUCAUCCACAGUUGAGAACUUUCUAACUUUUGUUUCUUGUUCUAGUAAUUUGGAUAUGCUGUGUUAGAUACUGAAUUUAUUAAAUUUCUUCUUCUCUUUUGAAUAAAAUCUCUUUAAAAUUCAAUCCAUAAAAAAAAAAUUAAUCUCCUUAUAAUUUAAUAUGUUUCGGCUGUCUUAGUGGAAUGAUGCAAUUUGUGUCAAUCAAAGUUUUGAAGCAUCCUAAAUUAUAUAUUUUUUUGUUUAAUUUGUUUAGAGUUCAAUUGUUUAGAUCUAGGCUAAUUUUUAUUGAUAAUAUUUAUGAUUAAAUUAUAUGAGUAUGCUUAAAUUUUUUUUUCCUUCAAAUUUAUUUUCUGAUGUUGCAUUUGGUUAGCAAAAAGAUAAAAAUAGUAGAAAAUGUCCGAAUUAUUGUUAUGAAAAUGUUGUUUUAGUCUGAUAUUGGGAAAAUAUCCUUAUACAUAUCGGCAUGAUAUUCAUGGGAGACCAAAUUGAGAAUGAUGGCAGACUAUGCAUUGCUCACAACUAAUUUAAAACUCACUAUUUCUAUUGUUUGUGUUUUAGUAACUUUGGGGGAAUUCCAACUAUAGUUAAUAAGCUAUAAACUUGUUUAGGAUUACUAAUCAACUUGCUAGAAAGAGUUGCAAACUAAUUAGCUUUCUCUUAUAACUUUUACAGAUCAUCUGUGGAGGAGAACUGCAAGGAGUUGAAGACUCUAGACCCUAAACUUCAUAUCUUGAUUUAUAAGUGCAAUGGCCAUAAGUCCGAAUUAUGGGCUGGAGAUGGUAUAUGUAAUCUUUCUGCUCUUGGUGUUUUUUUUUUUUUCCCCUCUAGUUAUUUUUUGCUCUCUACUCCAUUGUAUAUUUGUAUUCAAAAGUAUUUUUUUCUUUGUUUUAAGCUUUCAAAUUUAUGGAGAUGAUCUUAUUAGGUGUUAAAAAAAUAGUUGUAGAGCUUUACUAAAACUAUGUAAACUCUUAUUGAGAUUUGGGUUUGAUUUUGUAAGAUUGCUAAAAAUUUCAUAUUUUAUACUUGUUUUAUACUUUUCUAGUCGAAUUUCUUGCUUGUGGAAGAUAAAAUAAAAGUCCAAUUCAUGUUGUAAAAUUUUUUUUUCCUCCCUUUUUUCUUCCCUUAUAAUCUGGCUCUGGUUUUGGUGCAGUUUAUGGUUUCAAUGCAGGGAACCAAUUUCAUCAGAAUCAUCUUAAAGGAUCAAAGUGGCUUCCUUUUGUAACUGGGUAAGUCAAUGCUACUUCCUGAAUUCGAUUUGGAGUUCUUUCGGAAUAGAUUUCCUUCCCUUACAUCACUUGGCUUCUAGUUGCAUCUUCUUGGCUUUCUCCAACGGACUUUUUUAUUGGCAAAUUCGUUUGUUUCUAUUGUUUUCAAGUGCUAGUGCUGGAUUUGGAGGUAUGAAUGGUGCCUUCAUUUUUAUUUUUUUAAUUUUCUUUUGGGUGUAUAGUACUGUAAUAUACUUCUUUGUAUAGCUAGUACAAAAUAGUUCUUUAAUUUUAUUUGUCAUGAUUUAUUUCUAUUGCCUGGUGAUGACACCCAUCACGACUUAGUAGUCGUGAAUAAAUCGAAAAUCAAAUUGCACUGGUUUUUACCGGUUAUCAACAAUUGUGAUGUUUUGAGAUUAUAACAUACUUGACAACGCCGACUAGCGUUCUCUCCUAUGUGAAUUGGGACAAAAAUUAUUUUCCCAAUCACGCUUUCGUUUGAACAAUUCCACUUCAGAUAUAUAAAAUAAUGAUGAAAUUGUGUUUUAAAAUUAGUUACGAGUAAUUGGUUCAAUAUUAAUACAAAACUAUUUUAAGUAACACGUGGCAUAUUCUAAUUCCAGUGAGCUUCUAACUCAGAUUCCCAAAUCAAAAGAAACGUUUCAAUUUUCUCCAGAACGUUCUGCAAAACAUUUCUUCGAGUCUCUACGUUGUGCUAGAAUUUUCUCUCAGUUUCUUUUCCAUAGACUUCUAAAAAACUGUCCAGAUACCGAGAUAUAAUCCAAUCUAAGUGUACAUAUUGUAAGAAAAACGAUACACAGUGAGAUAACAAUUUAAAUAGUAGCUAAUUUAAACAACAAUGUAAACUAGCAAUGGGAAACAACAAAUGAAGAACUGAAGAGAAAGGAGACCAAAACAGAAAUAUAAACCCGAGGCCUGCGGACAGUUUCCUUAAACAUAUUUACCCCCUCUUGGAGUGCUUUAGGUCAGCUGGUAUCUGUUUCCCAGGAUACAACAGGCACGAAUUUUCGGCUAAGCACAGGCUAGAAAUUCUGGCGAACCACAACAACGAGCUCGAUCAGAGAAAACAGACGACGAAGAUGGAGGAAGGAAAAUAAGUGUGCUGGUUUUUUCAGUGUGCAAAAAAACAGAAGAGGAGAUGCCUUUUUAUAGUCAUAUGAGGAUGUAACAGCUACUUUGUAUUGAAUUUCUGAAUUCAAUAUAUUUUAUUUAAUUGUUAUAACAGCCAAAUCAAUUCAAUGAAUUGAUUUCAAAAUUGAAUUAAAAAAAACGUGAAUUAUAUAACAGCUAAAAAUAAUUGUUGAAGCUGUUACAAAUCCUUUGAAUUCAAACGUGAAACUGUUACAAUAAAAAAAAUUUUAAAAGGAAAUUAAAAACAUGCCAAGCUUGCAUGGAUGAUUUUGGGCUGACAUUCGCGUACGCAGACGAGUUCAACCAAAUUGGUCAUGGAUUUGCACCCCCCUGCACACGCGCACGUGGAGAGAGCCUCUAUCCUUAUAAUUCUUGAACAAGCAUGGUUAAGUGUUUAUAUAUAAACACUAAUCCCUAGGCUUCUUUUUCCCAUGUGGGAUAAGCCUAAUUUCUUUUCAAAUUUCCAACUUCAAAGGUGAACUUUGAGAGACAAUUUCUCAUUCACCCAAGCACCAUUUUGAGAAAAUAAGAUUAUACUUUUGAAGUAUCAAAGGAGUAGAAUCCGAACCUCACAAGAUUUUCCACUUUCGUUAAGUGGGACCCACUCAAAAUAUGCCCUCAAAAUAGCAUCUAUAUAUGCUAUUUUUUCAACAAUCCCCCACAUGAAUGAAAAUUGGCAGUAAAACAAAAAACCGCUAUAUUUUUUUUACAUCAAAACCAUUUUUGACCUUAAUGAUUGAGUUUAUUGGAUUGAUACCUAGCACAUGAUAGGUUGGUGUUAUCCUUUUAACCUUCCCUUGUAAUAGUAUAAUUACUUUACUGGCUGAUCAGUAGACGCGAUGUCUUUGAACUGUGCGGCCGUUAGUGUAAACGAUCAUAUACUACACAUAGGUAUUUCUCCUAACACUGUUGAGUUCUCAUGGUUAUGUUCGUUUUGGCCUUGAACAUCUACCUGGUUCUGCAAGAGUUUCUAAGAGCUAAACCCAUCAUAGCUCCCUUUGAAGCGGCCCCACUUCUCUCUCACAUAGGUGAUAUCUUAAUUAAAAGUAACCCGCAUUACUCCGCUCGAAUUUUCCGACGCAUAAGAAUCAUUAAGAGCCUAGCUCAACCUUAUUCCCCACGAGCAUCAUUGUUUCAUAAUAUGAAUGGUCAAUGAGGUAAUCUUCUCAAGAGAAUAAACCCCACAAUAAUCCAACUUUAGUCUUUAACAAAUAGGUUGUUCAAUUGAACCUAGAUCUUGGGAUCUCCAGUCUACUAGGUUGGGUUUUCCUUCGUUAUUGACUAAUCAAUCUAUGAGUUUUAAUCCCAUUCCCCUCGAUGAUUUUUCUACUAGCUCUCUAUUUAACCCUUUGGUUAGCGAAUCCGCAAUGUUAUCCUUUGACCUCACAUAGUCAAUAGAAAUAACUCCAGUAGAAAUAAGUUGUCUAAUGGUAUUAUGUCUAUGACGUAUGUGUCUAGACUUACCAUUAUACAUAUUGCUUUGUGCCCUACCGAUAGCUGAUUGACUAUCACAAUGUAUACAAAUCGAAGGCACAUGCUUUGGCCACUUUGGAAUACCUUUUAAAAAAUUGCGUAGCCAUUCUGCUUCUUCACCACAUUUAUCUAAUGCAAUGAAUUCAGAUUCCAUUGUAGAUCUAGCAAUUACUGUCUGUUUAGAAGAUCUCCAUGAUACAGCUGCACCUGCUAGUGUAAAUACAUAGCCGCUAGUGGAUUUUGAAUCUUUUACAUCUGAUAUCCAGUUAGCAUCACUAAAUCCUUCUAAUACUUCUGGAUACCUAGUAUAGUGCAGUCCAUAAUUACGAGUGUAUCGAAGAUACCUAAGUACUCUUACGAUAGCUUUCCAGUGAUCAGUUCCUGGAUUACUCGUAUAUCUACUAAGUUUACUUACCGUAUAGGCUAGAUCUGGUCUGGUACAACUUGUUAAGUACAUCGGACUGUCUAUUAUUCUAGCAUAUUCUACUUGAGAAAAACCCUCUUCUCUAUUUUUCGAUAAAUGGAUACUAGUAUCUAAUGGAGUUUUAGACAUAAUAUUAUCAUUUUUAUUAAAUUUUCCAAGAAUUUUAUCUACAUAAUGAUUUUGACUUAGAAUAAGUCCAUUAGAAGCCCUUCAGAUUUUAAUUUCCAAAAUGACAUUUGCAAGACUCAUGUCUUUCAUGUCAAACUUAGACUUCAACAUAUUCUUGGUAGAUUUAAUCAUGUCAUCAUCACUUCCAACAAUGAGCAUGUCAUCAACAUAUAAACAUAAAAUGACAUAGCCAUUUUCCGUUUCUUUGACAUAAACACAUUUGUCACACUCGUUGAUUUUAAAACCACUUGUGAUCAUCAUAUGAUCAAAUUUCUCAUGCCACUGUUUCGGUGCUUGCUGCAAGCCAUAUAAUGACUUUACCAAUUUACAAACUUUCUUUUCUUGUCCUGGAGCUAUAAAACCUUCAAGUUGCUCCAUAUAGAUUUCUUCAUCUAAAUCUCCAUUUAGAAAAGCCGUCUUUACAUCUAUUUGAUGUAUCUCGAGAUUGCGCAAAGCUGCAAUUGCUAUUAUCAUCCGUAUGGAAUUUAUUCUCAUAACAGGAGAAUAAGUAUCAAAGUAAUCAAGGCCUUCUCGUUGCCUAUUACCUUUAAUUACAAGCCUAUCCUUGUAUUUAUUGAUUUAUCCAUCAGCUUUCAUUUUCCUUUUGAAAAUUCACUUAUACCCCAAAGGUUUACAUUCUGGAGGAAGAUCUGCUAGCUCCCAAGUAUGAUUUUGUAAAAUGGAUUCAACUUCACUGUUAAUGGCUUCUUUCCAUAAAGUGCCUUCAGCUGAAGUUACAACCUCUUUGAAGCUUUGAGGUUCACUUUCUAGCAAAUACGUCAGAAAGUCUAGACCAAAAGACUUUUCUAUCCUAGCUGUUUUGCUACGUCUAACCUCAAUUUCUUGUUCUUGAUCUUCUUCUUCUUCUUCUUCUGGUGCUUCAUCAUUUUCUUCAUUUCCAAGUGUUGUUUCAUGAAAUUGUCGCAAUUCUCUCGAUUCCACUCUAGAAUUGCAAGGAAACACAUGUUCGAAUGAUGCAUUUCUUGAUUCUAUUAUCAUAUUUUUGUGGACAUCUGGAACUUUAGACUUAUGUAACAAAAAUCGAUAAGCACUACUGUUUUGUACAUAACCAAUGAAAAUGCAGUCAACAGUUUUUGGUCCUAUUUUCACUUUUUUAUUGAAGGAACCACUACUUUAGUAAGACACCCCCACACUCGUAAGAAUUUAUAUGAAGGUGAUCUAUUUUUCUAUAGCUCAUACAGGGUUUUAUCUUCUUGCUUUCAGGGUAUCUUAUUUAAUAAAUAAUUAGCUGACAAAACAGCUUCUCCCCACAUAUUCUGGGGUAACCCAGAACUUAUCAACAUUGCAUUCAUCAUUUCCUUUAAAGUUCGAUUCUUUCGUUCUGCAAUCCCAUUAGAUUGAGGUGAAUAUGGAGUCGUGACUUGAUGUAUGAUUCCAUUUUGUUCACAUAGUGACAUAAACAUAACAACAUACUCACCACCACGGUCACUCCUUAAUUCUUUGAUUUUUCUAUUAAGUUGAUUCUCAACUUCAUUUUUGUCGAGAAUAAACUUUUUCAAAGCUUUAUCUUUACUUUUCAAUAAAUAUACAUAGCAAUAUUUUGUGCAAUCAUCUAUAAAGGUAAUAAAAUAUUUAUUAUCACCUCUUGUUUGAAUGGAUUUAAAGUGACAAAUAUCAAUAUGUAUUAAAUCAAGUGGUUCGGUGUUUCUGUUAAUUAUUUGGAAAGAUGACCUAGUUAGUUUUGCCUCAACACAAGUUUCACACUUAUGUUUCAAAUCAAUUUGGAAAUUGGGAAUAUGCUUCAUGUUAAUUAAUUUACGCAAAGAUUUAAAAUUAACAUGUCCUAAUCUACCAUGCCAAAGAUUAGAAGACUCAAGCAAAUAAGCAGAAGAAGUAGCUUUAUUAUUAAUUAUUGGUUUCAGAGUCAUUACAUUGAGCUUAAAUAGCCCAUCAUUAACAUAACUCUUUCCCACAUACAUCCCAUUUUUAGACAAAACUACCCUAUCUGACUCAAACACCAUUUGGAAGCCAUGUUUGUUCAACAGCGAUCCAGACACCAAGUUCUUCUGAAUUUCUGGCACAUAAAACACAUUGUUCAGAGUCAGUUCUUUCCCAGACGUCAUCUUCAAAAUCACCUUCCCUUGACCAUCAAUCUCAGACGUAGCCGAAUUCCCCAUGAAUAGCUUCUCUCCAUUGCUAACUGCUUCAACUGAAGUGAACAAUCCUUUGUCCGAGCAAACAUGUCUGGUUGCUCCCGUAUCAAUCCAUCAUUCUCUCGGAUUAUAGCCAACCAGAUUCACUUCUGAAACCACUGUAGAGAGGUUUAUGUCUGAAACAUGUUGAGUGAUGUUUUCCAUCACAUUCUCCUCUCGCUUCUUUUUAGGCAACCUGCAAUAUGAAGCAUUGUGACCCAUCUUAUCACAAUUAAAACAUUUUCCUUGAAACUUUGUUUACUUCUUGGAAAUUCCUCCUUUCGGACCCAUUUUUUUAUUUUUAUUUUUAGGUCCAUGUUCGACAAAAUUUGCCUUUGCCAUAGAAAUAACUCCUUUUCUUUUUGCAUUUCUGUUAUCUCCCUCAAUUCUGAACUUAACAACCAGCCCUUCAAUAUUCAUCUCCUUUCAUUUGUGCUUCAAAUAGCUCUUGAAAUCUUUCUAAGCAGGAGGCAAUUUUUCAAUAAUUGCGGCAACUUGAAAAGUUUCACUUAGAUGCAUCCUUUCUGCAAGGAUUUCAGAUAAUAUAAUUUGAAGCUCUUGUACUUGACUUAUUAUAGUUUUAGAAUCCACCAUUUUAUAAUCUAGGAAGCGACCAACAACAAACUUUUUGGUUCCCGCAUCCUCGGUUUUAUAUUUCCGGUCAAAGGAUACCCAUAACUCCUUGGCUGUUUUCUUUCCUAUGUAUACAUUAUACAAGGAAUCACUAAGGCCAUUCAUUACAUAAUUUUUACAUAAAAAAUCUUAAUGAUGCCAUGCAUCAAUUGCACUUGCAACUUGAAUAUCCGUUUCACCCUCUUUAGGUUUAGGAGCAUUCUCGAUUAAGAAACUUGCAAGGUUCAACAUGGUCAAGUAAAAGAAUAUCUUUUGCUGCCAACGUUUGAAAUUCUGGCCAUUGAAUUUUUCAGGCCCUUCCGCAUGAUUGACAGGAAUUGCCACAGAGGCUGGUUCCUUUACAACAGUUGGUGCAGCAACAGAAGAUGAAACUGGGACAUACGGAAUAUCAUCAAUGGUUUCAGUUGCCAUCUCAAUGAUAAUUGAUUCUGUUUUAAGAUUGUAAAAAAAAUGAUACACAGUGAGAUAAUAAUUUAAAUAGUAGCUAAUUUAAACAACAAUGUAAACUAGCAAUGGGAAACAACAAAUGAAGAACAGAAGAGAAAGGAAACCGAAACAGAAACAGAAACAUAAACCUGAGCCCUGCAGACAGUUUCCUUAAAACAGAUUUACCACUCUUGGAGUGCUUUAGGUCAGCUGGUAUCUGUUUCCCAGAAUACAACGGGCACGAAUUUCCGGCUAAGCACAGGCUGAAAAUUCCGGCGAACCACAACAGCGAGCUCAAUCAGAGAAAACAGACGAUGAAGAUAGAGGAAGGAAAACAAGUGUGCUGGUUUUUUCAGUGUGCAAAAAACAGAAGAGGAGGUGCCUUUUUAUAGUCAUAUGAGGAUGUAACAGCUGCUUUGUAUUAGAUUUCCGAAUUCAAUAUGUUUUACUUAAUUGUUAUAACAACCAAAUCAAUUCAUUGAAUUGAUUUUAAAAUUGAAUUAAAAAAACAUGAAUUAUAUAACAGCUAAAAAUAAUUGUUGAAGCUGUUACAAAUCCUUUGAAUUCAAAACGUGAAUCUAUUACAAUAAAAAAAUUCAAAAGGAAAUUAAAAACGUGCCAAGCUUGCAUGGAUGAUUUUGGGCUGACAUUCGCGUACGCAGACGAGUUCAACCAAAUCGGUCUUGGACUUGCACCCCCCCUGCACACGCACGUGUGGAGAGAGCCUCUAUCCUUAUAAUUCUUGAACAAGCAUGGUUAAGUGUUUAUAUAUAAAUACUAAUCCCUAGGCUUCUUUUUCCCAUGUGGGAUAGGCCUCAUUUCCCUUCAAAUUUCCAACUUCAAAGGUGAACUUUGAGAGACAAUUUCUCAUUCACCCAAGCACCAUUUUGAGAAAAUAAGAUUAUACUUUUGAAGUAUCAAUGGAGUAGAAUCCGAACCUCACAAGAUUUUCCACUUUCGUUAAGUGGGACCCACUCAAAAUAUGCCCUCAAAAUAGCAUAUAUACAUGCUAUUUUCCACUUUCGUUAAGUGGGACCCACUCAAAAUGUGCCCUCAAAAUAGCAUAUAUACAUGCUAUUUUUUCAACACAUAUCUCUCUAUGUCACCUCCCUCCAUUUCACCAGAAAAUCAACAAACACUUAGCUUCAAAACAAACACUCUAAAAAAGCUAGCUAGUUGAUGGCAAAAUCAAGAAUUCUUGCAAUGGCAAUGUUGUUUCUUGUUAUGGCAGCAACAUUGAUGAACAUGGCAUCAAAGCAAAUGCUCUGAUGCUGUACACACGAUCACCUUUCUUUGACGUAAUGUUCCCAAUGACGGAAGAUCCUUUCAGGGUUCUUGGACAAACCCUGUUAACAAUCCCAAAAGGAGCUGAACAUCAUCAAACUCUAGCACUGGCGAGAGCAAACUGAAAUGAGACACCAACAUCACACGUGAUCACACUCGACAUUCCAAGGAUGAAGAAAGACGAUGCGAAGAUAGCAGUUGAAGAGAACAGGGUACUGAGGGUGAGUGGGGAGAGGAAGAGCGAUGAUUAUUAUAAGGAGGAAGUUGAAGGAGAAAAAUGGCACAGAGUUGAGAGACCAUUUGGCAAGGUUUGGAGGCAGUUCAGGAUGCCUAUGAGUGCUGACUUGGAUCAUGUUAAGGCUCAUUUGGAAAAUGGUGUUCUAAGGAUCACAGUGCCAAAACUUGUUGAGGAGAAGAAGAGGCCGCCUAAGGUUAUUAACAUUGAUGAAGAGCCUGGUAAUUCUUCCGAUGAAGAUGUUAAGGCCGCCAAGGCUCAAAUGUAAUUGAUUAAAGAAAGAAGUGUUUGAUUUGCUUGAUGUGCUAUUUGUUUUGUGAUCUUUUCUUGGUUUUGUUGUGGGAUGUUUUUCUUUGGAUGUUCUGUUUAUUGUAUUUUGAUGGAUUUUUAAAGAUGGCUUUUAUGUAUUAACAACAAUAAAGUGUUUUUUAUAAAUCCGGGUCCUAAAUUUGUAAAAGAAAUUAAUAAUACUCUUGGUUUAUUGUUAAUAAAAAUAAAAAAGAAGAAUCUUUUUCUUUAGCAUAUAUUAUGCAUUUUAAGGAAAAAAAAAAUUAUCACAUUCUAAUACAUAAAGAUAUUCCUCUUCUGUCAUAUUAAUGUGUUAAUACGAAGGUCUAUUGGAAUUAUAAUAGUUUAGAUGAAUCCAAAAUAUUCAAUAAUUGAUAAAUAGUAUAUUGACACACAGAAAAUGUGCGUGUGUAUGUAUAUAAAUGAGGUUUCAACAGCUGAGAAAGAGAUAGCCAUUAUACAUUACACAUUUGCACUCAAUAAGAAAUCAAUUCAUUAAUAUAGCCAUUAAUACGCCUGGUUUAUUGUUAAUGAAAAUUAAAAAAGAAAAAAAGUCUUUUCUUUGGCCUUUAUUAUGCAUUUUAAGAGGAAAAAAAAUUUAUCCCACUCCAAUUCAUGAAGAUAUUCUCUUUUCUGUCAUAUUGAUGUGUUAAUAUGAAGAUCCAUUGCAGUUGGUGAAUUCAAAUAUUCAGUAACUGAUGAAAUUGUAUUUAUAAAUUCAUACUAAUAGCAAUUGAAGAUUAUAAUUAAUUUUGUAAUAUGGUCUAGCCCUCCUGUGUUUAAUUAGCACUCAAAAACCACUUUACAAUAGGGCAUUAAAAGAACAUUAUAACGUCAUUGCUGAUGAGUUCUGGCGAAGACAUUAAGUUAAGGCCACAAAAAUCGAAAUGCACGUAGCUUCGUUUGUUUUUUAUUUUUGAUUCUCUUUGGGGGCAAAUGCUUGGCUUCGUUUGCUUUUUCGUUUUUGAUAUUUUAUUGGGCUUUAUUGUGUGGCAUCUUCUUGUUUUCUUUUGAUUUUCUGUUUUGGUUGUUAUGGGAUUUGAUGACGACGUACAUGUACGAAGAUUAUAUAAUAAAAUGUUUUUGAUAAAUUAUGGUCGGUUUAGAAUUAAUUAACUAAAUUUAAUUUACUUGAUCAAUUGAUAUUUGUAAGCAUUGUUGUUAUACAAACACAACAAAAGAAGAACAUUAAUGUACUAAUUAAUUACUAAUAAGAACAUUAAUAACUUUUGCCGAAGAAGAGAAAUAUUACACAUAUGUAACCGUGCAGCAUAUGUAACCGUGCAGCUAAAUAAAAGAAACUGAAGUUUAUUUCAACAGCUAAAGAAUGAGAUACGCAUAAGAAAUUAAUCCAUUAAUUAAUUAAUUAAUUCAUAGUCCCCCGCUGCUAAAAUAAAGCGAGCGUCUUACUCUACCUAACAUUUUUCCUUUUAUUAAUUUAAAAUAGUUUUCAACUGAGAUUUGAAUUUUAAAAUUACACGCUUGAUUUAGAAGAAAAAAAAGUCAAAUAUAUGUAACCGUACCGCGGAAAAGACAAAUAUAAGAAACUGAAGUUUCAACAGCUGAGAAUGAGAAAUUAAUUCAUUAAUUAAUUAAUAGAGUCCUCCUUUGCUAAAUAAUGCGAACCCAUUGUUCUUUUUAUUUCCAAAACCCAUUAAUCACCAACACAUAAUACACGCCCAAUUUAAAAAAAAAACUAAUAAUAAAAUAUUUCAGUCUUCCUUUGUUGAGUCGUCAUUAAAAACCCAUUUACCAGCUAUUCGAGCAUAAGGUAUAUGGGUUAACAAGUCCCAAUAUUGUCCUCCAUCCUUUCUGCACUUCUCUUCUAUCAACGGACAGCGAUAGAUUCUUAAUUGCAAAAGUGAGGAAGGCAGGCCCUUCUCCGGAAAGUAUUUGAGCUUGGGACAAUCAUAGAGUGUCAAUUUAGUGAGGUUUUGAAGAUCAACAAUUGAAGAAGAUAGGCUUUCCAGAUUUGGAAAAAAGGCAAUGCUCAGAGAUGUUAGAGAGGCAGGAAGAGGAAGCGUGGUCCCCAGUCUUCUGUCCUCUGGCUCUGGUGGAAAUGACACCAUGUCGUCAUCGCAUCCUCUGAUUAAAAGAUAUCGCAGAGAGGAGAAUCUGUGAAAUCCCCGGCCCCGCUCAAUCAUUGACUUCCAAAUCCCCAUAUUACCCUCAAUCCUCAGUGAAUGAAGGUUGGUGGGAAGGCCAUCUUCUUCAAGGCUUGGAAGCUCACCUCCUAUUAUUGUUAAUUGUUGAAGAGAGGUCAGAUUGUGCAAUCCCUUGGGUAAGGCCUCUAGUCUCUUACAAUCAUAUAUCUCCAGCCUCCUGAGUUUCGCACAAGGCAAUCCCCCUUUGGGAAAGGACUCCAGAUUUCCACAACCCCCAAUACCAAUCUGUUGAAGCUGGCACAGAUUAUGUAAACCACUCGAUAAAAUUUUCAGAUUUUCACAGUUAGAAAUGUUGAUUGUUUCAAGAGAUGUGUUGUUGUCCAACCUUUCUGCUAUUGACUGCAGCUUUGGACAUCCAUAAACAUCAAGUACCUUAACGGACGGAGGUAGAUUGCCAACUUCAAGGGACUCAAGCGUGGCAGGUAACUCGUUUUUUGAAAAUAUACAUGUCAGAGACGGACAACUGGAAAUUGCUAAGUUCUCAAGAAGAGAUGAGGUGUACCUUCUGCUGCUGCUACUCUGGAUGCCCUCUUCCACUGUCAAAGUCCUUAUUUUAUUGCACCUCUGGAUGUCCAACCUCUUAAGGCUCAGUGGUAGCUGGACUUCAGCAAUAUAUGUCAACGAAUGGCAAUCCCAAAUUUUCAAGAUCUCGAGAGAUGAACUAGUGUCGCACAUCCAUGGCUCUGGUAACGAUUUCAGUGCAUCACAUUCUCUAAUCUCAAUUUUCUUCAACUUGGAAGGCAGAGCAACCUCAGGAAAGGAAACAAGGGAACUGCACUUGUAGAUUUCUAUCUCUUUCAAGGAACUAAGGCUGAGAGAUGAUUGUGGCAGCUUCACAAGGCCUUCGCAAUAUCUCAAUCUUAGAUAUUCGAGUCUGCAUGACAACUCGCAGAGCUGCUGUUGUUGGUCUUUCUCUUCCUCCGCCACCAAGGAUUGAAGUUUGGGACACCCUCUUAUCUCCAGACUUUUGAGAGAGCAAAUGUCUUGUAGUAAUCCGUCAUGACUCUUCCAUAUAUAUGUUUGCUCUUUUGUCGACAAAAUUAAUUCUUCCAAUUUCGGUAGUUGUGGCUUCAACGGCCCCGCAAGAAACACUUGAUUUGAUGUAUCUCUACAAACCACUGAAUUCUGUGAUCCGAGAUGACCAGUUGCACUUUCCCACACAACCUUUUUGCAUCCACCAAUUAAGAAUUUGCAAAGAGUUGGAAGACUCAAAACUGAAACUAACAAUUCUUCACAUCCUUCAAUAACAAGCAUCUCUAAUACAGGAAGGUGUUCUGGAAAUGUUCCUCGCAGUUUAGGACAUUCUAAAAUGUGAAGCUCUCUCAAUUUAGGAAACCCUUCAACCCCUUGACCGGAUCCAUGAGAAAUCCAGACUUCCCAUUCUUGCAGGUCUUCAAAACGAAGAGUCUCCAAGCAUGGAAAUGGAAUUGGAGAGUCAUCCCCAUAGAACUCUGAACCCAAUCUCUUUACUCUACUCACUCCACGCACUGUAAGAUGCUUUAGAGAGGGCAGUUGCCCGACAGACGGCAGGGCAGUACACAUGCCGCAAUCUUCAAAUUCAAGUGUUACUAAAUUUGAGAAUAAGGAAUCUCCUAACCAUGUUGGAAAUUUUGUACCUCCAUAGCCACAGAUACCAAAUUGUUCCAGAUUUUUAUGGGGUUUGAGCAUGUCAAGCACACCCAUUUCAGUUUCUGCCUCCCUUGAAGAUGAACCAUCGGUACUGCGUGUCCAUCGAAGCAAUAAUUCUUUAAGAUUCUUCUUUCCAUCCAACCGAGCCUCCUUCGCAUUACCAACGUCUUUUACGUUCUCCAAUUUUGAAAUUUCAAGUGCCCCACGAAGAUGCAUCAACAACUUUAGCUCUGAUAACCCCGAACCACUGUCUUUUCCCACAACAAAAUUACACAACGUCUGAAGACAAGUCAACUUGCCAAUUCCUAGUGGCGUUUCCUCCAACGAAUCUGUAUUUGAAUUAUUGAGAUGAUGCAAUUUGAUGAGAUUUCCCAUGUCUGCACACAACUUCUUCAGCCGAUCACAAUCUUCCAACAAAAGACUAUGCAAAUUGUAAAGCUUGUUGACUGAUUCAGGCAGAGUUCUAAUAUUAGUUCCAGACAGGUUAAGGUACCUUCAAUACCUCAAAUCACCAACUGAAUCUGGUAGCUCGGAGAUGUGAUAUCCACGCAAAGAGAAGACCCUCAAGCGUUGGAGUUUGAGCAACUUAGGAAGAAUGCUAGGAGCCAAGUAGCCAGGCGAACUCUCUGUCAACAUUACUGGUAAAAAAGUUCUCAAAUGUUGGAUAUCAUACAAGUCCCCAAACCUUUUACCGCCAACAUAAUAUUCAGGAAUAUAUGACAGAUGACGAAGAUAUCGGGAAAAACUUUGUUGCUUGUUAACCUCAGAGGUAUACUCCAUUGUGAAGUAUAUUUCCCCUGCAGCCCAAUGCGCAAGGUCGUUGAUAAGAUCGUGCAUCACAAAUCGUGAUGCAUCGUUGCUUGAUUGCUGGAAAAAGGAUCUUGAAUGUAGCUCCUUAAAGAUUUCAAGACCUAAAUCUUCACCAGUUUUCUCACGCUCUUUGCGAUCCAAGAAGCCCGAGGCACACCAUAACAAAAUUAUCUCCCCCUCUUCAAAUUCAUAAUCCUUUGGAAACAAUGAGCAAUACGCAAAGCAUUGUUUCAAAGGUGCCGAAAGAUAAUAGUAGCUCACUCUAAGCGCCGGCAUAAUGUCACAUCUCUCUUCUUGCAAUUCCCAUAUCUUGGUACUGAGCACUCUCUCCCAAUCACAUCUGUCAUCUUUUCCUCGCAAAAGUCCUCCAAGUGUUUGCGCUGCCAAGGGCAAGCCAUCGCAUUUGGCCACUAUCUUCUUGCCAAUUUCCUCCAAUAAGUUAUCUGACCCCAAAGAAUGUUGAGCAAAUACAGCUAGACAAUCAUCAAUUGACAACUUUUUUAAUUGAUAAGCUGAGGCAGUUCCCAUGAUGUCUGCAACCUCUUGAUUACGAGUUGUGACAAUAAUCUUACUUCCCUUCGCUCCAGCUUCAAACGGACGGCUGAGGCGAACCCAAUCAUUGUAAUUCUCAUUCCAAACGUCGUCUAAAACAAGCAAAAAUUUCUUUUGAGAUAACUUCUUCUUCAGCUCCUCUUGAAGCAAAUUUAAAUCACUGUCAUCAAUAGUCUGCUUGGUAACGGAUCUUAGAAUUGUUUUUGUUAGCCCCUUAACGUCGAAAUCCUCAGAGACACAAGUCCAUGCCUUGAGAUCAAAAUGAUCCCGCACUUGCUUAUCAUUGUAGACAAGCUGAGCAAGAGUAGUUUUGCCCAGCCCGCCCAUACCUAUAAUAGGAAUAACUGCGAAUCCACCAUCGUUGCUUAAAUCAUCCCUCAACAGCAGUUCAACAACAUCCUUCUUUUCUGUUUCCCUGCCAUAUACUUUGGCUUCAGUCACUAAAGAGGUUGUCUCUAGCCUUUGACUGGCUUUUUUGGACCCUCCAGCUGAACUUUCUUUCAAAUCUAGCAAGUUUUUCUGUGUCACAAUUUCUUGAAAUCUGCUGUUGAUCUCUUUGAUUUUGGACAUCAAGCCAUAAUCGAACUGAAUCGAUUGUGGAGUAAAAGUGGUGCAGCAAGUAGGAAUGAGCUUCCGAAACUUACUUGUUCUUGUACGACUGCUACUGGGUUGAUCAUGAGCAGCAGCUGGUUCUCCAUUCCCAAGCAGCAACCUCCUCCGGAAAGCCUCAGUUUGAAACUCAUCCAACAAGUCUUCAACAUCGUAAGCCAAGUUCUGAAGCUUGCCAAGCCACUUCUUCACAAACUGAUUAGUCGUCUUCUUCUCCUCAGCAUCAUCAAGCACCGCCUUGAUCAUCUCCAACAUAUUCUCCCACUUCAUUAGAUCGUCUUGGAUCUUCUCUUGGCGUGCAAAAAACAGAAUCCCCUCUGAAGCUAACUUAUUGACCAGCAAAUCAACGGACGCCGUAAGGAUUGCCUCUCCGAUGAUCGACAUUUUUUUUUCUUUUUUUGGGCAAAGGAAGAAAGGAGCAGAAUUAUGGGUUAUGGAAAGCAGAAUGAGAAUAUUGAACGGGUGAGAAAAUGGAUAAUUAAGCGGAAUGAGUUUGUGAUUGUGAAGGGUCUGGUUCAGCAAGCUUAGUAGAAAUCACGCGUUUGUACUUUAUUGACCAAUGACUAAAUAAUUUGGCAAUGCACCCACCACCACCAGUUGGCGAGCAAAAUGAAAAAGUUUAAUAAGUGCAGGGGUCGAGCAAAAUACGACGUAAAAUGUGGCAAGUCUCCCCACUUGUUGUUCCUUGCAGCUAAGAAAAGAAAAAACAGAGCCCACCACCCAUUAAUAAUUUAGCAAUUCACCAAUCAUCACAAAAUUCCAUUAGAUAUUCGUCGAUCAAGUAGUUAAGUAUUUUUGCUAGAAUGAAUGCAACCAAGAUUCUAUGGGAUAUGUAUGAAGAUGAUGUAAUAAAGUGCUUUUGAUAUAUUCCCCUAGUCGGUUUACUUCACUAACCAUUAACGAGCAAAUCCUCCCAAUGACCCUCAAUACUCUUGUGCACAAUUAAAAUAAUUUCAAUUAUAUAUAUAUAUAAAUAAAAAAACUCUCAAAUAUAUUAUUUGAUAAUCACCAAAAAAAAAAAAAUUCACCCCAAUAAAUCACAUUACAGUCUAUGUUGCAAGUGUUUUUAGGACUAAUUCAAAGAGAAAAUGCGAAGGACAUGUAAUUGAAUUUGGGACACUGAAUAUAUUCCCAAUUACCCUUUAGUGUAAAUAGUUCCACUUCAGAUAUAUAUAAUGAUGAUGAAAUUUUGUUUUCUCAUAGCAAUCAUUCUAGUGUUUUACAAUGAGUAAUUGAUUCAAUAUUAACACAACACUAUUUUAACAUGUGACAUAUUCUAUCAUAGUGUGCUUCAACUCAGACUUCUAAGUUUCCAUUUUAGAACAAGUUAAAACAGUUCCAACUCAAAAUCAGUAGUGCGCAAUUGGGUUGUUAUAAAUAUUUCUAAAUUUUAGUCUAAUUUGAAUUAUUUAAUUGUGUUUGUACAAACUAGCUUUAUCACUUCUUUUAUAUUGAUACCCUUAAAUUUCAACCUUAUUUUAUGUUGAUGCACAAUCUAACUUAACAAAAAUAAUAUUCAAAUUGUCACAAUUUUUUUUUUUAAAAAAAAUAUACAAAGUUAAUUUUUCUUCUUCUUUACUCUAGGAUCCAGCUCCAUACCCCUCUUUUUUGUCGUUAUGCUACUCAGCCGUUAGAUUUUAAUUACGUUAAUCUAAUGGUUGGGAUUUGCAAAUGAAUAAUGAAGUGGUGUUCGGCUACUAUCCGAGGCCAUUGCAUCUAAUUGGUUUUGUGAUUUUUCACUUUCUUCCCUGUAACACUUGACUAGUUCUGGAAAUUGCUUUUUGGCAUGCUAAUUGUUGUGAAAAUUUUAAUAUACUCGCAAGCGCACGAAUCUAGAAAUAAAAUAGUGGUAACGAGGUCGAUCCCACAGGGAUUGGCACCCAUCACGCCUUUAGUUGUCGUGAAUAAAUCGAAAAUCAAAUUGAACUGGUUUUUACCGGGUAGCAACAAUCGUGACGUUUUGAGAUUAUAAUAUAUGACAACACUGAUUAGUGUUGUCUCCCAUGUGAAUUGAGACAAAAAUGAUUUUCCCAAUUGCGCUUUCAUUUGAACAAUUCCACUGUAGAUUUAUAAAAUAAUCACGAAAUUGUGUUUUAUAAUAAGUUACGAGUAAUUGGUUCAAUAUUAAUACAAAACUACUUUAAGUAACACGUGGCAUAUUCUAAUUCUAGCAAAGUUUCCAACUAAGAUUCCCAAAUCAAAAGAAUUUCAAUCUCCAGAACAUUCUACAAAAUGUUUCUUCUAGCCUCUACGUUGUGCUAGAAUUUUCUCUUGAGUUUUUUAGCAAAGACUUCUAAAGAACUAUCCAGAUAUCGAGCUAUAAUCCAGUCAAAGUGUAUAUAUUUCUCUAAUUCACCUCCCUCCAUUUCACCAGAAAACCAACAAACACUUAGCUUCAAACAAACACUUUCAAAUAGCUAGCUAGCUACCCAGAUGGCAAAAUCAAGAAUUCUUGCAAUGACAAUGUUGUUUCUUGUUGUGGCGGCAACAUUGAUGAACAUGGCAUCACAAGCAAAUGCUCUGAUGCCGUACACACGAUCACCUUUCUUUGACAUGAUGUUCCGAAUGACGAAAGAGCCUUUCAGGGUUCUUGAACAAACCCCUUUAACAAUCGCAAAAGGAGCUGAUCAUCAUCAAACUCUAGCCCUGGCGAGAGCAGACUAGAAGGAGAGUGGAUGGAGCCUUUACUUUCUAUUAUAUUUGUAAAGCGUGCCACAACACACGUGAUCACACUCGACAUUCUCGGAAUUAAGAAAGAUGAUGUGAAGAUUGAAGUUGAAUAGAACAGGGUAUUGAGAGUAAGUGGGCAGAGGAAGGCUGAUGAUUAUUAUAAGGAGAGGGUUGAAGGAGAGAAAUGGCACAGAGCUAAGAGAGCAUUUGGCAAGUUUUGGAGGCAGUUUAGGAUGCCAAUGAGUGCUUGACUUGGAUCAUAUUAAGGCUCACUGAGUGCCAAAGCUUGCUGAGGAGAUGAAGAGGCAGCCGAAGGCUAUUAACAUUGAUGAAGAGUCUGGUAAUUCUUCCAAUGAAGAUAUUAAGGCUACCAAGGCUCAAAUGUAAUUGAUUAAAGAAAGAAGUGAUUGCUUUGCUUGAUGUGCUAUUUGUUUAUGAUCUUUUUUUGGUUUUGUUGUGAGAUGUUUCUCUAUGGACGCUUUGUUUAAUGUAUUUUGAUGGGUUUUUUAGGAUGGCUUGUAUGUAUUGACAACAAUAAAGUGCUUUUUAUAAAUCCUAGUCCUACAACACUAAAAGAAAUUAAUACUCUUGGUUUAUAAUUAAUAAAAAUAUAUAUUUUUUUUAAAAGUCUUUUUCUUUGGCAUAUAGUAUGCGUUUUGAGGGGAAAAAAAUUUAUCCCACUCCUAAUUCGUCCUCUUCUGUGAUAUUAAUGUGUUAACACGAAGAUUCAUUGUAAUUGCAACAAUUUUGACGAAUCCAAACGUUCAAUAACUGUUAAAUUGUAUUUAUAAAUACUAAUAGCGAAGGUACAGAAACGAUUAAUUCAAGAAGUUGCUUAAAGUGCAUUAAAUUAGGGAGUAUAAAUAAUUGUGUGAUACAGUCCAGCCUUCAUCUGCUUAUAAUUAGCAACCAAAAACCACUUUGCAACACCAUUAAAAAAACAUUUUAACAUUAUUGCUGAGGGAAGAGGCAACUUAGGCUUAUUAACUCGUAUUAUUAAUGCUGAUGACGCAGCUGGUAAUCCUUUUGGUGAAUAUAUUAAGGCAGCUGAAGCUUAAAAUUAAUUAAGCCCACUAAAGCUUAAAACUAAUUCUUCUAGUGACGAUGCUUUGCUUAGUUCGCUUUUUGUUUUUAAUUUUUUUGGGGCUAACGUUUUGCUUAUUUUGCUUUUAAAAUUCUAUUGGCGUUGCUGUGGAAUAUUGUUUCUCCUUCGAUUUUCUGUUUUUGUUGUUAUCGGAUUUGAUGAUGGUUUAUAUGUACGAAGAUUAUGUAAUAAAGUGCUUUUGUAACAAUAUAUAUAUAUAUAUAUAUAUAGAUGUUUCAACAGCUAAGAAAGAGAUAGCCAUUAUACAUUACACAUUUGUACUCAAUAAGAAAUCAAUUCAUUAAUAUAGCCAUUAAUACGCCUGGUUUAUUGUUAAUGAAAAUUAAAAAAGAAAAAAAAAUCUUUUUCUUUGGCCUUUAGUAUGCAUUUUAAGAGGAAAAAAAAUUUAUCCCACUUCAAUUCAUGAAGAUAUUUUCAUUUCUGUCAUAUUGAUGUGUUAAUAUGAAGAUCCAUUGCAGUUGGUGAAUUCAAAUAUUCAGUAACUGAUGAAAUUAUAUUUAUAAAUUCAUACUAAUAACGAUUGAAGAUUAUAAUUAAUUUUUUAAUAUGGUCCAGCCCUCGUGUGUUUAAUUAGCUCUCAAAAACCACUAAGGUAAAGGCAAAAUCAUGAUAAAUUGUGGUCGGUUUAAUUUACUUGAUCAAUUGAUAUUGGGUAGCAUUGUUCUUAUACAAACACAAUAAAAGAAGAACACUAACGUACUAAUUAAUUACAAAUAAGAACAUUAACAAUUUUGCCGAAGUCUGAUGAAGAGAAAUAUUACACAUAUGUAACCGUACAACUAAAUAAAAGAAACUGAAGUUUAUUUCAACAGCUAAGAAUGAGAUACGCAUAAGAAAUUAAUCUAUUAAUUAAUUAAUUAAUUCAUACAAUUUUCAACUGAGAUUUGAAUUUUAAAAUUACAUACACAAACACACCUGAUUUAAAAGAAAAAAAUUUUAAUAAUAAAAUAUUUUACGUAUGUAACCAUACCGCGGAAAGAACAAAUGUAAGAAACUGAAGUUUCAACAGUUGAGAAUGAGAUAGGCAUAAGAAAUUAAUUAAUUAAUUAAUAGAGUCCUCCUCCUUUGCUAAAUAAUGCGAGCCCAUUGUUCCUUUUAUUUCGAAAACCCAUUAAUCAUCAACACAUACACGCCCAAUUUUAAAAAAAAAAAAUAAUAAUAAUAAAAUAUUUAAGUCGUCCUCUGUUCAAUAAUCAAAAACCCAUUUAAAAUCUAUUUUAACUUUAGGUAUAUGGGUUAACAAGUCCCAAUAUUGUCCUCCAUCUUUUCUGCACUUCUCUGCUAUCAACGGACAUCCCCCGAUGUAUAAUUGCAAAAGUGAGGAAGGCAGGCCCUUCUCCGGAAAGUAUUUGAGCUUGGGACAAUCCUCGAGUUCCAAGUGAGUGAGGUUUUGAAGAUCAACAAUUGAAGAAGAUAGGCGUUCCAGAUUUGGAAAAUUACCAAUCAUCAGGGAUGCUAGACAGGCAGGAAGAGGAAGCGUGGUCCUCAAUCUUAUGUCCUCCGGUGGGAAUGACACCAUGUCGUCAUCGCAUCCGCUGAUUGUAAGUUGUCGCAGAGAGGAGAAUCUGUGGAAUCCCCGACCCCACUCAAUCGUUGACUUCCAAAUCUUCUUAUUAUCAAUAAUCUCCAGCCUAUGAAGGUUGGUGGGAAGGCCAUCAUCUUCUUCAAGGCUUGGAAGCUCACCUCCUUCUCCUAUUGUUAAUUGUUGAAGAGAGGUCAGAUUGUGCAAUCCCUUGGGUAAGACCUGUAGUCUCUUACAAUAAGAUAUCUCUAGCCUCGUGAGUUUCGCACAAGGCAAUCCCCCUUGGGGAAAGGACACCAGAUUUUCACAUUCCCAUAUCCCUAUCUCUUGAAGCUGGCGGAGAUUAUGUAAACCACUCGGUAAAAUUUUCAGAUUUUCACACUCAGAAAUACUGAUUGUUUCAAGAGAUGUGUUGUUGUCCAACCUUUCUGCUAUUGACUCCAGCUCUGAACAACUCCAAACAUCAAGGGACUUAAGAGACGGAGGUAGAUUGCCAACUUCAAGGGACUCAAGCGUGGCAGGUAACUCGUUUUUUGAAAAUAUACACGUCAGUGACGGACACCUGCUAAUAUGCAAGCCCUCGAGAAGAGAUGAGGUGUACCUUCUGCUGCUGCUGCUGCUCUGGAUGCCCUCUUCCACCGUCAAAGUCCUUAUAUUAUCGCAAUGGCGGAUCUCCAACCACUUAAGGCUCGGUGGUAGUUGGACUCCAGCAAUAUAUGUCAACGAAUUGCAAAUCCAAAUCUCCAAGAUCUCGAGAGAUGAAUUGGUGUCGCACAUCCAUGCCUCUGGUAACGAUUUCAGUGCAUCACAUUCUCUAAUCUCAAUUUUCUUCAACUUGGAAGGCAGAGCAACCUCAGGAAAGGAAACAAGGGAACUGCAGCCGUAGAUUUCUAUCUCUCUCAAGGAGCUGAGGCUGAGAGGUGAUUGUGGCAGCUUCACAAGGUCUUGGCAAUCUCUCAAAUCUAUAUAUUCGAGUAUGCACGACAACUGGCAGAGCUGCUGUUGUUGGUCUUUCUCUUCCUCCGCCACCAAGGAUUGAAGUUUGGGACAACUUGUAAUCGUCAGUCUUUUGAGAGAGCAAAUGUCUUGCAGCAAUUCGUUAUGACUCUUCCAUAUAUAUGUCUGCUCUUUCAUAUCAUUUAUCUCCAAUUCUUCCAAUUUUGGUAUUCGCGGCUUCAAUGGCCCUGCGAGAAACACUUGAUUUGAUGUAUCUCUACAAACUACUGAAUUCUGCGAUCCGAGAUGACCAGUUGCACUUUCCCACACAAUCUUUUUGCAUCCACCAAUUAUGAAUUUGCAAAGAGAUGGAAGACUCGAAACUGAAACUAACAAUUCUUCACAUCCUUCAAUAACAAGCAUCUCCAAUGCAGGAAGGUGCUCUGGAAAUGUUCCUUUCAGUUUAGAACAUCUUAAAAUGUGAAGCUCUCUCAAUUUAGGAAACCGUUCAACUCCCUGACUGAAUCCAUGAGGAAUCCAGUCUUCCCAUCCUUGCAUGUCUUCAAAAUGAAGCGUCUCCAAGCAUGGAAAAGGAAUUGGAGUAUCAUUCCCAUAGAACUCUGAACCCAACCUCUUUACACUAGUCAUUCCACAUACUGCAAGAUGCUUUAGAGAGGGUAGUUGGCCGACUGACGGCAGGGUAGGACACAUGCCACAAUAUUCAAAUUUUAAGGUCACCAACUUUAAGAAUGAGGAAUCUCCGAACCAAGUUGGAAAUUUUGCGCCUCCAUAGCCGCUGAUACAAAAUUGUUCCAGAUUUUUAUGGGGUUCUAGCAUGUCAAGCACGUCCUUUUCAGUUUCCGCCUCCCUUGAAGACGAGCCAUCGGUACUGUUUGUCCACCGAAGCAUUAACACUUUAAGGUUCUUCUUUCCAUCCAAUUGAGCCUCCUUUGCAUCACCAACGUCUUUUACGUUCUCCAAUUUUGAAAUGCAAAGUGUCCCACGAAGGUGCGUCAACAACUUUAGCUCUCGUAACCCGGAACCACUGUCUUUUCCUACAACAAAAUUACACAACGUCUGAAGACAAGUCAACUUGCCAAUUCCUAGUGGCAUUUCCUCCAACGACUUCGUAUUUGAAUUCUUAAGAUGAUGCAAUUUGGCGAGGUUUCCCAUGUCUGCACACAACUUCUUCAGCCGAUCACAAUCUUCCAACAAAAGACUAUGCAAAUUGUAAAGCUUGUUGACUGAUUCAGGCAGAGUUCUAAUCUCAGUUCCAGACAGGUUAAGGUACCUUAAAUACCUCAAAGCACCAAUUGAAUCCGGCAGCUCAGGGAUGCGGUAUCCACGCAAAGAGAAGACCCUCAAGCGUUGGAGUUUGAGCAACUUAGGAAGAAUGCUAGGAGCCAAGUAUCCAGACAGUGAGCUAUUUGACAGCAUUACGGGUAAAAAUGUUCGCAAAUGUUGGAUAUCGUACAAGUCCUCAAACCUUUUAACACCAUCGUAAUCUCCACGAAUAUACGACAGAUGACGAAGAUUUCUUGAAAAACUUUGUUGCUUGUCAACCUCUGAGAUAUACUCCAUUCUGAAGUACAUUUCCCCAGCAGCCCAUUGAGCAAGGUCAUUGACGAGGUCGUGCAUCACAAAUCGUGAUAUACUGUUGCUUGAUUGCUGGAAAAAAGAUCUUGCACGUAGUUCUCGAAAGAACUUUCGACCUAGAUCUUCACUAGGAUUCCCGCUCUCUCCGUGAUCCAAGAGACCCACAGCACACCAUAAUAAAAUUAUCUCCUCCUCUUCAAAUUCAUAAUCCUUUGGAAACAAUGAGCAGUAUGCAAAGCAUUGUUUCAAAGGUGCCGAAAGAUAAUAGUAGCUCACUCUAAGCGCAGGUAUAAUGUCACAUCUCUCUUCUGGUAAAUCCCAUAUCUUGCAACUGAGCACAUCUUCCCAAUCACUUCGGUCACGUUUACCACGUAAGAGUCCACCAAGAGUUUUCGCAGCUAAGGGCAAGCCGUUGCAUUUGAUCACUAUAUUCUUGCCAAUGUCCUCCAAUGACUUAUGUGAACUGAAAUCUGUUGUCCCCAAAGAGUGCUGAGCGAACACAGACAGACAGUCCUCAGUUGACAAGCUUUUGAGUUCAUAAGCUUGAUCCAGGCUCAUGAUUUUGGCAACCUCUUCAUUGCGAGUGGUGACAACAAUCUUACUUCCCUGUGCGCCAGCUUGAAAUGAAAGGCUGAGGUGAACCCAAUCAGUGUAAUUCUCAUUCCAAACGUCAUCUAAAACAAGCAAAAAUUUCUUUCCAAAUAGUUGUUUCUUUAGCUCCUCUUGAAGCUUAUUCAAGUCGUGAUUAUCCACAUUCUGGCCAGGAGCAAUGGAAAUUAGGAUUGAUUUUGUAAGCCUGCUAACAUCAAAAUCAUCGGAGACGCAAGUCCAUGCCUUGAGAUUAAAAUGAUCCUCCACCUGCUUAUCAUUGUAGACAAGCUGAGCAAGAGUGGUUUUACCCAGCCCGCCCAUACCUAUAAUAGGAAUAACAGAGAAUCCACCAUCCUUUCUUGAAUCAUCCUUCAACAACAAUUCAACAAUUUCCUUCUUUUCUGUUUCCCUGCCAUAUACUUUGGCUUCCUCCACCAAAGAGGUUGUCUCUUGCCUUUGCCUGGCUUUUUUGGAUCCCCCAGCUGAACUUUUUAUCAAAUUCAGCGAGCCUAUUCUUUCUUCAAUAUCUUGAAAUCUAUCGUUGAUUUCUUUGAUUUUGGACAUCAUGGCGUAAUCGAACUGAAUCGAUUGUGGAGUAAAAGUGGUGCAGCAAGUAGGAAUGAGCUUCCGAAACUUACUUUUCGUGCUUGUACGACUGCUGCUGGGUUGAUCAUGAGCAGCAGCUGGUUCUCCAUUUCCAAGCAGCAACUUCCUCCGGAAAGCCUCAGUUUGGAACUCAUCCAACAAGUCUUCAACGUCAUAAGCCAAGUUCUGAAGCUCGCCAAGCCACAACUUCACAGAAUCAUCAGUCGUCUUCUUCUGCUCAGCAUCAUCAAGCACCGCCUUGAUCGUCACCAACUUCUUCUUCCACUUCACUAGAUCGUCUUUGAUUCGACCUUGGCGUUCAAAUAAACGAAGCCCCUCCGAAGAUAACUUAUUGACCAGCAUCUCAACGGACGCCUUCAGGAUUGCCUCUCCGAUGAUCGACAUAUAUUUUUUUUUUUUUGGGACAAAGAAUGAAACCAGAUUAUGAGCUUGUGGAAAGCAGAAUGAGAAAAGUGAAUAAGCAGCGUGAGUUUGUGAUUGUGUCUAGCAAGCCUAGAAAUCAAGAAAAACCCACCGUAAAAGUGAAAAGUAAAACGGAGCCAACCACAAAUAUAAAAUCAGAGGAUCACAGAAAUUAAAAAAAAAAAUCAAACACGUAAUGAUUUGUAAAGUUAUUAGCGAUUUGUAAAAAUCAAACAUGCGUCUUCUUCCUCUGAGUGUUUUUUUUUUUUUUUAACUUUAUUAAUUAAUUAGUGAAGUAAAUUUGUAAAGAUCACGGGCAUCAAAUUAUUGGGAGGUAUUAAUUGCGCUUAGUAUUUACAAUUUUUUGUAAAACUUUUUAAUUUCGUUGAAAAUGUAUCGUUAUUAAGUUAUUAUUGAUUUCACUCUCUUUUACUUUUUGACGUUGCGAAAAAGACAGUAAAAAACUUGCUAAAUGUCAUCAAAUACUUGUAUCUCAUCUCACAAAUUAGCAAUAUUUGUUUGGUAUUUCAUCUCAACGGGACGAAGGAACGAUAGAAAACGCGUUCCCUCAUCAAAAUUUUCUUUCGUGAGACCGAUAAUAAAUAAUAAAAUAUUCUUUUAUGGGAUCGAUUAUAAAUAGUAAAUUAAAGAAGGGUCGACAGAAAACGCGUUCCCUCAUCUAAUUUUUCUUUUGUGGGACCGAUAACAAAUAAUACAAUAUUCUUUUGUGGGACCGACUACAAGUACUAACAUAAAGAAUAAAAAAAUGAAAAAAAGGAUAGUGAAAUAACUCAACGGAGAAGUCUAUAAAUGCUUUUGUUUGGUAGCUGGCUAAAGCAGAAUCUGUAAGUUGCAGAGUCAAGUUACACUUAGCCUGCUCCAUAACUCUAAUGUGAAACAAAAAAAGUCCUGCCACCAAUAAUUCAGCAAGCUUCACUUUAUUACACGAAGGUGAAAGCAAAAAGCCAAAAACAGCCCCCACCACCAUCAAUAAUUUAGCAAGCUUCACGCGCUUGUGCUUGUCUUGUCUGCUUGACGAACUGGACAUGGGUGGACCAAGCAUCCAUUGAAUAACUGGAAAAAGUAAAAAAUAAAAAACAGUGUCCCGCAAAAAGAAUCCAUCUUUAUGUGUUGAUAUGCACAUCUACCGAACAUCUACAAAAUGGAAGUAGAAAUUGAAACUUACGUUUUUUAGUUAUGGCUCAUAUAUAAUACAAGUAUCAAUAUUUAAGUAGAAUAGAGUUCACAUAUACACAUGCGUCUAGUUUUAAGUUUUAACCGAGAGAUAAAUUAAUCAUUAAUACUCAGGUGUUUCUAAAUAAUUGAAUAAUGAUAUUAUACGAACCUUCCCUUUACAAGUCUUCAAACUCAUAAACCAAGUUAAAAUAAAAUUAAAAAAAACGUUUCUCUCUCUCUCUCCUUUUGCUAUAUGAUUACUUUAUUUAUUGAAUUAAUUUCCAUGCUAUAUCAAAGACUUAAAAGUACACUAUAAUUUUUUAUAAUCAUAAUGGUAAUUUCUAUCAUCAUAUUAAAUUAUUGUCGUGUCAAAAUAAAUUAUAACAAAAUUUUAGCUGAACAUAAGUUCGACUCAUUUAUUAAAUAUAUAUACUUAAUAAAAUAAUAAGACGAUUAAUAUGUUAUCAGUGAUAUAGACCCAACUGAAAUAACUCUAAUGUGAAAACAAAAAAAAUCCCGCCACCGAUAAUUGAGCAAAUUAACUUCACUUUAUUACACGAAAGUGGAAGCAAAAGCCAGAGGCAGUCCCCACCACCAUCGAUAAUUGUGCUUGUCUUGUCUGCUUGACGAACUGGACAUGGGGGGGGGGGGGGGGGGGGGGGGACCAACCAUCCAUUGAAUAACUGGAAAAAGUAGAAAAUAAAAAAAUCAGUGUCCAGCAAAAAGAAUCUACCUUUAGGUGUUGCUUCCUAUUCAGUACAUGCAUAGAUAAUGUACAUCGACCUGGAAUUAAAAAAAUGGAAGUAGAAAUUAAAACUUACUUUUUUAGAUAUGGCUCAUAUAUAUUACAAGUAUCAAGAUUUGAUUAGAGUUCACAUAUUUACAAUGUGCCUAGUUUUAAUUGAGAGACAAACUAAUCAUUAAUAAUCAGGUUUUUCUAAAUGAUUAAAUAAUGAUAUUAAUUAUUGAUAUUUAAAAAAUUUGUAAGAAGUAUAACUAAUAUGUUGGGAUAUGUAUUUGUGUAGAAUGGCAAAUAUAAAGAAUAGCAAUAAAAAUAGUGGAACUUUAAUAUGAUGAAAAAAGGUAAACUGUAGAAAAUUAAUAUAUAAUUCAAGGUACGUUACAAAUAUCACUUUCCUUCAGACAUUAUUUACCCCACCAAUUGAGUGAAUGCACAUGAGUUAAGCAAAUAUGUCUCUAGGAUAUAAUGAAACGCUUCUUUGUUUGCUUGUAUUGUGCAUCGACAAAAGUAAAUCUGAAUAUUCCUUAAUGUUGCAAGCUUGCCACGAAUUAAUAUAUUGUUAUUGUAAAAAAAUAAAAAAAAUAAUGUAUUGGAUAUUUGAUGCAUAAAAGAAAUAGAUAUUAUUAGAUGAAAUUCAUUUUGAGAAAUAGGGCUACAAAAAGAGUGGUGUAAUGUCGUUUUAUUAAUGUCUAAAUGGCAUAAAUAUGACAUCUAUUUACAAAUAUAUUUAUGCUCUUUUAUUUAAGUUAUCGUCUUUAGUAAUGCCCUUGAUUCAUAUCCAUUAGAUCAAGCAACCUAAUCCCCACUAAAACUAACUUAUUGAACAGUAACUCAACGGAUGCUGUAAAGAUUGCUCUUGGAUGAUUGACAUUUUUUUUAAAAAAAAUUUGGGCAAAGAAAGAAACUGAAUUAUGAGUUUAUGGAAAUUAAAGCAAAUGAGAAAGUGAAUUAGCACAAUGAGUUUGUGAUUGCGAAGGAACCAGCAAAUCAAAAAACAAUUAAGCAAGAGAAAAGGACAAUGAACACUUUAAUAUUCUAGAAAAGGGAUAUGAAACCUCUAAACAUUUUAAAAAAGAUAUAUAAUCUCCUUUUUAUUAGUAAAAUCUGUUUAUUUCAGUAGUAACAUAAUCUUUAAUUUACAUUUACUAUCAUGUCCCUAUAAUAAAUAAAUUAAUAUAUUUAAUUUAAAAGAGUGAGCCCUCCAAUUUUACUUCCCAUUUGCUCAAUUGCCUUUCAUUCAUAUACAAGCAUGUUUAACAUCUCAUUUUGCCUAAUUUGCCUUGGAAGAAAAUAAAUUUGAUUUUAUUUUUAUCUAUUAUUCAUCAUUUUUUAUCAUCUUAACAUUGGGAAGGAUAUAUUCAUAAUUUAAAGUGAAUAAUUUGGAUAAAAGAUAAUUAUAUCUUAAUUUUAAGUUUUAAAUAAAAAGUUGUUGGUUUUAUUAUACAUGUCAUUGAUGACAUGUCUUAAAUUAAUAUAUUUAUUUAUUUAUUAUCGGGAUAUAAUAAUAAUUAUAAAUUAAAAAUAAAUUUAUUAUUAAAAUAAAUGGAAUUUAUUAACAAAAAUAGGAAUUAUAUAUCUUUUUUAAAAUAUUAAAACAUUAUUUUUUUUUAGGGUAUCACUAUCCAUUUCCCAUUAAGCAAAACAAAAGUGAAAAGAAAAAUCAGAGCCCACUAUAAAUAUAAAAUUAGUGGAGCUCAUGAUGAUGCAUUUGCUUUACAUACUAAAUUAAAUAAAAGCCGAACCAAGAAUCUUUGCCUUAGCUUAACAUGAUUAAUUAGGCACUACUUCAUAGAAAACGCGAAAGCAAUGAACCCUUUUUUUAAUCUUAAAUGUCAUGAAUAUAAUUCUUCUGCGUUAAUUAAUCAUUCUUCUCUGACCGUCUCUUCAGGUUCAUUUCAAAAGUUUGAAGAUAGUUUAUCAAUUCUUCUACUUAUAAAAGCAAGUUAAAUUAAAAGAUUUUAAUCUCUCUUCUUAUUACUAUAAGUGCACUGUGCACGACAUUUUUUUACAAUAAACAAUGCCAAUUUGUAAUGUAAUGUUAUAUUCAUAUUCCCAUCGCGUCGAACUCUUUUUUUCCCUCUUUUUUAAAAGGAGACGGUGCGGUUUGGUUGUUCGCAAAAUUAGUGGUGUGGGGCUCUAUUUGCUUUUGUUUUCACUUUAUUAAUUAACUAGCGAAGCAAACAUGUAAUCAUUUGUAAAGGAGUCACUAGCACCGGAUUAUGUAAGAUGAAUUCGUAAGACUUAUUAAUUUCAAUUGAAAAUGUAGCGUUAUUAGGUUAUUAAUUCACUAAGUUAACUUGAGGUUCUAAUAUUUACUAAUUGUGGUGAUUAAUUUAUUUAACUUGUCAUAAUUUUCAUUUGAGAAUGAAAUUCAAUCAAUGUAUGAAAAAAGAUAAUUUUUUAAAAUUUUUAAUUCCUAUGAUUUGAUUUCACUUUUUUCCGGAUAUUGACGCUGUAAAAGCUUGCCCAAUGUCAUCAAAUGCUUGUAUCCCAUCUCACAAAUUAGCAAAUAUCAUUUGGUUUCUUUAUACGUGGCCAUCACAAAUUAAAAGUAACAACAUCCACCAUAUAUCGAAAAUUAAUUUUGAGAAUACUUUUGACUUUUAAAAGAAAAAUGCGAGUACAAUUUAAUAAGAGAGAACAAGAAUUGAUCAUGUCCCAAGAGACUGAAAAUAAGAUUAUAUAAACUUGAAUGCAGGCAUAUCAUAUGUUAAUCUUAAUUUUUUUUUGUUGCUGAAAAUUAAUUAAUUUGUUCCACUAUUCCUUUUUUAAUUGUAUGGUGAGAAACACAUUGGCCACUUCUGAAUCAUGUUGCAUAUUUGUUAACUCAAAGAAACAGUACACUUUUGUAUCAAUCAAACUCACUUUGUUAAUAUUCUUCAUUAUUAUGGUUAAUGGCUUAGCAAAUGUAGAAGGAGGAGUCAACCAAAAUGUAGCACUUUCUCUUGUAUUAACCUUUUAUUAAUUGUUGAAGUUAAAAAAAAUGUUAAAACAAGUUAAAAUAGUUCCAUCUCAAAAUCAGUAGGGUGUAAGUAGGUUGUUAUAAAUAUUUUUAAAUUUUAGUCUAAUUUAAUUGUGUGAUGCACAAACUUUCUCACUUCUUUCAUAUAAAUAAAGGGGAGAACUAUUUGAACUCAUUAAAUCACUUUUUAAAUUCCUCUACUUAUUAAGGCCAUCAUAAAAAUUCAAAAAUCCUUUUUAUACUCACUACAUCUCUUAAAAAUAUCGCAAAUAUGACACAUUUGUCUUCACCUUCUAUUUAUCUUCAACAUUCACAAUUUUUAUUUGAAUCUGUAAUAUGUUUAACACUGUUCAUUCACUCAUUAGAGUUCCAAUAAUAGAAUAUAGAGAUUAAAAAUAUCAUUAGCAAAUUAUUUGUUUGUGUUCUAUAUGAUAUUCUUGGUUUGGAAAAAGCUUCAUCGGCAAUAUAUGUAAAUAAAAGACUAAGAACUUCCAAUAAUUCAGAUUUGAUCGAAACUUCACAAACUUAUUUUCACUUAAAAAAAUAAAAUAAAGUAAAAGAAAUUCUCGUGUUUUAAAAGAAAAACUGCCAGACAUGUUUCUAAAACAACUAGAAACCAAACUAGGCUUGAAGCAGUGAGUUUUGAAUUAUAAAAAAUACAUAAUUGUAAUUUCACCUAAAUCAAAUGAUGAAUUUCAUGACAACGGAUUUAGACUAUAGACCAAUACACAAAGAAUUGGAUGUUCAUCGCAUUUGUUCUUGAAAUUGUUUUGCGCAAAAAAGUUAACUAUUGUAUUAUGUUGUAUUGCAUUAUUUUAAUAUAAGUGUAUUAUAUUAUGCUGUAUUGCAUUAACACUGUAUUAUAUUAAUACUAUACAACGUUUGGUUCUACAUUGUACUAUAUUAAUUUUUAAUUAUACAUACACUAUAUUAUGCUAUACUAUAUUAUUUUUUUGGUGGUUAAUUUCAAUUAUAUGUUUGGAAAUAAUAUUUAUUAGUACUUAGCAAAAUAUAAAAUAUAGAACCUUAAAUUUUAGAAUAUUUACAUCAAUUUUUUUUAGUAUAAAUGUAAAUAAUUAUAAUAAUUCUUCAUUAAACUUAUGUAAAAAUAACAAAUUCUGAAUUUUUGCUAUCGUAACAUUUUUUUUUUAACGGCGUUUUUCAAAUGUAUACCUUAUUGAUGAUGCACCAUAAAAAUAAAUAUCAAAUUUUGCGAUCAUGAUCAAGUCGAGUUUUACAUUAUGAAAGCAUGACACAAAAAUUGAAAAAAAUAAUGGCCGGCAAAAAGUUAUACAAGCAACAACAAAAGUGCUAAUUACUCGGAAAAUAAACAAUCAAGAGCCGCUGAUAGAUAUGAGUCAUAUGACAAGGUAGAGGAAUACAGAUAUCUGCAUACAUUUUUAACAAAGAUCAUCUUUGUAACCAAUUGUUGGCUUUGGCAUUAAAAGAUCAUCUUUGUAACCAACUGGGUAGCUAUAAAAUGAAUACUAAGUCAAUCAAACGGGAAAGCUUGCUACAAGACUUUGAAGCAUUAUUCUGUUGCAUCACCUUCCUCCUCUGCCUCACUUCCUGCAUCCCAAAUUAAAGAACAACAAAUAUUAAAUAACAAAAACAAAAUCUUCAAUAGACUUUUCAUACUCCAUGGAGCAAAUCUAUGGGAAUCCACAAAAUAAUUGAAAUAUAUCAAUGCUGCAGGUCAUAGUAACAAAUUACAGAUACACAAUCAUGCAUAUGCAACUAAAAAAUGCUUAUUUAUUACAGCCGCUUUUUGGCAUGACUACUUCAUAAGUUAUAUAUGAUAGAUAACAUUAUUAUUCUAAUCACAUGGUUAUGAUUUUAGUUGGACAUACAAAAGCUACGUGCAUGAAUCUGUAUCAUGCCACCUUUCAUGAGUCAAAAAUUUAAAUCAAAUCAAUUUGGUUGAGCCUUCAAAUUCCUAUUCCAGUCAAAGGAGAUGAUUUUUCCAAAGGUAAAGAAUGAGUCCGGUUACUUAAGCAUGUCAACCUUUUUUCUAGGCUAAGGUUUAUCCCUUUCCAUUUCACUAACUCUCCUCUCACUACCUUGCGUCAACAUUUGCAUACUUGAUAUACUUUCACAACCUUAAUCUAAUACUUUCAUUUAUGCUGAUAUAAAGAAGAAGUUUGAUUUAAAUCUGGACAGGUAACAAGAUUAAAAAACUGCCUUGUAGUAGAGCCAAUUCUUCCAACAAACAUUUCUUGAACCAAUAUCUAAGAUUAAGCUGGAUCACGUAAGACAAAUAUGCCAAGAAGAUUUUUAACUCACCUGACACUAUGGAUCUCCAAAUGUACUCAAUUAGCUUAGGUAAGCCAUACUUCUUCUCAAUUAUGAGCCCAGUAAAUAGGACCCGAAAAACUUGCAUUCCUCUGCUGACAUUCAUUUCAGUGUUGCAAGAAUUACAGAUUCCAUGACCAUGGACUGAAGUUCUUUUGUUAAGACAGGCGCAAGAGAGUACGCCCCUAUCCCACUAGUAUUUGGCCCGGUGUCACCAUCACCAACUUGUUUAUGGUCCUGACAAGACAUUAGAGGUAUGGGCGUAUGGCAUUCUCCCCAUCCACGAAGUCCUUUAGAACCAAAAGCAUUGUUUACAAGCAUCGAAUCAACAACUUCUAUGAAUCAUCCAAUGUCAUAGUUAGAGCUGGUAAAAUUUGACACGAUCCAAUUAUUCGACACGAACACGACACUAAUAAAUGGGUAUGGGUCGUCAAAUUUAACACGAUUAUUAAAUCGGUCGGGUCCGGGUCAACACGAUUUUUUUCCGUGUCGGGUUAGGGUUAAAAUUCUUGACCCAUUUACCCGAUCAAUGACUCGAUUAUAUUUUUUAUUUUAAAAUAAUUUAUAGAUUCUUGUCAUCAAAACUUAAAUAUUAGAGAAUUUUUUUUUAUUCUUUAAAAAGAUGAAUAUAGACACAAUAUUUUAUUUAUAAAAUUUUAAAUAUAUUUAGAGCUUUAAUAAUGUAAAUGUAUAAAAUAUUGGUAGAUACGUAUAUUUUAUAAUAUUGAUAUAUAAUAUUAUUUACAUAUAUAUAAUUAAAACCUCAAUAAUGUGUGUAAUAUUUUAGUAGAUAUGAAAAUUUUAUAAUACUGAUAAAUUAUGUAUGUAUGGAUGGAUGUUGAGACAAGCUAGAGAAGCCAUGAAUGAGAUUUUUCCUUUGACUCCUGCUAUGUGGCAAGAAUUUGCGAGAGAUGAAGCCUCUAUUUCAACCGGGUAUCUGUCAUUUCCUUUUUACAGUGGUUUUUGAUUUUGUGAACAAAUACUUUUUUUUUCGCUUAGAGAUAUAGAUGUUUAUGUUAGUUAUUUGCUAAUGUAAAAAGGAACAAAAACUGCUUAAAAGGUAUUAAAGAAAGAAAAAAGGAACCAAUUUGAAGAAGGGGAUACUCAUAGCGGGAGUUCUGCUUUGGGGUUUAAUUGAUGGGAAGAAGAAAUAGUUUAUAUGUUUACAGAAUUAAACAAUUGAUCACUGAGUUAGUUGAGGAAGAUAAUUAAUCACAAUGUCUGAAGCUGUUGCUGUUGGCGUCACCUAUUGUUAAGAUUUCAUCCUUUUUUAUGGUUUUACAUAGCUGUGACCUAAAGCUUAAUGUAUACGUUGAUAAUUACAUAAUUGGUUUCUUGCUGAUACUUGGCUUUAAUUUGUAAGCCUGAGGCUCUUUCGGGAAUUGAGAAGAUUUACGGAAGAGGAGUUUCUGAUUAUCUGGUUUGUUCUCUUUAUGCUUACAGAAUUUGAAUUAACGCUCUGCAUGAAUUUAUGAUUCAUUUUUUUUGGAGAAAUAUUUUAUGAAAUUGAAGCAUUGGAGUAAAGCGUACUAGUCGUAAGCUUGAUUCACUUUGUUUUGAUUUUAUUACCAAGAGGUGCUAACAGUUCAUGAUGCAUAAAAGAGGGGGAAAAAAACUCUUCUUGGUAGAUACAUAAAUUUUAGUUUCUGAAUCAUUUUCAACGAAAGAAAUAAUUUUACAGAGGCUGAAGAGCAGCAUUUUCAUUUAUAUGAAAGUUCAAUUGUUAUAUCAUCUGUUUCCAUAUCUUUUGUGGUAAAUAAAGUCCUUGAUGAUGGCAUAAGAGCACAGAAGAGUUGUUAGUUUCAUAUGUGGAGAUUUUCAUCAUAGUAGUUCAUUGAAAGUGAAGGCAGCUGAAUACCCUUUUUUCUGAUGCAGUCUGUCCCUCUUUGGUGUGAUUAUUUAAAAUUUGUGCAAGAAUAUGAUCCAUCUAUACGCGAAUGUUUACCCAAUGGCACUUCAAAGGCAAGGAAUCUAUUUGAGCGGCUAUUACUGCUGCUGGUCUGCAUGUUUUAGAAGGCAGUGAAAUAUGGGAAUUGUACAGAGAAUUUGAGCUAGCUAUAUUUAGUAGGAUUGAUAAGAUUAACUUGAAUGUGAAAUAUUUUAAUUUAUUUUACUUUUUUUUGGGCUUAAAUAACGAGUUUAUUCCCAUCUAUAGAAAGAAAAAGGGAAGGUUUUUUUUUUUUUUGCUGGGGGGGGUGUUUCCAACCCUAGCACAUGACAAGCAUUCCAAGACCCUUGCUGCUUGUUUUGCAGGAAAAGGAAAAACAGGUUCUGCGGAUUCGAAGUAUAUUUCAUCGCCAGUUGUCUGUUCCCCUUGCUAACUCAAGUGCAACUCUUCUUGCCUACAAAUCUUGGGAGCUCAAACAGGGGGCUGUUCUUGAUGUUGAAUCUAGUAAUGUAGAUGGGAUUUCUUCUAAUGUUGCCGCAGCAUACCAAAAGGCAUUGGAGAUGUGUAAUGCACGAGCUCAUGUUGAAGAGCAGAUUUCUAGGCAGGAUUUAUCUGACUCAGAGAAAUUUCAACAAUACAUGGCAGAUGACUUUACUAUCGUCAUUUGAUAGCUUUUUAUAGUAAGUGAAAUCCAGCCCUAAAAAUUUUAUUAAUAUGAAUAUUUUUUUGGGGGGAUUUCUUCUUAUGGCAUUAUUAUUUUGCUUUUGUGUAGCUAACAAUUAAUAUGUGCACUUUAAAUAUUAUCUAUUGUUUCUUAGCAAAUAAUAGUAAUAAUAAUAAGUAAUAAAUAAUUAAUAUCUGCAUUGUCAAAUAAUAAUAAUAAUAAUGUCUGCUCUUUUUACUCUUGGGGGGGGGGGCAUGCAGUGUCAUUAUCUUCCUUCUUCUCCUUUUUCUAUUUUGUGCUUUCAAGUUUAAUAUUAUUAUAUUAAUCUGUUAUUGUUGUAGAUAUACUUGAAGUAUGAGCAAUCUUCUGGAGAUCCUGGUAGAGUUCAACUUCUUUAUGAACGGGCUAUUACCGACUUUCCUGUAUCAAGUGAUCUCUGGCUUGAUUAUACUCGUUAUCUUGACAAAACAUUAAAGGUUUAUCCUUCUAUUUUCUAUUUUACUUCUUCUGUUGCAGCUAUUUGUAUACUAAUCGACUCUCCUCUUCAGGUUGGUAAUGUUGUGAGAGAUGUUUAUUCCAGGGCUACAAAAAAUUGUCCCUGGGUAGGAAAACUUUGGGUACGAUCUUUGCUUUCUCUGGAACAUGGCCGUGUUUCUGAGGAGGAGAUAUCCACUGUAGGUUUAAUUGUUACCCUUCAUUCUGAGCUUAAUCAAUUUUCCUGAAUGUAUUCAUUCUGAGCUUAAUCAAGUUUCCUGAAUGUAAUUGAUUUUGAUUGUUUGAAGUUAAAGAAAUGAUCAGCUUCCUAGGCAAAUUUCUUGGCAAGCACUUGAUUGUGGGAGUAACUGAGGAGAAGCAUUCCCUAGUGUUUUUUUUUGUUUUUCUCCUCCCCUAAAAUUGCAAUAUACUUCCCUUGAAGAGUAUUUUUUGCUUUAGCAUUUACACAUCUGUACAGAAGCAAACAUGAAUCAGAGAGAUUUAGUGGGCAAAUUCACCUGUGCUGACAAAUUAAAGCAUAUUAAAUACCGCGGUGGUUGUUGGAAUGCUCCAAAAAGUGUUUUCUUGGUGCUCCUGCUCCUUUUGCACUUUCAUAGUGUUUUAAUAACUGGGUUGUUUAAAUGUCCUGUACUUAUUUUCUUUACAAAUGUCUUUGUAUUUUUUUAAAUUUAUAAAAGAUUGUUCUAAUUAUAUUAAUAGCAACAAAUUGCGCAAACUCAAAUCUUAAUUUCAUUCUGCCCCUAUUACAUAUAUACGGGAUUCUCCUAUUAUUUCAUCAAAUUUUCCAUUACUAAUUUCAGGUCUUUGAGAAGUCACUACUAUGUACUUUUUCAACCUUUGAGGAGGUAGAGAUAUAAUCUUAUGUCUUCUGUACAUACCUUGGUUUCUUGAGCUGUAUGAUUUGGUAUAUAUCUACUUCUGAUUCAUCAUGCAUUUUUUUGUUAACUGGUUCUUUUUUGUUUGAGUACCUAGAUCUAUUCCUUACUUGAAUAGAUGGUUUGAGGUGGAGAAUUUUAUUCUCCGGUGAAGUUGAGGGCGCCUUGGAUUAUUCAUUGAUAACGGAAACCCUUCAGGUUUGUAAACUUAUACUGUUGGCUAUUCAAUAUUAAAAUUGGUUAUACUCCUUAAUAUCAAGAAAUUGAAGCUUCCCAAAUCAUACCCAAGAAAUGCUCUAUUGUGGAUUACUGGAUGGAGCUAGUUGCUAGAUGAUACCUUUAAGAUUCAAGACAUAUGUUGUUUUGUGUAUGGCUAUCAAGUACUUUGGCCUGCAAUUGUGGCAUAUUGGUCUUACGCCAGCAUCAGGUAUAACAUUGUGUCUGGCAUAUAUACCAUUGGAAUUCUGGGUUUCUGUUGAGUGGGCUCCAACAGCUAUAUUUGUGUCCAAUGUUGUGGGGUCCUCUUCUUUGGUGCUUUUAAGUGAAGUUUUAACUUUCCUUGUCAAAAUUUUGUUACAAAUCAAGUAGAAGGCACUGCACUGAAGCAUUGGUACUUCUAGAUUGCUUGUUUUGCAUGGUAGAUUUCAAUCCAUUGCUUUUAUUUCUUGGAUCAUGUUUAUCAUUGAGGACUUUCUUGGCCAGUCAUAGAGCUGACUAGUGCUACCAUCAUCAUUGGUAGGGCAAAAAAGUCAAUUCCUAUGGGAUGCUUUCUGACUUAGAGAAGAUGUCUUCAAGAAUUUGUGGAUUUAAGUCUUCACACGAUGUUCAACUCUUGAUAGUCUAACCUUGGUACAGGAUUUAUAGCUGUCUUCCAAGUUUGUGCUCAUAAAUGAGUAACCUGUCUGUCUUUAUGAUACCAGUUAAAUUUGUUAGCUUUCCGGGAUUUGGAGGUUGUAAAUGUCCAUAAACAACAAUGUCUUCUCUUCCUUACAGCGUGCAUCAGAUUACUUGUCAGAACAGAUGAAAAAUAACAAUGGUUUGCUGCGUUUGUAUGCUUAUUGGGCACGUCUUGAACAAACUAUGGGAAAAGAUACGGUUUCAGCUCGUAGUGUCUGGGAGAGGCUACUUAAGAUCAGGUUCACCAAUUUUAAUUUUUGCCAGUGCAUACAUAGCAAAAUUUCUUUAUAUCUAUAUAUUUUCGGAUAACUUGUGCUUCUCUUAAUGCAGUGGUACAAUGUUGGAAGCCUGGCAAAGUUAUAUAUCUGUGGAAAUUGAAUUGGGUCAUAUUAAUGAAGCUAGAUCCAUCGACAAGAGAUGCUACAGUAAAAGAUUUACAAGGACAGGUUCAGAGGUAAAUUUCUUUCAUCCUGCUUCUUUAAUGAAUAUUAACUGCUUAACAACGUACCUUGUUGUUUCCAUCUUGUUUGUUUAACUGGUCUUAUUUGUAAACACCUGAAAUCAUACAUCUUAAUUUCUGAUAAUUAGAUGUUAUUUUAGAUAUCUGUAUCUGUUAAUGUUCUUUCAAGUCUGAUUCCAAUGCAUAUUUAGUUAAACUGCUCUUUACUGCAUUUUGGAUUAGUUGAUAUCUUCCUUUCCUAAAAACAGAAUCAUUCAGGACAUAUGCCAUGCUUGGCUGCAAUUUGAAUGGGAAUUUUGUAUAAAAUUUUUAAUGAAUUUAUGGGUUUGAUGAGUAAAAUUAGGGGUUCAUAUAGACUCACCCAUAAAUUGAACCCUUAUUUUAUGUUGAUGCACAACUUAACUUAACAAAAAUAAUGUUCAAAUUGUCACAAAAUUUGAAAAAAAAAUCAUACAGUUAAUUUUUCUUCUACUUUACUCCAUUAUUCAAUGGGCAUAUAAUAAAUUAGGAGAGGGGAGAAAUAAAGGGGAAAAUUAGAGUAUUGUCGCAAUGAUACACUGAUACAAAUGCCCAUUGAGUGAUUGUCAAUGGGCAUAUAAUAAAUUAGGAGAGGGGAGAAAUAAAGGGGAAAAUUAGAGUGAUUGUCACAAUGAUACACUGAUACAAAUGCUUAUGUAUGUGUAGUGUGUGUGUGGGGCGUUCUUUAAUUUGACCAAAAAUAAAUGCAUUUAUUUGUAUUUUUAAUCAAAAUCGAGGGAUAUAAACAAAAAUUUUACCACUCCAGAGUCCAGACAUGUAUCAUUGCCUCGUUAAAAAAAAUUGCAUAAAAUUAAAAAACCAUUAGUGGCUGAAAGAGAGAAACAAAUUAAGAAAGGGUUCAAAAGAUGGAACCCGAAGAGAAAACCCUAGCAACAAUCCCAGAAGAAGAAGAAGAAGAUGGAGACACGGCCAUGCCCGACGUCAAGAACAACCCUAAACCAACAACAACAGCCAACUCUUCGGACUCGAGCGAUGCCUCUGACUCAGACUCGGACUCUGACUCAGAAGAUGAAGCAAAACAGAACAUGGAGCUUCAAACCCUAGAGUAUCAGCUAUCCAAUGAACCCUCCAAUUACGACACCUAUGUUCAAGUAACUUCAAUACACAUAUUUAUUGAGUGAUUUUGUGGAUAACCGUUUGCUUGUUCUUUCUUGGGUUGUGAUAAAAAUGGUUUUUAUCUUUUUUUUUUCAGUAAAUAAAGGUUUUGAGAAAAAUGGGUGAGAUAGAGAAAUUGAGACAAGCUAGGGAAGCCAUGAAUGAGAUUUUUCCAUUGACUCCUGCUAUGUGACAAGAAUGGGUGAGAGAUGAAGCCUCUAUUUCAACUGGGCAUCUGUCAUUUCCUAUUGCAAUGGUUUUUUAUUUUGUGAGCAAAUGUUUUUUUUGCUUAGAGAUAUAGAUGUUUAUGUUAGUUAUUUGCUAAUGUAAGAAGGAACAAAACCUGCUUAAAAGGUAUUAAAGAAAGAAAAAAGGAACCAAUUUAAAGAAGGGGAUACUUAUAGUGGGAGUUCUACUUUGGGGUUUAAUUGAUGGAAAGAAGAAAUAGCUUAUAUGUUUACAGAAUUAGACAUUUGAUCGCUGAGUUAGUUGAGGAAGAUGGUUAAUCACAAUGUCUGAUGUUGUUUCUGUUGGCCUGAACUAGUUGUUAAGAUUUCAUACUUUCAUUCAACAAUACAAUAGACUUUGAUUGGGUCCACCGUAGUUGGGUGUUCUGAGGAAUCAAUGAGUGUCUUGAGAAAACUUGGGUGGAGUGCUGGUCAUUUUCAGGAUUCAGUUUCCAAGAAAACAAAAAUGAAGUCGUAGUUGUAGUUUAAAUUAAUUUAUGUUUUUAUCUUUUUCUGUGAGCCCAGUGAGCUUUUAUUUUCACUUUGUUCGCUUUUGUUUCUUUCCCUUCUUUUCCUACAGUUUCUUGAUAAUCAAACAGAUCAGGAUUAAGUGUUUACUUUUGGUUAGGGGUGGGCGUUCGGUUCGGGUUAACCCGAACUAAACCGAACCUGAAAUUUAUUUCGGGUUCGGUUCGGUUUGGGUUAACUCGUGCAACCCGAACGGAUUCAAAGCUUCAAUCUGUUCGGGUUAAAUUUCGGUUCGGGUUCAACCCGAACCGAAUUUUCAACCCGUUCGGGUUGAAGCUUUUUUUUUUUUAAAGAUUUAGCUUUUAAAUUAAAAAUAUAUAUACAUUAAUUAAACCAAAAAAUCCCUAAAAAUGAAAAAUCCCUAAACAAAAAUCUCUCCCUCUCGGCCUCCCCCUCCUUGCUCCCUCUUCUCACUUCUCAGUUCUCACUUUCUGUGAACUGUGGUUGAUGACAUCAGCACUUCAGCAGCAGCCACAGCAGCCCCGUUCAGCUCCAACAGACACCAGCCGGCCUCAUCGUCUCACUCCCUCCCCCUCCUUGCUCCAUCGUUUCACUCCCUCCCACGACGACAACACUCACAGGCCACAACAGCAGCCAGCAGCCCCGUUCACAGCAGCCCACUCGCGUCAGCCAGCACGCCUCGCCCGCAACUGCGCUGUGCGUUCAGCUCGCGUCCCACUCAGCCCAGGAAGUCUCGAUCUGCCAACGCUGUAGCUGCUCUGACCUCCGAGAUUAAGGUUUGUCUUGCCUUGCCGACGGCGACGCUGUAACUUGCUGACUUGCACGCAACUGAUGGCAACAACCCGAAUUGAAUUUUAAGUUUUUAACAGCCUGUUGCUAUUAAUUAAAUUGUAAAUUUUUAAUUAAUUGAUUGACAAUUAUUCAAUUAUUUGAAGUGGGUUUGUUGUUGUUGAUUGAUAAUUGAACCCGAACUAAUCCAAACUAACCCGAAUUAACCCGAACCGAAAUUGUAACCCGAAUUAUCAACCCAAUCCGAUCCGAAUUGUCAAUCCAAACCGAACCGAACCGAAUUGGUUCGGGUUGGCGUUUUCAACCCGAUUGGGUUCAAUUCUCCAACCCGAACGGGUUGAAACCCAAACCGAAACCCGAACAACCCGAACCGAAACCCGAAACGCCCACCCCUACUUUUGGUGUAAUUAUUCACUCUAACUCGAAUAGUACUUAGGUUUAGUGCUAACAAAAUAGGAAGUGAAUUAAUAUCUGAAGUUGACCUAGGAGUGGAAUGAAUGUUACCAAAAAUAUACUAUAUGGUAGAUAGAAUUUGCCUUUUAGGUAAGACAAAAAUAAUUACAGCUGUUAAUUUAUUUCAAUAAGUUCGUACAUCAUUGAAUAAUAAGUCCAAGAUUUUAAUGGUUUUGUUUCCUGAAAAUUUGUCACGAGUGCAUGAACAAAGUUCUAUGGAUGAACUUCUCUUAGUUAAUUUGAGUUCAAUGUCGCAGUUCCUCAUAUUAACUAUAUAAAACACUAAUCUUGCUCUUUACUUUGGAGCAUUUUAAUAAUUGAUGCUAAUUCCUUAGCCAUUUUAUUCAUCUUGUGCAUAAAUUAUGCAAUCAAUAAGCCAACUCCACUUUCAUCUUUAUUUAGUGAAAAAUUUGCAAGGUCACUAGGAGGUUUUUGUAUGUCUCAUGCUAACAUGGACGCCAUGGUUUCACUAUGUAAAUUUUCCCCACUGAAAUUCAUGAUCCCUCAUAUACCACUCAUCACUCAUGAAGCUGUUUCUGGGGCUUUAAAAGCGCCAAAUUUUAGUUUUAUCCUUUCUAGCUUAUUAACCUGUCCGCAUCUGCAUUAUUAUCUUUCCUGUCAUACGAAAGUUUCAUUUAUCAUCUUCCCAACAUAAACAUCCGUAGGUCAUUGUUGACUUUUUUGCUUUGACACUUAUUGUUUCUAAGUAUAGGCUACCAAGGGAGAAAAAAAUUGACAUUGAUGGUCAUCCCCAGCAUUUUUAUCCCAGGAGACUGGUCAUUCACUUUCUAUGAAGGACUAUAUAGACAUCCAGACUCUAUUUUGAAGGACAAAGCUGUGGCUGAGCUUGGUUGUGGAAAUGGAUGGAUAACCAUUGCCAUAGCUGAGAAGUGGUUGCCUUUGAAGUUUUGUUGGUUUGUCGUCCUUAUGCCAUGUGAGAGCUUUUAUUUCCUUCCCUACCAGUGCCUUCAGGGGCUCCAUCAUGAUUUCUCUCAUCAUUUUCUAUCUCUGUGUUUUGCAAGGCCAUUUGAUAUUUAUAACAGCAUUGGCACCAGGUUAUGGUGAUUUAAUGCACUCCUAUUAGGAAAAAUUACAUAAUUAUCAACUCUGUCCUUGUCCAAAAGUCUUUGUUGGAGUAUGUUGAAAAUAUAACCUUGUAGGAGUUCUUUUAUGCUGUCUGAAUAUCCUAUUGCAGGUCUAUGGCCUUGAUAUUAAUCCCAGAGCAAUAAAGAUCUCUUGGAUAAAAUUGUACUUAAAUGCAUUAGAUGAAUCUUUUUCUAAGCUUUUCUGUCACUGUCACUGCAAAAGGUCUUUUGUAUUGAGGGUUAUCUGUGGGGCUAGGAAAGGUCAGCCCAUCUAUGAUGCGGUGAAGAAAACCUUACUGGAUAGGGUGGAGUUUGAUGAAUCUAAUCUCCUAGCAUAUUGUAGACAUCAUGACAUUCAACUUGAAUGAAUAGUGGGGUGCAGACCUCAGGUACUCUCACUUUCUGCAACUCAUGAUAUUUCUAGGGGAUUAAAUUUUAGUGAAGUUUGUUUACCCAACAUCAAGUUGGAAUUUUAGUGUGCCCACAUGGAUUACUUUUAACUCCUAGUUUAACUUAUUCUGUUGUCUCCAUGCAGGUUCUCAACCCCAAUUCCAAUGCAAUGUCGAAAAUAAUCACUGAAAAUGCAAGCGAGGAAUUUCUGUAUUCAUUGAGUAACUAUUGUGGAUUGCAGGUUGGAAGAUAUUCUAAAUAAUUUAAUUGUGAUGCGCAAUUGCAAUUGCCGGGAAGUUAGCAAUUAAGUUGAUAGGCUUCUUCUGGUUUCACAUAUUUCUAAGUAACAACUUUGGUUUGAAGCUUGCAUACCUUAGGUAAGGUUGAUGUCUUUAGUUGGUCAAUAUCAAUUGGGAAAUAUAGCUAACCAGUGAAGACAGUGGGAAAAGGAUGAUGUGAGUUUGACAAAUGCUGGGAGGAGAUAGGGAAACUUAAUCUGAAAGAUUUCUUUUUUUUUCUUGGUUUAUUUAUUUAUUUACUCGUGUGACCUCUUCACAAUGCCAUUGAUUCCCAUAGUUCAUGUUGCUAGGUGAACUUAACAACAACCAUCUAUUAUGCCUUGUGGAUAACUGAGAAAAUUUAUUGCUUUGGACAAGUUGCUUUUUGAAAUAGAGUGCAAGUAGAUUGACUAAUAAUGAACUUAUUGUAUCAAGUUGUUACAUUUGAAUAUAUUAAGGUCAUAUAAAGCUUACUUGUUAUACUUCUUUUUUUCUUUUUUCCCUCCCCAUUUCCCUGUAUGGAGGGUUUCUUGGACGAUCAGUUUGGCUUAGGUCUAAUUUUCUCGAGCAGUUAAGGAAUUACUGUUAUCAAAAUAAAGUUUCCUCUCACUCACUAGCCAAUUGAGCAGCUCGUCACCGGUCGGAUUCAUUGCCGAUUGCAGCCCACCUCCAUCAUGUCAGUUCAGUAGCUUGUCGCUGCAGUCAUGAUCGGCCUCUUUGUUGUCGUUGAAGAACCAAUCAAUAAUGAUGAUGAUUGAUGAUGAUGAUGAUUACCAUUGUUGAUGAUUAAUAUUAUUGAUGAUGAUGAUGUAGAUGAUGUAAUUGCGGUGAGAUGAUGAAGAUGAAACUGAAUUGUGAUGUUGAUAAUGAAAUUGACAGAAGGAAGAAGAAGAUUGUGAAAAAUCUGACUUCUUCACUCGUAUUACAUUAGAGAAGAAUACAUAUUUAUAUACAUUACACCCUAGGAAUAAAAUGGUAAAAAAAAAACAGCUAAGAUAUUGCAAAUCAGUAUCCCUGAAAAUUAGGGAUUAUAUAUCCUAAAAUCUAGUAUUUAAGUCAACACAUAGCUGUAAAAUACAGCUAACAUCUACAACAAUAGUCAACACACAGCUGUAAAAUACAACUGACAUCUGCAACACUCCCCCUCAAGCUGGAGCAUAGAUAUUCUUCAUGCCUAGCUUGCAUACAAACUCUUCAAACUUGUGUCCAUGCAUUCCUUUUGUCAACAUAUCUGCAGUUUGUUGUCCUGUUAGAAUAUACACCAAACAGAUAACUCCAGUUUCCAAUUUCUCUUUAAUAAAAUGUCGGUCUACCUCCACAUGUUUUGUCCUGUCAUGAUGGACAGGAUUAUGGGCAAUAUUAAUUGCUGCCUUAUUGUCACAGUAAAGUUGCAUAGAACUAUUUUUUAUUAACUGUAGUUCUUUGAGAACACGUUCUAUCCACAUAAGCUCACAUACCGCAUGUGCUAGUGCUCGAAAUUCUGCUUCUGCACUGCUUCGUGCCACUACAGUUUGCUUCUUGCUUCUCCAAGUUACAAGGUUUCCCCACACCUUAGUACAAUAACCCGUUGUAGACUUCCUAUCCAUGAUGUUUCCAGCCCAAUCCGCAUCAACAAAAGCUUCUACAUUCCUUUUUUCUCCCUUCUCAAAAUAAAGUCCCUUUCCCGGUGUUGACUUCAGGUAUUGAAGUAUUCGGUUUACUGCCACUAAGUGAGCUUCUUUUGGGGCGUGCAUAAACUGGCUCACUAAGCUAACCGCAAAAGCAAUAUCAAGUCUAGUAUGGGAAAGAUAAAUUAAUCUCCCUACUAGCCUUUGAUAUCUCCCCCUCUCCACGGGUGCACUAUUUUCUUCAAGACCCAACUUGCUAUUUGGUUCAAUUGGUGUGGCAGCAGGUUUACAGCCAAUCAUACCAGUAUCCUUUAGCAAAUCUAGGGUGCAUUUCCGUUGUGUAACUAGAAUACCUUUAGCUGUUCUAGCUACCUCCAUUCCCAAAAAAUAACGUAGUGGUCCAAGAUCCUUGAUUUCAAACUCACCAGCUAAUUUUUCUUUUAAUCCUUCCAGCUCUUCUUUGUCAUCUCCUGUUAGUAUAAUGUCAUUAACAUACACGAUCAAAAUAGCUAACUUCCCUUCUUUAGACCGUUUGUAGAACAUAGUAUGAUCGGCUUGCCCUUAAGAAUAACCAUAGUUCUUCAAGACUUUCCAAAUCGAUCGAACCAAGCCCUAGGGGACUGUUUAAGGCCAUAGAGAGACCUUUUUAACCGACAAACUCUUCCAGCAGGUCCUUUUUCUUCAAAACCAGGCGGCAUAUCCAUGUAAACUUCCUCUUCCAAUUCUCCAUUCAAGAAUGCAUUCUUGAUAUCAAGUUGGUUGAGAGGCCAAUCUAAAUUUGCAGCAAGAGAGAGAAGGAUCCUUACAGUAUUAAGCUUUGCCACUGGAGCAAAAGUUUCUAGAUAGUCCACCCCAUAGGUUUGUGUGAAACCUUUCGCCACGAGUCUUGCUUUAUACCUGUCCACACUUCCAUCAACCUUAAAUUUGACUGUAAAUACCCACUUGCACCCCACAGUCCUCUUGUCUUUAGGUCUUGGUACAAGCUUCCAUGUGUUAUUCUUUAUUAAGGCUGCCAUUUCUUCUUAAACAGUUUUCUUCCACUCAUUUGACUCUAGGGCUUCAUGGAUGUUUCUUGGAAUAGUGGUAUUAGAUAGACUGGCCACAAAAUUCCUAUACUCCUUAGAUAGAUUUGCAUAUGACAAGAACUUGUUGAUAGGAUGUUUAGUGCAAUUUCUUACCCCUUUCCUUAUCGCAAUAGGCAAAUCUGUGGACUUCUGAGCUUCGUUCUCAGCAUAUUCAGUAGGUGGGUUUUGAUCCUCCCUUAGUUCAGAUCUCGGUUCUGCUUGGUCUAUAAGUGGCUGUACCUCUUGAGUUUUAUUCUUCUUUCGUGAAUAGACAUGAAACUCGCCUAUAGGUUCCUCCAAAUGUGAAUUGGUUUUUAUUCCUUCAUUCCUUGGUGACACUAUUGGUUGAUUAAGUUCUAUGGUGUUAGGUAGGUUAGGAUGAAUGUCUGGACUGAGGAAGGAGGUAUUUGGUAGAUUGAGUUCUAGGCUGGAAUUACUGGACAUAUUAGGUUCUAGGCUGGAACAUCUGGACAUAUUGGGUUCUAGGCUGGAACUACUGGACAUAUUGGGUUCUAGGCUGAAAUUACUAGGCAUCUUAGGUUCUAAAAUGCCAAGAAGAUCCCAGGAAUUAUCUUCUCUCAAAUUCUGCCCCUGAAGAGAAUUACUCGUGUAAAAAGGCUGAUUUCAAAGAACUUGACAUCCAUUGUGACGAAUAAUUUUUUGGUAAGAGGAUUAUAACACUUGAACCCUUUCUUGGUAGGAGAAUAUCCUAGAAAUAGGCACUUGAUGGCUCUAGGAGACAACUUUGUUCUUUGAAGACUCGGAAGAUAUACAAAGGCUGUACAACCAAAAGUUUUGAGUGCAAAAUUAGAGGUAACAAGGUGAUUUUGUGGGUAGCUGUCAAGAAAAACAAAAAUAGGUGUCUUGAAUUUAAGAACUCGAGAGGGCAUACGAUUUAUGAGAUAAGAUGCUGUAAGAAUGGCCUCUCCCCAAUAUAUUUUUGGUACAUUAGUUGUGAACAUAAUGACCCUAGCAACCUCUAAAAGGUGUCUGUUUUACGUUCUGCAACCCCAUUUUGUUGUGGUGUUUCGGAACAAGAACUUUGGUGGACAAUUCCUUGUUGUGAUAGGUAAUUCCCUAAAAUAGAAUUGAAAUACUCAGUUCCAUUAUCUGUACGGAGUACACGAUUUUCAGUUUGAAACUGAGUUUUUACCAUGACAUGGAAUUGUUUAAAAGUUUGUCCAGCUUCAGAUUUUUCCUUCAAAAGGUACACCCAAGUGGUCCUAGAGUGGUCAUCUAUGAAUGUUAUGAACCAUUUUGCUUUUGACAGGUUGUUAACCCUUGAGGGGCCCCAAAUAUCACUAUGAAUCAAAGAGAAAGGCUGGGAUGGUUUAUAAGUACGGGUAGGAAAUGAAACACGUGUUUGUUUAGCCAUUUAACAAAAGUCACAAUAUAAUAAACUCAAAUUUUGAUUUUUAAAUAAGGAAGGAAACAAGGUUUUUAGAUAUGGAAAGCUAGGGUGGCCUAACCUAUAGUGCCACAACAUUAUUUCAGAAGAAACAAAUUCACAUUGAGAGACCUGAGCAUGUCCUUUCACGAGUCUUUUAUUCUCGAGAUAGUACAGUCCCUCAUAUUCCUUUGCAUUCCUAGUCAUCCUCCCCAAGAUUGGAUCCUGAAAUAGACAUUUAGAACCACAGAAUUUAGCUACACAGUUUGUGUCUUUAGUAAGUUUACUAACUGAAAGAAGAUUGCAUUUAAGAUUUGGGACAUGUAAAACUGAAAAAGAGUCAAACAAUUUGAUAGUUUUACUGUUCCUUUUCCAGCAACAGUGGAUAAUGAUCCAUCAGCAAUCCUCACUUUAUAAUUACCUGGACAUGGAGUGUAACUAGAGAAAAAUUGAGAAGACCCUGUCAUAUGGUCUGAGGUCCCUGAAUCAACAAUCCAAGAACCUUUUUCAAGGGAUUGGAUGCUAAGGGCUGAUGGGUUACCUGUAUGGACUGCAUUACAACUAGAGGAGGUCAAGUCAUUUUUAUUUGCUUGCUGAUUUUGUAUAAGGAGCUGUUGCAGCAUCUCAAAUUGAUCUUUUGCGAGGGCAAACUGAUUAGUUUUCUCUGUCACCAUUCCCUUUGCUUCUUGCUGCCGUUUUGGUUUCCAAUCUGCUGGCUUUCCAUGAAGCCUCCAGCAUGAGUCUCGAGUAUGCCCUUUCUUGUGACAAUAGUCGCAAUAGGGACGUUCUCCAUGUUUUUGUCCCUUUUGGUUAGCUGACUGAUCUGUCUUUUUGGUCACCAGCGCUGAUCUCUCCGCCUCAGGUUCCUUCACCAGUCCCAUCAUGACUCUCUUUCGACUUUCUUCACGCCCCACCUCAACAAAAGCUUCUCGGAUGGAGGGUAGAGGAUUCUUUCCUAAUAUUCUGCCACGAACUUCAUCAAGUUCUUUGUUGAGUCCAUAAAGGAAAUCAAAGAGACGUUCUUUAUCCAACAUCCUCUUAUUUUGAUGGCAUCCUCAGAGCAAUGCCAUUGCGAUUCAUAGUAAAGGUCAAGUUCAUGCCAUAUAUUGUUUAGAGAAUUGAAAUAUUGAGUCACUGAAAGACUCCCUUGCUUUUGGUCACGUAAUUGUGACUUGAUUUCAAAGAGCUGAGCUGCAUUCCCCAGGUCAGAGUAAGUUUCUGUCACGGCUUCCCAAAGCUCCUUCGCAGAUGGUAGGAAGAGAUAAGUCCUACCAAUAUCCACGUCCAUCGAGUUGAUCAACCAAGUUUGCACCAUUGAAUUUUCAGCAUCCCACUGUGGAUAACCUGGAUCCAAGACAUCAGGGGCUUUGGUUUCCCCUGUAAUAUACCCUAAUCGGCCUUUGCCACGAAGAAAUAGGGUGACAGAUUGAGACCAUUGCAAAAAGUUUCUGCCAUUUAACUUGUGCAAAGUUAUUUGCAAAGAGGGGUUUUCGGUACCUAAGGAGACCGAAGAGAUGUCCUGCCUUGUUACAGAACUGGAGGAAAUCUCAGAUUCUUGUGUAGGGUUUGUUGUCUUCUCCAUUGGAUGGGUUGAGAGUUUAGAAUGAGAAAAAAAUUCAGAGGCUUAGUUUAAAAGAGUUGCUCUGAUACCAUGUGAAAAAUCAGACUUCUUCACUUGUAUUACAUUAGAGAAGAAUACAUAUUUAUAUACAUUACACCCUAGGAAUAAAAUGGUAAAAGAAAAAAAAGCUAAGAUAUUGCAAAUCAAUAUCCCUGAAAAUUAGGGAUUAUAUAUCCUAAAAUCUAGUAUUUAAGUCAACACAUAGCUGUAAAAUACAGCUAACAUCUACAACAAUAGUCAACACACAGCUGUAAAAUACAGCUGACAUCUGCAACAAAGAUAAUUGUGGUGAUGAUGAUGAUGUUGAUGGAGAAGAUGAAAUUGACAUGAUUGAUGAUGAAGUAACGAAGAAUUUGUAAAACACACACACACACACACACAGAGAGAGAGAGAGAGAGAGAGAGAGAGAGAGAGAGAGAGAGAGAGAGAGAGAGGAGAAGAGGAUAAAAAAAAAGAUAGAGAAAAACAGGAGAGAAAAUAAUAACAAAAACAAAAGAGGAAAAUAAUUAUUAUUGUUAUUAUUAUUAUUAACAAUAACUUUCUUAAUAACCAUAAUCAUAUAAUAGAUAAUAAAAAUAGAAGGUAAUAAUAACUAAGGGUAUUUUAAUAAUUUAAAUAAUUUAUUGUAAUUUCAAGGUAAAGUAAAUAUAUUAAUGAUAAUACAGUUUAUUUUAAUUUUGAUUCUUAUAAUUGAAGUAAAUAAUUUAUUUUAAUUUUUAUUUCACAUUUUAAUUUUAUUCUAUUCUGAAUUAGUAAACGCAUCAUAAAAUCAUGUGAUUCUACUCUAUAUGUGAGAUUGAUUUUUUUCUUUAAGGCCUACGACAUCCCAAUACAAGUCUAUAUAGGACCAAGCUACUAAGUGGACGGUCAUAAAAACUUAAAAAGGCAUAAAAUUGGAUGGCCGUCUAAUUAAUUUCCCGUGACCUACAACAAAAAUUUAAGAAGGAACUCCGAUACCAUCAAUUCUGCAUUUUAAUUUGAAGUUGGAAAACAGUGAAAACAGAAGGAUCGGGUGAUUUAAUUUUAUACAUAUUUAAUCAAGUAAAAAUGGCACGUGCGUUGUAAUUUGCCCAGUUAUCUUACUUUGAAUAAUAACAAAGUUCAAAUUUUGUAUUCAGUGAAAAAUCAAUUCUAUAGUGAAAAACACUAGCUAGAAAAAAAUCUAUGUCCUGAUGUCUUAGUUUAUAAGCUCAAACAAUGAAUAGUAUACAUACAACGCAUGAUAGAACACAAACUCAUAUAGAUUUUUAGUUUUGAAAUUCAUUUCAGAAAAUCUGUUCUGUUCAACAGGUUAUAGAUUAUCAACUAAACUCUGCCCACAUUCUUAGCUCUGCCAUUGGAAGUACGCAACUCAGCUGCCCAUCGACCGCCAAGCCAUCAAGACAAUACCAAGAUACAACAUCAAUAAUAAUAACAUCAAGAAUUACAUAGAGGCCGUCGCACGUUACACCCACUCCAACAGGAAACUAAUUAAUACCCUCCAAGCUCCUCUGUUUCAAAUCCAAAUCCACUGCUCGACCAUUUACUAUGACGUAAGGUAUAUGGAUUAAUUAACAAGUGCCGAUAUUGUCCUCCAUCCUUUUGUGUACCUUUCUUCUGGCAAGGCCUUUUCUGGAAAGUAUUUGAGCUCCAGACAAUUGCAGAAUUUCAAUUUGCUGAGGUUUUGAUGAUCAGCAAUUGAAGAAGACAGGUGUUAAUAAUUAUGAAGAACUGGUGUAAUUUAUAUCAUGUAGGAAGCCCUUCAGUUACUUUUUUGACCGUGCUCAAGCUCUUUUAAGGGCUAAUAUUAAAAUUUCGUGAUAUUGUGCCAAAAGAGCUUCGUACGUCAUUGUAAACUGUUCAUCGUUAUGUGCUGCUUCCCCAUUUAAUUACAUUUAUUUAACAUUUUAAAGAUGGAAGUAGAAAUUAAAACUCAGUUUUUCAGAUAUGGCUCAUAUACAAUGCAAGUAUCAAGAUUUAAUUAGAGUUCAAUAUACAUGCGUCUAGUUUUUAUUGAGAGAAACAAAUCAUAAAUACUCAGGUGUUUCUAAAUGAUUGAAUAACGAUAUUAUUGUUAUUUAUAAAUUUAUAAGGAUAAAUAACUAAUAGUCCACCAUAAAUACCGAAAAGGGUCCCCAGCAUAACUUGAACAACUUUACUUGUGUUUGCUCAUUGAAUAAUGUUAUAAGAAAGAAAUACAUAUGUCAGAAGAUUCAUAGUAUAUUGGAGUGUUUUUUGUACUUGAAUGAGAAUGAAUGAAGGUAUGUUAAUUUACUUUAAAUAAUUGUCUAAAAGGAAUAGAAAUGCUCUAUAACAUACCAAAUACUACCUUAAUCAAAAUUUAUUUGACAAAAAUUUUUAAAAAAUGGAAUAAUUAACCCUAAUUAAAUAAUUGUCUUAUAUCACCAAACUCUUUUUUUUUUAAUUAAGCCAUCACCAAACUCUGUAAAGCAUAAAAUAUAAUAGGCAAAUUUGAGUUAAAAAAAAAUGAAGUUAGGAAAAUGACUUGCAUAUUGUCUUUGAUGAGCGCAUAAUUUUCUUUUAAAAAAAAUGUUGAAAUGAACUCAAACUCGUUAGUGCAACUUGUCGGUUUUAAGUUGUAGAUACGAGUGACAUGUCAUUUUAGCUGAACUAGAUUCCAGAGCUCACAUUUGGGCAGUGUCAUCCAAGAACAUUAAAACUCACGUGACUAUUGCACGCAUGGUUUAAGCUGAAAUGACGUUGCUAGCAGUCGUUUAAGGAAGGCCUUUAAGUGUCACAUGAGUUGCUCGUGAUAGGAGGUUAAAAGCUGUUGGUUUUGGAGGGAAACCCCUGAAGCUGUUACGCCUGCAUCUUCUGGUAUAUAAACGAGCUGGUUCUGGUGUCAUAGUCAGUAAUCAAGGAAAGAGAGAUAAAGCAUCUGUACUGAGAGAAAAUCUUGACAGGGUGGUCUCUGUAUUGUGUAUAAUUUCUCUAUAACCUUGGAAGCUUAAUAAAACUGCUCUCUGUGUUGGUUUUCUCCAGUGGAUGUAGGCACCCUUCAACAGGUGCUGAACCACUUAAGCUCGGUGUGUUCUUUGUCUUUGGGUUAUGAUCUUUGAUCUGUGCAUUGUUCUUUGUUAACGUAAGAUUAGUUCUUGAAUCUUUGAGUCAGAGUUGGGUCUUGGGGUAAGGUUAAUCUAGUAACUAAAGGUUAAUUUCACAACAAUUGGUAUCAGAGCUCUAAACUCUGAUUUCAAGGUUCAAGAAUGGGUUCAAAAGUGGAUCUUGAGAAGUUUACGGGGCAGAAUGAUUUCAAUAUGUGGAAGAUCAAGAUGGAGGCUUUGUUGAUUACUCAAGAGCUGGGAGAAGCCAUAGAUCCAGUCACUAAGAUUGAAGAAGGUGAGGCUUCAUCAUCUAAGAUCCCAGAACAGGUAGCAGAGAUAGACAAGAAAGCCAGGAGCACAAUCAUACUAAGUCUUGGUGACUCUGUAAUUCGAGAAGUGGCCAAGGAAAGGACUGUUGCUGGUUUAUGGGCUAAGUUGGAGAACUUGUAUAUGACAAAGUCUUUGGCAAAUAGACUUUACAUUAAGAAGAAGAUGUUCUCACUGAAGAUGAUUGAAGGGGCAUCAUUAACAGAACAUGUUGAUGAAUUCAAUAAGGUUUGUGAUGAACUGGAGACUAUAGAUGAAGGGCUGAGUGAUGAGAGCAAAGCCUUGCUACUAAUCAGCUCUUUACCAAAGUCUUACGAGCACUUUGUGGAUGCACUGCUGUAUGAGAGGCAAACACUCUCCCUAGAAGAGGUUAAAUCUGCUCUUGGCACAAAGAAGCUGAAAGAUAAGCAAGAUAAUCCAGAAAGUGAAUCAAGUGAGGGAUUGAUGGCAAGAGGCAGGUCUGAGAAAAGAGAUAACAAUGAAAAAAGCAAGGCAGAUCAAAGUCUAAACAAAAGAAUUUGAAGUGUUUUCAUUGCCAUAAAGAAGGGCAUUUCAAGAGAGAUUGCCCUGAAAGAAAGAACAAGAAUAAAGAAACCAAAGAAAGAACAGGUAAUGCAGCCAUAGCCACAGAAGAAGAAUGUAACUUUGAAACAGCCGGAGUACUCAUUGCCACAAGUCAGAAACCUCAAGGUCAGUGGGUCCUUAACUCAGGUUGUACCUUUCAUAUGUGUCCAAAUAGGAGUUAUUUUACAACAUAUCAGCCAUGUGAUGGGGGUAUGGUUCUAAUGGGUAAUAACUCAAUGUGUAAGGUAGCUGGUAUUGGGACUGUUAGCCUUAGGAUGUUUGAUGGGGUGAUAAGGGAAUUGACACAAGUGAGAUUUGUCCCUGAUCUAAAAAGGAACUUAAUCUCAAUUGGCAUGCUAGAUCAAACAGGUUGUGUAAUUAAGGCUGAGAAAUGUGUAUUGAGGGUAAUUAAAGGAUCAAUGGUGAUCAUGAAAGGCAUAAAACAAAAUGGUCUAUAUGUGAUGGAUGGACAUACUGUUGUUGGGGAGGCAAGUGUGACUGACAGUAAAUGGAACAGAUCAAUGAUGUGGCAUUUAAGGAUGGGGCAUAUGAGUGAAAGAGGUUUGAGAGAGUUACAAAAACAAGGAGUGUUUGGGGAUGAUCAAAUAGGAGCUUUGGGGUUCUGUGAGGAUUGUAUUCUAGGAAAAUCCUCCAGGUUAAGGUUUGAGAUUGCAGCUCAUACCACCAAAGAGAAGCUUGAAUACAUACACUCUGAUUUGUGGGGGCCUGUACAAGUAAACUCACUAGGUGGAUGUAGAUAUUUUCUGACUUUUAUAGAUGAUUUUUCAAGGAUGGUUUGGGUCUUUGCACUCAAAAGCAAAGAUGAGGUUCUGGAAAAAUUCAAAAACUGGAAAACUUUUGUUGAGAACCAGACUGGUCUGAAGGUGAAAACUCUGAGGACAGACAAUGGCUUGGAGUAUUGCAACAAGCUGUUUGAAGAAUUCUGUGAAAAGAAUGGUAUUCAGAGGCACAAAACUGUCACCUACACCCCUUAACAGAAUGGCCUUGCUGAGAGGAUGAAUAGGACUCUGGUGGAGAAGGUGAGAUGCAUGUUAAUCUAUUCUAAGCUCCCAAAAACCCUUUGGGCAGAAGCUUUAAACACAGCAUGCUAUCUAGUCAACAGGAGCCCAUCAACUGCUAUAGAUUGUAAAACACCAAUGGAGCUUUGGUCAGGAAGAAGGGCUGACUAUACAAAACUCUGAAUCUUUGGGUGCACAACAUAUGCUCAUGUGAAGUAGGGUAAGCUGGAACCAAGGGCAUUAAAAUGCAGAUUUCUGGGGUAUCCGGAUGGGGUCAAGGGCUAUAGAUUAUAGUGUGUUGACACAAAACCACCACAGUGCAUCAUAAGCAGGGAUGUAAAAUUCCAUGAAGAAGAGCUAUUGAAUAAACCAAAGAGCUCAGAUAACAAUAUGGAAUCAAGCACUGAGACUGAUAUAGUGAAGUUUCAGGUGGAGCCUCAAAACUUGAAAGAACUUGAGCCUGAAAUUGAAGGUACUGAAGCAGAACCUGAAGCUGGUGUUGAACAUGAAUCAGCUGAAAGUGAAGAGAACACCUAUCAGUUGGCUAGAGACAGAAAGAAAAGGACAAUAAAGCCACCUAAAAGAUAUGCAGUAGUUGACUUGAUUGCAUAUGCUUUGAAUGUUGCUCAAGAGCUGAAUGAUGAUGAACCUAGGACCUAUCAAGAAGCUAUCACAGGCAAAAACAAGCUGGAAUGGAAGAGGGCAAUGGAUGAAGAGAUGACAUCCCUGAUUAAAAACAAGACCUGGACAUUGAUUGAAAAACCAGACAAGAGGAAAACAGCAAGCUGCAAAUGGAUCUUCAAAAUUAAAAAUGGUGUACCUGGAGCUGAACCUAGAAGAUUUAAAGCUAGAUUGGUGGCAAGGGGUUUUACACAGAAGGAGGGAAUUGACUUCACUGAAGUAUUUUCUCCUGUGGUGAGACAUGCUUCCAUCAGAGUUAUUCUUGCACUUGUGGCUGUGCAAGAUAUGCAUCUUGAGCAGAUGGAUGUAAAAACAACAUUUCUGCAUGGUGAGUUACAAAAAGAAAUUGUAAUGCAGCAGCCUGAAGGAUAUGUAGCAUCUGGAAAAGAAGACUAUGUUUGCUUACUUAAGAAGUCUCUGUAUGGGUUGAAGCAGUCACAUAGGCAAUGGUAUCUGAGUUUCAGAUAUUUUUGACAUGUCGGUUUAUAACCUUGAUUGUGCAUGCCCUGUCGGUUGCGUGAUGAAACAGGAGAAUAUUGACAUCUGUGUAUUAUCGUUUACUUCCUGCAAUUAAAUCACAUGUUGUUCAUUCCAUUUACACUAUACGGCACAUUUGGCAGUUGUUUUGGUCACUUAUUGAAGCACGGGUUAAGUACUUGAUUCAAGGUUGUUAACUGACCUUUACAAGGCGGGAAAAUUCUGGGUUUGUUAUAACAAACCCCGGAAUGCAGCUAGUGAGUGGGGACUUUUCUAGACUCUUCAUGAUAUGUAUAUAUAGUCUUAGAGGCUAUAGUUGAGACAUAUGAAAAGCUUCUUAAUGUUUGUAGUUUGAUCUCGGUGAUGGAGAUAAGAUUGCUGCCCUGUUCUUCAGUGGAUAUAGGCUAUCUCCAAGCCGAACCACUUAAAUUGUGCCUCUGUUUUGCUUGAUGACUACCAGUGGUGAGAAAACACCUACAGAACAAAUCAAGCUUGAUGACUCAAAUAUUAGGGAAGCCAUAGUCAAGGUAUCUGGUUUAUGCAUCAACAGUGGUUCGUGGACUAGAAUUCCUAUCUAUUGUCGCUUCACAAUUGCACUGGAAGAAAGCGAAUUUGAUCGAGCUUUGGAUCGCAUAGCUAAAUUCAAAAGCAUCGUACAAAUAGUUAACUAAAAGACGGUAUUGUCAUUUGUCAUGAUUUAUUUCUAUUGCCUGAUGAUGAUACCCAUCACGCCUUAGUUGUCGUGAAUAAAUCUAAAAUCAAAUUGAACUGGUUUUUACUGGUUAGCAACAAUUGUGACGUUUUGAGAUUAUAAUAUAUGACAACACUGAUUAGUGUUGUCUCCCAUGUGAAUUGAGACAAAAAUUAUUUUCCCAAUUGCGCUUUCAUUUGAACAAUUCCACUGUAGAUUUAUAAAAUAAUGAUCAAAUUGUGUUUUAUAUUAAGUUACGAGUAAUUGGUUAAACAUUAAUACAAAACUAUUUUAAGUAACAUGUGGCAUAUUCUAAUUCUAGCCAAGCUUCCAACUAAGAUUCCCAAAUCAAAAGAAUUUCAAUCUUCAGAACAUUCUGCAAAACGUUUAGUCUCUACGCAGUGCUAGAAUUUUCCCUAAGUUUCUAUUGCAAAGACUUCUAAAGAACUAUUCAGAUAUCGAGCUAUAAUCCAGUCUAAAGUGCAUAUAUCUCUCUAAUUCACCUCCCUCCAUUUCACCAGAAAAUCAAUAAACACUUAGCUUCAAACAAACACUCUCAAAAAGCUAGCUAGCUAUCCAGAUGGAAAAACCAAGAAUUCUUGCAAUGACAAUGUUGUUUCUUGUUAUGGCAGCAACAUUGAUAAACAUGGCAUCACAAGCAAUAGCUCUGAUGCCGUACACACAAUCACCUUUCUUUGACAUGAUGUUCCCAAUGACGGAAGAGCCUUUCAGGGUUCUUGAACAAACCCCUUUAACAAUCGCAAAAGGAGCUGAUCAUCAUCAAACUCUAGCCCUGGCGAGAGCAGACUGGAUGGAGACACCAACAGCCCACGUGAUCACGCUCGACAUUCCAGGGAUGAAGAAAGAUAAUAUGAAGAUUGAAGUUGAAGAGAACAGAGUACUGAGAGUGAGUGGGGAGAGGAAGAGUAAUGAUUAUUAUAAGGAGGGAGUUGAAGGAGAGAAAUGGCACAAAGCUGAGAGGACAUUUGGCAAGUUUUGGAGGCAGUUUAGGAUGCCAAUGAGUGUUGACUUGGAACAUGUUAAGGCUCACAUGAAAAAUGGGAUUCUGAGGGUCACAGUGCCAAAGCUUGCUGAGGAGAAGAAGAGGCAGCCUAAGGUUAUUAACAUUGAUGAAGAGUCUGGUAAUUCUUCCAAUGAAGAUAUUAAGGCUACCAAGGCUCAAAUGUAAUUAAUUAAAGAAAGAAGUGAUUGCUUUGCUUGAUGUGCUAUUUGUUUAUGAUCUUUUUUUGGUUUUGUUCCGAGAUGUUUCUAUUUGGAUGCUCUAUUUAAUGUAUGUUGAUGGGUUUUUGAGGAAGGCUUGUAUGUAUUGACAACCAUAAAAUACUUUUUAUAAAUCCUAGUCCUACAACACUAAAAGAAAACAAUACGUUUGGUUUAUAGUUAAUAAAAAUAUAUUUUUUUAAAAAAUUCUUUUUCUUUGGCAUAUAGUAUGCGUUUUGAGGGGAAAAAAAUUUAUCCCACUCCUAAUUUGUCAUCUGUGAUAUUAAUGUGUUAGCACGAAGAUUCAUUGUAAUUGCAACAAUUUUGAUGAAUCCAAACGUUCAAUAACUGUUAAAUUGUAUUUUAUAAAUACUAAUAGCGAAGGUACAGAAACGAUUAAUCCAAGAAGUUGCUUAAAGUGCAUUAAAUUAGGGAGUAUAAAUAAUUGUGUGAUACAGUCCAGCCUUUAUCUGCUUAUAAUUAGCAACCAAAAACCAUUUGCAACGCCAUUAAAAAAACAUUUUAACAUUAUUGCUGAGGGAAGAGGCAGCUUAGGCUUAUUAACUCGUAUUAUUAAUGCUGAUGACGCAGCUGGUAAUCCUUUUGGUGAAUAUAAUAAGGUAGCUGAAGCUUAUAAUUAUUUAAGCCCACUAAAGCUUAAAACUAAUUCUUCUAGUGACGAUGCUUUGCUUAGUUUGCUUUUUGUUUUUAAUUUUUUUGGGGCUAACAUUUUGCUUAUUUUGCUUUUAAAAUUCUAUUCGCGUUGCUGUGAAAUAUUGUUUGUCCUUCCAUUUUCUGUUUUUGUUGUUAUCGGAUUUGAUGAUGGUUUAUAUGUACGAAGAUUAUGUAAUAAAGUCUUUUUCUUUGGCCUUUAUUAUGCAUUUUAAUACGAAAAAAAAUUAUCCCACUCCAAUUCAUGAAGAUAUUCUCAUUUCUGUCAUAUUGAUGUGUUAAUAUAAAGAUCCAUUGCAGUUGGUGAAUUCAAAUAUUCAGUAACUGAUGAAAUUGUAUUUAUAAAUUCAUAGUAAUAGCAAUUGAAGAUUAUAAUUAAUUUUGUAAUAUGGUCAAGCCCUCGUGUGUUUAAUUAGCACUCAAAAACCACUUUACAAUAGUCAUUAAAAGAACAUUAUAACGUCAUUACUGAUGAGUUCUGGUGAAGAUAUUAAGUUAAGGCCACAAAAAUCGAAAUGUACGUGGCUUCGUUUGUUUUUUGUUUUGAUUUUUUUUGGGGGCAAAUGCUUGGCUUCGUUUUUGAUAUUUUAUUGGCUUUAUUGUGUGGCAUGUUCUUGUUUUCUUUUGAUUUUCUGUUUUUGUUUGUUAUGGGAUUUGAUGACGAUGUACAUGUACGAAGAUUAUGUAAUAAAAUGCUUUUGAUAAAUUGUGGUCGGUUUAGUAUUAAUUAACCAAAUUUAAUUUACUUGAUCAAUUGAUAUUUGUUAGUAUUGUUGUUAUACAAGCACAACAAAAGAAGAACACUAACGUACUAAUUAAUUACUAAUAAGAACAUUAACAAUUUUUGCCGAAGUCUGAUGAAGAGAAAUAUUACACAUACGUAACGGUACCGCGGAAGGAAAAAAUAAAAGAAACUGAAGUUUAUUUCAACAGCUACUCUUUCUUUACCUAAAUCCUGCACCUCUCAUACUACCAACAAGAUCGAAAACCUUAUCGAAUACUCCUACAUCCCAGACUCUGCCCAAAUCAGUGAAUCCACAUACCUCCAAUACAGUACCCCGUUGCUAAAAUAAAGCGAGCGUCUUACUCUACCUAACAUUUUUCUUUUUAUUAAUUUAAAACAGUUUUCAACUGAGAUUGGAAUUUUAAAAUUACGUACACAAACAUACCUGAUUUUAAAGAAAAAAAAUUCUAAUAAUAAAAUAUUUUACAUAUGUAACCAUACGGCGGAAGAACAAAUAUAAGAAACUGAAGUUUCAACAGCUGAGAAUGAGAUAAGCAUAAGAAAUUAAUUCAUUAAUUAAUUAAUAGAGUCCUCCUCCUUUGCUAAAUAAUGCGAGCCCAUUGUUCUUUUUAUUUCGAAAACCCAUUAAUCACCAACACAUAAUAUACGCCCAAUUUAAAAAAAAGAAACUAAUAAUAAAAUAUUUCAGUCCCUCUGUUGAGUCGUCCUCUGUGGAGUCGUCAUCAAAAACCCAUUUACUAGCUAUUUCAACAUAAGGUAAAUGGGUUAACAAGGCCCAAUAUUGUCCUCCAUCCUCUCUGCACUUCUCUUCUAUCAACGGACAAUCAUAGAUACUUAAUUUCAAAAGUGAGGAAGGCAGGCCCUUCUCCGGAAAGUAUUUGAGCUUGGGACAAUUCUUGAGAUACAAUGAAGUGAGGUUUUGAAGAUCAACAAUUGAAGAAGAUAGGCGUUCCAAAUUUGGAAAAUUGUAAAUCUCCAGAGACGUUAGAGAGGCAAGAAGAGGAAGCGCAGCCCCUAAUCUUUUGUCCUCUAGUGGAAUUGACACCAUGUCGUCAUCGCAUUCGCUGAUUUUAAAAUGUCGCAGAGAGGAGAAUCUGUGAAAUCCCCGGCCCCGCUCAAUCAUUGACUUCCAAAUCUCCAUAUUACCCCUGAUAUCAAGUGAAUGAAGGUUGGUGGGAAGGCCAUCUUCUUCAAGGCUUGGAAGCUCAACUCCUCUUCCUAUUGUUAAUUCUUGAAGAGAGGUCAGAUUGUGCAAUCCCUUGGGUAAGGCCUCUAGUCCCUUGCACCAACUGAUAUUGAACUUUAUUAGUUUCGCACAAGGCAAUCCCCCUUCGGGAAAGGACACCAGAUUUUUACAUUCCCAUAUUUCGAUCUCUUGAAGCUGGCGGAGAUUAUGUAAACCACUCGGUAAAAUCUUUAGAUUUUUACAAAAAUCAAUUCUGAUUAUUUCAAGCGAUGUGUUGUUGUCCAACCUUUCUGCUAUUGACUCCAGCUUUGAACAACUAAGAACUUCAAGGGACUUAAGAGACGGAGGUAGAUUGCCAACUUCAAGGGACUCAAGCGUGGCAGGUAACUCGUUUUUUGAAAAUAUACAUGUCAGAGAUGGACAUUCGCUAAUAUGCAAGCCCUCGAGAAGAGAUGAGGUGUACCUUCUGCUGCUGCUGCUGCUGCUACUCUGGAUGCCCUCUUCCACUGUCAAAGUCCUUAGAUUAUCACAAUUAUGGAUGUACAACAUCUUAAGGCUCGGUGGUAGCUGGACUCCAGCAAUAUAUGUCAACGAACGGCAACUCAAAAUCUCCAAGAUCUCGAGAGAUGAAUUGGUGUCGCACAUCCAUGCCUCUGGUAACAAUUUCAGUGCAUCACAAGAACUAAUAUGAAUUGUCUUCAACUUGGAAGGCAGAGCAACCUCAGGAAAGGAAACAAGGGAACUGCAUUGGUAGAUUUCUAUCUCUCUCAAGGAGCUAAGGCUGAGCGAUGAUUGUGGCAGCUUCACAAGGUCUUGGCAAUCUCUCAAUUCUAUAUAUUCGAGUCUGCAUGACAACUCGCAGAGCUGCUGUUGUUGGUCUUUCUCUUCCUCCGCCACCAAGGAUUGAAGUUUGGGACAGCUGCCAAUCGUCAAUCUUUUGAGAGAGCAAAUGUCUUGUAGUAAUCCAUCAUGACUCUUCCAUAUAUAUGUUUGCUCUUUUGUCGACAAAAUUAAUUCUUCCAAUUUCUGUAGUUGUGGUUUCAAUGGCCCCACAAGAAACACUUGAUUUGAUGCAUCUCUACAAACCACUGAAUUCUGUGAUCCGAGAUGACCAGUUGCACUUUCCCACACAACCUUUUUGCAUCCACCAAUUUCCAAUUUGCAAAGAGCUGGAAGACUCGAAACUGAAACUAACAAUUCUUCACAUCCUUCAAUAACAAGCAUCUCCAAUGCAGGAAGGUGCUCUGGAAAUGUUCCUUUCAGUUUAGAACAUUUUAAAAUGUGAAGUUCUCUCAAUUUAGGAAACCCUUCAACUCCUUGACUGGAUCCAUGAGGAAUCCAAUCUUCCCAUUCUUGCAUGUUUUCAAAAAGAAGAGUCUUCAAGCAUGGAAAUGGAAUUGGAGAAACAUUCCCAUAGAACUCUGAACCCAACCUCUUUACUCUGCUCAUUCCACAUACUACAAGAUGCUUUAAAGAGGGUAGUUGCCCGACUGACGGCAGGGCAGUACACAUGUCACAAUUUUUAAAUUUUAGGGUCACCAAAUUUGAGAAUGAGGAAUCUCCCAACCAAGUUGGAAAUUUCAUACCUCCAUAGCCUUUGAUACAAAAUUGCUCCAGAUUUGUAUGAGGUUUCAGCAUGUCAAGCAUGCCCAUUUCAGUUUCUGCCUCCCUUGAAGAAGAACCAUCGGUACUGCAAGUCCAUUUAAGCGAUAAUUCUUUCAGAUUCUUCUUUCCAUCCAUUUGAGCUACCAUGGCAUCACCAACGCAUUUUGCAUUCUCCAAUUUUGAAAUGUUAAGUGUCCCAUGAAGGUGCGUCAACAACUUUAGCUCUCGUAACCCGGAACCACUGCCUUUUCCCACAACAAAAUUACACAACGUCUGAAGACUAGUCAACCUACCAAUUCCUAGUGGCAUUUCCUCCAACGACUUCGUAUUUGAAUUCUUAAGAUGAUGCAAUUUGGCGAGGUUUCCCAUGUCUGCACACAACUUCUUCAGCCGAUCACAAUCUUCCAACAAAAGGCUAUGCAAAUUGUAAAGCUUGUUGACUGAGUCAGGCAGAGUUCUAAUCUCAGUUCCAGACAGGUUAAGGUACCUUAAAUACCUCAAAUCACCAACUGAAUCCGGUAGCUCGAAGAUGUGGUAUCCACGCAGAGAGAACGCCCUCAAGCGUUGGGGUUUGAGCAACUUAGGAAGAAUGCUAGGAGCCAAGUAGCCAGGCCCACUAUUUGUCAACAUUACUGGUAAAAAAGUUCUCAAAUGUUGGAUAUCAUACAAGUCCCCGAACCUUUGAACGCCAUCAUAAUCUCCACGAAUGUAUGAUAGGUGACGAAGAUUUCUGGAAAAACAUUGUUGCUUGUUAACCUCCGAGGUAUACUCCAGUGUGAAGUAUGUCUCCCCUGCAGCCCAACGGGCAAGGUCGUUGAUAAGAUCGUGCAUAACAAAUAGUGAUGCAUCGGUGGCCGAUUGCUGCAAAAAAGAUCUUGAACGUAGCUCCUUAAAGAAAUCACGACCUAAAUCUUCACUAGGAUUCUCAUCUUCUUUGUGAUCCAAAAAACCGGAGGCACACCAUAAUAAAAUUAUCUCCUCCUCUUCAAAUUCAUAAUCCUUUGGAAACAAUGAGCAGUAUGCAAAGCAUUGUUUCAAAGUUGGAGGAAGAUAAUAAUAGCUCACUGCAAGGGCUGGUAUAAUGCCACACCUCUUUUCUGAUAAUUCCCAUAUCUUGCUACAGAGCACACGUUCCCACUCACGUCUGUCAUGUUUUCCACGUAAAAGUCCUCCAAGUGUUUGUGCUGCCAAGGGCAAGCCAUCGCAUUUGGUCACUAUCUUCUUGCCGAUUUCCUCCAAUAACUUAUGUGACCCCAAAGAAUGUUGAGCGAAUACAGCCAGACAAUCAUUAUCUGACAACUUUUUUAAUUGAUAAGAUGGAACAGUACCCAUGAUUUCUGCAACCUCUUGAUUGCGAGUAGUGACAAUAAUUUUACUUCCUGGUGCACCAACUUCAAAUGGACGUCUGAGUUGAACCCAAUCAUCGUAAUUCCGGUUCCACACGUCAUCCAAAACAAGCAAAAAUUUCUUUCCAGACAGUUGCUUACUCAGUUCCUUUUGAAGUGAAUUCAAGCUGGGAUCACCCACGUUCUGGCUAGCAACAAUGGAUGUUAAGAUUGUUUUUGUUAGCCUCUUAACGUCGAAAUCAUCAGAGACACAAGUCCAUGCCUUGAGAUCAAAAUGAUCCUGCACUUGCUUAUCAUUGUAGACAAGCUGAGCAAGAGUGGUUUUGCCCAGCCCGCCCAUACCUAUAAUAGGAAUAACAGAGAAUCCACCAUCGUUGCUUAAAUCAUCCCUCAACAGCAGUUCAACAACAUCCUUCUUUUCUGUUUCCCUGCCAUAUACUUUGGCUUCAUCCACCAAAGAGGUUGUCUCUGGCCUUUGACUGGCUUUUUUGGAUCCCCCAGCUGAACUUUCUUUCAAAUCUAGCAAGUUUUUCUUUGUCACAAUUUCUUGAAAUCUGCUGUCGAUCUCUUUGAUUUUGGACAUCAAGUCAUAAUCGAACUGAGUCGAUUGUGGAGUAAAAAUGGUGAAGCAAGUAUGAAUGAACUUCCGAAGCUUACUUGGUCUCGUAUGACUGCUACUGGGUUGAUCAUGAGCAGCAGCUGGUUCUCCAUUUCCAAGCGGCAACCUCCUCCGGAAAGCCUCGGUUUGAAACUCAUCCAACAAGUCUUCAACAUCAUAAGCCAAGUUCUGAAGCUCGCCAAGCCACAAAUUCACAGACGGAGCCGUCCUCCUCUUCUCCUCAGCAUCAUCAAGCACUGCCUUGAUCAUCUCCAACAUAUUCGCCCACCUCAUCAGAUCGGCCUCGAUCUCCUUUUGGCGUGCAAAAAACAGAACCCCCUCUGAAGCUAACUUAUUGACCAGCAAAUCAACGGACGCCGUAAGGAUUGCCUCUCCGAUCAUUGACAUUUUUUUUUCCUUUUUUGGGGCAAAGGAAGAAAGGAGCAGAAUUAUGCGUUAUGGAAAGCAGAAUGAGAAAUUUGAACGGGUGAGAAAAUGGAUAAUUAAGCAGAAUGAGUUUGUGAUUGUGAAGGGUCUGGCCCAACAAGCUUAGUAGAAAUCACGCGUUUAUACUUUAUUGACCAAUGACUAAUAAUUUGCCAAUUCACUCAUCACCACCACUUGGUGAGCAAAAUGAAAAUGCUUAGUAAUUAAACGUGGCAAGUCUCCCCACUUGUUGUUCCUUGCAGCUAAGAAAAGAAAAAACAGAGCCGUAAUUAAUGACAGAAUUUUAAAAAUAAUAAUAAGAGAAAAACCUACACAUUUUCGACUUAGAGUGGAACCGUAAUUAAUGCUAAAAUUUACUCAGCUAAAAUUUUCAAAAUAUUGUUCUUUAUAAUUUUCAAAACCGUAAUUAAGGUUCAUCUCAAAUGUUUGAAGAGACUCUAUCAAUUCUUCUGCGCUAAGAAUAUUAAAAUUCUUAUUUUUUCUUCAAACGUUGAAUAAUGAAAAAAAAUGUUAAAUAUGGAGAAAAAUAGAAUGCAUCCAUCUUUGCUGUAGAAGUCUUCUACUUAUAAAAGCAAGUUAGAAUAAACGAUUUUAAUCUCUCUUUUUAUUCCUGUAAGUGCACUACAUUUUUUUUGUUUUAAUCUCAAUGUGAAGUCGUAUCAUAAUGUUAUGUUAAUGUUAUAUUCUUGUUGGAAAAUGAAAUUUUAGAUAAAACAAAUUCGACUCAUUUGUUGAAGGUAUAUAUUUAGUAGGUUGCUAACAUAAAGUAAAUGAACUAAAAGACAAUACUACCAGCGAUAAUUUAGCAAGUUUCGCAUGCUCGUCUUUCUUGAAAUAUUAUAUGGGAAUGGGAUCAAACAACAGUGAUACAAAGAGAAAAAUGGUAAUCCUCUGAUUGUAUUUUUUUUUUCUUUUUCAAAAGAGAUGGUGGGGUUGGGUUGUUUGCAAAGUUAUUAGUGUGGGUCUAUUUAAAAUGUUAAGAAAUUUUAUGUCCUUUUUUCAAAGUGAAUUUCCAUUUUUCAUUUCUCAUUAAGUAAAACCCACAGCAAAAUUAAAAAGAAAAAACAGAGCCCACUAUAAAUAUAAAAUCGAAGGAGCUCAUAAUUAUACCUUUGCUUUACAUACUAAAUUAAAUAAAAGCCGAACCAAGAAUCUUGCCUUUACUUAACAUGAUUAAUUAGACACUACUUCAGAGAGAAUACGAAAGCAAAGAACCCUUUUGUUAAUCUUAAAUGUUAGGAAAAUAAUUAGCUUGGAAUAAAGCUGCGUUAUUCUCCUCUUACCGUCUCUUCAGGUUCAUUUCAAAAGUUUGAAGAGAUUUUAUCAAUUCUUCUUAUAAAGGCAAGCUAAAUUAAAAGAUUUUAAUCUCUCUUCUUAUUACUAUAAGUGCACUGCUUUUUUUUUAUAAUCAACAAUGUCAAUUUGUAGUGUAAUAUUAUAUUCAUAUUCCUGUUGCGUCGAAAUAAGGUAAAAUGAAAUUUUAAAUCACACAAAUUCGACUCGUUUGUUAAAGGUAUAUAUUUAAUAAGCUAAUAACAUAAUUAACAUAACGCUAUUAUUACACUAAAUGAAAUAAAAGACGGUACCCUCCACCAAUAAUUACAUUAGCAAGCUUCGCAUGCUCGUGUUUCAGGACCUAGACAUUGGCGAAUUAAUCUAGGAUAACGAAACAAUUUCAAAAAGCAAAAUGGAUACUAUACAUUUUCUUUUUUUAAUUGUACAGAAAACGGGACUAAUUUUCAAAUAUUUUUAAAUUCACUUAUUUACAAAAGCUAUACAAAAUGAUUUCCUUUUUAUUUUUGAUGAGCAUAAUUUACAUACAUAUUUUACUAUUUAUUAUAUAAUUACUAGUUAUUUUUAUUUGUUAUUUUAAUUAAUUGAAUUAUUUUAUUUCAUAGGAAAUUAAUUGGAGAUUAUGGAUGAAAAGUGCGUAAAGAAUAACAAUUUGACAGCAUUGAAGAUCAAAUCAAUUUGCGGAAGGAAUUAAGCAAAUGUGCAAGAAAUUCUAUUCGAAGAAACCGAAGCCAAUAAAUUGAAUAUCCAUACUCGUGCAAACAAAGAAGAAGUUUAAAACUAAAGUGGGCAGCACAUUAAAAAAAGCUUUUAAUUAAGUCUUUGAAUGGAAAGUCAAAAUAGAAUAAAGGAAGGAAAUCAAUAGCUUUUGGCUUUUAUUGUUUUCAAUUACGUGGCAGGCUUAGAGCUUUAGCUUGUAAGAGUUGGUUUGGUUAUUAUCACAAUAGGAUUUGGUGGCCAAGCAAUAUAAAAGGGAGUUUUGCUUUUGAAUUAAAGGCUGGACGGAAACAAAAGGGAGGAGAAUUCGGCUUUGAACAGAGAGCAGCGGCAACGGCAAUAUUUCGGCUUCCAUGGCUGAAUUUAUUUCUUUUGUUGCUCACAAUUUAAGUAUGUCUAGCUAAUUUUCUUAUACUGAGGUUAAGGAUGAAACCCUAUUCAAUGAAAUAAUUAUCUUUUUAUUUAUUUAAUUCCCUAUAUAUGUGCUUUAAUGUUUAUGGUUUUUAUUUCACAUGAUUAAUUGGACGUUAUUAAAAUCUUUUCAUCAAUUCUGUCAUGCAUUAUUAAUUGUUAGGAUUAAUAUUCAAUUAAUUCUAUACUUGGAUCUAUAAAGUUUAUACAUGAUUAUCUUUGAUUUUAUGUCUUUCAUUAAAUUAUUUACAUAGAGUGCUUAGGAAAACUUUGACUCUUUGUUAUUUAAUAUGUUUACAUGAGAUGCUUACAUGUCAUACUAUUAAGUAGAAAAAGAACCUACAUUACAUUUAAUUUUAAUUGGGCUUAAUUGUUAUAUUUAUGAGAUGACAUAGAUUGAUUUUGAGUUGUCACUCUAAAAUUAGGGAUUCAUUAAUAUUUGGAUAAUUACAAAUUAAAUAGUGGUGGAUUCCGAAACCUUGAUAAUUUUUAUUUUAUUGAUUUCUCAUUUGCUUUAAUUGUUUUCUUAGUUUAAUAAGUUUAAUUUCUUUUAAAAAUUCAAAUUACUCAACUAAGUUAGGAUUAAUAUUAAUUUUAGAUUUAAAUUAGACUUUUCAAUUUAUAACAAUCCAUGUGGGAUUGACCUCGUUACUACUAUUCUAUUUCUAGAUUCAUGCGCUUGUAAGUAUAUUAAAACUUUCACAACAAUUUUGAAAGGAAUCAAAUAACAGUGAUACAAAGAGCGCAAAGUUGCAAUUCUCUUAUUAUAUUUUUUCUCUUUUUUAAAAGGAGAUAGUGGGGUUUGGUUGGUUGCUAAAUUAUUGGUGUGAGGGUCUAUUUGUUUUUGUUUUCACUUUAUUAAUUAUACCAAGCAAACAUGUAAUCAUUUGUAAAGGGGUCACUAGCAUUGGAUUAUGUAAGAUGAAUUCAUAAGACUUAUUAAUUUCGAUGAAAAUGUAGCGUUAUUAAGUUGUCAAUUCAUUAACUUGAGGUACUAAUAUUUACUAAUUGUGGUGAUUAAUUUAUUUAACUUGUCAUAAUUUUCAAUUGAGAAUGAAGUUCAAUCAAUGUAUGAAAAAAAUAAUUUUUUUAGAUUUUUAAUUCCUAUGAUUUAAUUUCCCCCUGUUUCGAUUAUUGACGUGUUAAAAGCUUGUAGAAUAUCAUGAAAUGCUUGUAUCUCACCUCGCAAAUUGACAAAUAUUGGUUGGUUUCUCCAAAGGCUACCAUAAUGAAUUGAAAGUAAAAACAACAACCAUUGAAAAUUAAUUUUAAAAUCAUUUUUACUUGAAAUUUUUUAAAAGAAAAAUUAAGCAAAUUAGAUUACAGAUAUCAAUCUUAAUAUUUUGUUGAUGAAAAUUAAUUAAUUUAUCUCAGUACUUUCUUAAUUUUGUGUUGUGCACCGCAUUGGUCACUUCUGAUUGUGUUGCAUAUUUGUUAAUUCAAAGAAAUAGAACUUCUUUAUCGAUCAAACUUAUUUUAUUAGUAUUCUUCAUCAUAUGGUUAAUGGCUUAGCCAAUGAAGGAGAAGGGGUCAGCCAAAACAAAUAAAGUACUUUCUCAUGCAUUAACCUUUAUUAAAAAGCUUUAUUAACUGUUGUAGUUAAAAUAAUUUUAAAACAAGUUAAAACAGUUCCAACUCAAAAUCAGUAGGCUGCAAUUGGGUUGUUACACAUAUUUCUAAAUUUCAGUCUAAUUUAAUUGUGUAUGGACAAACUAACUUUAUCACUUCUUUCAUAUUAAUACUCAUAAAUUUCAACCUUUUUUUAUGAUGAUGGACAAUCUAACUUAACAAAAAUAAUGUUCAAAUUAUCACAAAAUGUUCUUUUCUUAAAAAAGAAAAGAAAAUCAUAUAUAGUAGUUAAUUUUUCUUCUUCUGUACUCCAAGAUCCAACUCCGUACUCCACUUGUUCGUUGUUAUUAUACCCAGCCAUUAGAUUUUAAUUACGUUGAUUUAACGGUUUGGAUUCGUAAAUGAAUAACGACGUAAAGUUUGGCUACCAUCUGAACCCACCGCAUCUAAUUGGUUUUGUGAUUUUUUGCUUUCUUCACUGCAACGCUUGACUAGUUCUGGAAAUAUCGACCGCCAUCAACGGCAAAUCUGAACCAUGUAUUAUUUGCGAAUACAUUCAUUAAACUAUUAAACAUUCAGAGAAGAAAGCAAACCGUGGCAGUAUAACAAAAACUGCGAAUGGUCAUUCCCAACACGAACCCCUAUGGUUGUUUUCCUUUUAAUUUUCUUCUUUGAAUUCUCCUUUUAUUAAUCAUUAGAAAAACUCCAUUUUUUUUGUUUUAAAUCAUGUGUUAUUAACAUUUACAUGGUUAAUGUCAUCGAAAUCGAAUGGUUGUUAUCUACGAAAAGAGAAUUGCUAGAAAUUUUGUUAGUCCCAUUGCAACAAUAUAUUGUUAUAAAUUGCAUUGUUUUCCAUAUAACAAAUAUAAUAAAAUCUCAAUAAAUUAAUAGUUUUUGGGACCAUAAAAAAAUUAUUAAAAUUAAACAAAUAUCAAUUAAUCAGUAAAUUAAUAAAUUAUUAAUUUAUGAAAAUAUUCAUUAUUUUGGAAAAACAUGAUCACGCUUUUAAUAUUGAUUUACCUUGAGUUAGUAUCUAUUAGGUUUUAUUUGUCUAUUAGUUUUCUCUUGGGAAGAUUUUUUAAGAGUUAGCUGCUUUAUAUUAACAGUAAUAAAAUUAUUAUUUAACGGUUUUGUUUUUCCAUGCUAAAGACCGAUUAGUCGUCUUCUUCUCCUCAGCAUCAUCAAAACCAGGGUUUUUAACUCCUAAAACGUUUCUUUUUAGAAAUAUAUUACUUUAUUCAUCUAAUAUGUUAUCUAACAAAUAGACACAGAUGAAAUCACUCUAAAGUGAAGAUGAAAGGGGAAAAAAAACAUUCCAACCACCAAUAAUUUAGCAAGCUUCACUUUUAUUCCACCAAAGUGUAAAUAGUGCCAGCCCCCACCACCAUCAAUAAUUUAGCAAGCUUCACACGCUUGUUGUCUUCUCCUUGACGAACUGGACGUGGGUGGACCAAGAAUCAAUGAAAGAAUUUUAAAAAUAAUAAUAAAAGAAAAACAUAAACAUUUUGGACUCGGAGUAGAACCGUAAUUAAUGCUAAAAUUUACUCCGCUAACGUUUUCAAAAUAUUGUUCUUUAUAAUUGUACAGCAAAUAAGACUAAGUUUUGGACAUUUUCAUAUUCACUUACUUUCAAAAGCAGUAUUUCGAAACAUUUUACAGAAUCAAGUAACAGUUAUAUAACGAGAAAAGUGCAAAGUUGUGUAAUUCUAAUGUUUUUUUUUUUUUAUCACAGACACUCAGAUAAUUUUUUAUUUGGGUCGCCAACUCGCCAAUUAACCCAUGAUUGAAUGAGUGUUUAGAAAGAAAAUCAAUAAAAAACAGUUUUUUUUUUGGUCGUCGAAAUAUAGUAAGUGAGAAAGAUUAUUCUGUUUUUUUUGUUAAUUAGGUUAGUAAUUAUGAUUGAGUGACUCAGAACUAUAUUCUAGAUUGAGAAUCAACGGUUCUCCCACACUGAGAGGCUGUAAGUUUAAGAUUGUCGUUUGCUAUUUCAUCGACAAGAGAACACUUGAAUUUAUUAAAAGGAGAAGGCCAUAAAGAUUUUCCUUUAUGAGAAAUGUAUCUGAUCAUUCCUUUUUACUUGAAAAUUUCAUAUAUAAAAACUCAUUAAUAAAUGACAGAAUAUACAUAAAUUAUUAAUUCAUUUGAUAGUUGAUUAUCGAAGGACAUGUGACCCAUGGAAGCAUGCAGUCUAUAAAAUAAUUCUUUUUUUUUUUUAACAAAAAAUUGGUGAUGUUGAAAAGCAAAAUUAUUAUUUCUCUAAUUAGGGUGAACAUUCAUAAAAAGAAUGCCGUAUGAAACUAAAUUAUUAAUUCGUUUGACAUGUGACCCACAAUAAAUAGUUAAAUUUGGCGGCAACAAUAAUUACAAGACGAACUUAAAGCAGCGCAUAGGUUUUUCUUAAAAAUACAUAAACAAUUCGAUAUUUUUUAUUUGACAGUUUUUAAGAAAUGUCAAACAUAUAUGACAUUUUGUGAAAAACUGAGUAAUUGUGAAAUAUAAAUGAUAAUUUAUUUAAACGUCAAAUAAUUGUGACGUUUUAUCAAAUAAGUGAUAAAUAUCUUACAUAUUUAUUGAAUAAUUAUCAUUUACCUUUUCCUUUUAUUGACUCGAGCAAAAAAAACAAAAAAACUGACUAUACUGCUUUUAUUUUCGUUCUUAGAACAGAUUUUAGUUUCUUUUGAGAAAAUUCAAACUCAUUCCCAUUACUUUCUUUUCAAUAAUCACCUCUCAGUUUUUCAUCAAUCACUCAAUUCCGAAUUUCAUCUCCAUUCUCUUUUGAAGAAGAACGCACGAAGAAUUUUAGCUUGCUUUUGCUGCUUCUCGAAUAUUGGGUAUUGUUUCCUUUAAUUUAGAUAAUUGUUUUUUAUAUCUCUCUUUCUAGUUUGAUAAUUUAUGGUUAUACUUGAAUUAAUUGUAUUUUUAAUCAACCAAGGUUGAUUUAAUUGAUUCCAAGUCUCAAUUUCCUGUUCAACAAUUUUCAUACUCAAUUUUGAAAGAAUCAAUGUAUUUUAUCUUUGGUUAGUACACUUCUGUUCAAUUUUUGUUUAUUUAACUUAAGAUAUCUUUUUCUUUCUUUUCUUCAAGCAAAUUAUAGAUUAUAUUGAGAACAGAGUUUUCUCCUUAAUUCCGCCAAGAGCAACGUUGAUUUCAGGUGAUAAUUGAAUGUGUAAUAUUUUCAAUUGAAAUUAAUUGAGUCUCGUGAUAAUAAUAGGGAUUUGAGAUUUACAUCCUGUUGAAAUGAUUUUAGAGUGUUCUGUUAUUUGAAUGCGCAUUAAUUGUUUGAUUAAAUGUCUCUUUAAAAGAUUAUUUUUGUUUUUAGCAAACAUCUUAAUGCACUUUACAAAUUGAAUCCAACAAGGGAAAAUUAUAGAACUGCAGCAGUUUUCAAAUUGAUUGCAUAUUAGAAGUAAUGUUAAUUUAUGCUGCAACAGUUCAAUGGGCUGGGCACAAGUUUAGGACUUCAGUUGCUCAAUUAAUGAAUCCACCACUCAUCAGACUUGGAACUUAUAUCUAUUGAAUCAAUAAAAAUAGUUGAUGGAAUCAAUGCCGAAAGCUUCAUUUGAUAUUUAUUUAUAACAUCUGUUAGAUUCUGGACAAUCACAAAGAUAUAGUAGCAGAAACUAUGUUAGAGACACUAUAGUUGCUUAAUUAGUGAAAUUGUGCUCUCAUUGCCCCCUUUUUUUGGUUGAUUCUAUAAUUUUAUUAGUUGUUCUUGUGGUUGUAAACAAUAUCAAUUUCUAAUAUUAAUAAAACUGAAUGAAUAAAAUGCGAUGCAUUUGCAGGAAAGUUAAUAGUUUAAAUAUGGAUAAAUCUUGGAUGUUGAUGGAUAGAAGGUCUAUAGAAUAUGAGAACAUGGUAAAUGAGUUUCUCAAGUUUGCAGUACUUCAUGCUAGUCAUCUUGAGCUUUUGAGAUGUCCAUGCCAAGCAUGUCUUAGUUUAUAGGCUCAAACAAUUAACAGUAUAGAAAAUGCAUGAUAGAACACAGAACUCAUAUUUUAGCAACAAUCCUCAGCUCACUGGCCCUUAGUUCAGAAUGACAAUUCUUAUUAGCCAAAGGUUCAAAAUGAUUUUUAGUUGUUUAUAAGUAGAGAACUAGAUCAACAAAUAAUUGAAGACCUGCAGCUUGGCUAUUGAACUAUACGAUGAUGCCAAUUCGAAGACUACAACUUGGCUCUGCCAUUCGAAGUAAGCAACGCAGCUGCCCAAAGUCUGCCAAACCAAGAAAAAUAAAGACUUCUCCUUAGCAAUUAAGUUAAUAUAAGGAAUGUUGCAUGUCCACAAAACUAGGUAGACGCAACUGGGACUUCAAUAUAUAUAUAGAUAUAUAUAUAUAUAUAUAAGCAUUUCCUAGAUCAAUAUUAUUCUCAGUAACUGAAUAUUGAAGCUGACCAUCACAUUUAAUAAUAAAUCAAUAUCAGGAAUGUUGUUGAGGAGUAUUUUGAUAUUUACAAAAGUGUUCAAAGUAAAAAUUGAUUUCUUAAAACCCAUUAGCUAGCGCACAUAAUAAUGGGGAGAAAAUUUUAGACUACGAAUAGUCCCACCCAUUUAAUAAUAUUCUUCAAUCAAUUAUGUUUACUUCAAAAAAAAAAAACCAUCUCUUUAUUACUUUCUAACUAUUCAUAUUAAUGUGUUCAUAAUUAUGAAGAACCGGUGUAAUUUAUAUGAUGUAGGAAGCACAUUAGUCAAAAUCAUCAGAAUCUCAAAAUUUCGUGAUGUUGUGCCAAAUAUGCAAACCAAAGCUUCCUACAUUCUUUGUACGUUUGUGUUAGUUACAAGCAAUCACAGUGGUAAACGAAAAAAAACGAAUUAAAACACAUGAGGAGAUUUAAAUGAAAAUGUCUUAAUCAUAUAUCGCAUGUAAGACCUUUUGUACUCAAAACUGAUCAGCACCCAUUCUGCCCGCCGUGUGAUCACAUCUUGAAGGGAGUGUUGCUUCAGCAUUUUUAUCAUUUUUACUAUUUCUAGGAUCCAUUUUGUCACCUCCCUCCCUCCCCCCGGUUUCUAAAAUAAUUAUAUAAUAACCAUAUAAUUAUUGGUUGUUCUAGCAAAUAAAAAAAAUAUAUAUAUAUAUAUAUAUAUUAAUCUUUUAAUAACAUUAUCACUUUGUCAAAAUAAAAAAUCUCCUCAUUAAAUAAUUAUAUUAUAUAUAUUCAUUUAUUUAUCCAAAUAAAAAAGUAUGAAGUCAAAUAGUACACAAUAAUUUAACUAAUUUGAAUUGGUUUAUUUUUAAUGAAACAAAUAACAUUCCUAAAUGCUUCUCUUGAUCCUUAAUUUAUUGAUAAUUUUGUCAAUUUAAGGUCGGCUAUAUAUUGAUUAAAUUACAAGCUUAGACUAUCGAAAGCUGGUUACAGUUAUGGAGGCAGGAAAAAUUUUAUUGUACCAGAAAUUUUUUCUACAACAGUCCAUGCAAAGUAAACAUUUGUAAGGAAAUUGGAGAAUAAUUACAAAGCCAACUAAAUUUUAUGAGAAUCAAUUUGGAGUUUUUGUUAAUCGCCAUUUUGCGUUCAUACAAAGCAAGUGUAGAUACCGGCACAAUAAGCUAAAUGCAAAAUCCAAUGUAGGACAGUGGGGUUGGGACAACGAAAUGGGGAAAUGGGAAUCUAGGUAAUUGCACUGAACCUUAAACUGAGAGUACGGGCACUUAAAAUUUUUAAAGUGUCUAAUAAGUUUCAGCUAAAAAGGAAAUAGGCUGUAAAAUUGCUAAAUUCAUUUUGAUUUCUAAAUUCAUAAAUAACCUUAAAAGUUCUCUGAUACAACUUGUCAAUAAUGGUGAAAAUUCAAUUUCAGAAUGACAAUUCUUAUUAGUGAAAGAAUCAAAAUGAUUUUUAGUUGUUUAUAAAUAGAUCACUAGAUCAACAAAUAAUUGAAGACUGGCUUGGCUAUUGAACCAUACGCGGCAAUUCGAAGACUGAAACUUAACUCUGCCGUUCGAAGUAAGCAACUCAGGUGCCCAAAGGCUGUCAAGCCAUCAAGACAAUACGAAGAUACAACAUCAAUAAUAAUUACAUAUUACACCUACCCCAAUAAGAAAUUAGUUAAUACAGUCCUAGAAAGAAAUUUACAAACCCAUGCUGUAGGAAUAAUUAAUUAAUUUAUACAGUUCGGUACUCAUUCCUCUUCUGUUUCAAAUCCAUAUCCACUGCUCUGCCAUUUAUUACUACGCAAGGUAUAUGGGUUAGCAAGUGCCGACAUUGUCCUCCAUUCUUUAUGUGCCUUUCUUCUAUCAAGGGACAACCCAAGAUCUCUAAUCGCAAGAAAAAUAUUUCAAAGUAAAAAGUGAUUUCUUAAAAUCUAUUAGCUAGUGCACAUAAUAAAAGGCCAUUCAUGGUAAAUUUUAGAUUACAAGUAGUCCCAAUAAUAUUCUGCAAUCAAUUCCGUUUAUUUUAAAAUAAAAGAAAUCCAUCUCUUUAUUACUUUCUAAUUAGUCAUAUUAAUGUGUUAAUAAUUGUGAAGAACCAGCGUAAUUUAUAUGAUGUAGGAAACCCGUUAGGCAAAAUAACCUGAAUUUUUUAAAGUAGGGGCUAGACAUAUUGGGCAUAACCUCAGUUUCUGUUACUUCUUUGACCCUGCCUAAGCUCUUUUAUGGGCUAAUAUCAAAAUUUCGUGAUAUUGUGCCUAAAGAGCUUCCAAUUCAAGGAGCUCCCCUGUUUUUGACUGAAACAUAUGUAAUCCGAAAAAUUUAUAAUUAGAUAAAUCAUUCAAAAUCUCCCUGAAUCUAACCCACAUUUCUAUGGUUUAAUAACAUAUCACAAAGGUGCCUAAUAUAAUGAAAUUAGCACUAGUUCACGAGAUUGCCAUUAUAUAUUACAAGUCUUUUUAUGAUGUAGAUUAGAAGGGAAAAUACGAAGGACAUAUUAUAUAUUAUAUAUGAUUGAAUUUAAUCCAUGAUAAUUAGACAAAAUAACACUAAUCUAGCUAACUAAUCCACCCAUCAUAAUAAUUUGAUUUUCAUUAUUUUAUUGUGUCCAAUCAUGCUAAUUUAAUAAAAAAAAUACAGAACACUUGAGGAUUUAGAUAUUCAACAACUUUGGCCAAGUUUGAAAAAGAUUAGAGCUUCCUUCAUGCUUUGUGUUCUUAUGUUACACAUGAUCAUAUUAUGUUACAUUUGACAGAAAACUGAAAAUUAUUGAAAAAAAAAAAUCUUAGUUAGCACAUGAUCAAAAUGAGAGAUUAAUGCACACACAUCACAACAAUGUUUCAUUCAUUUUGAAUCUAUAUUUACAAAACUUGUAUCCGAUGGUUUACAUUUGUUUAAUCUAACUGCUAUGACAUGUGUACUGUCAAAACGCUACAGCUGCCAUCUCUGUUUGUCCUUGUUGCAUCCUUGAUCUUAUAUUAUCCUGGAGAUUAUUGAAUGUUCUUCUCAUUCUCAUGUGCUCGAGGGUCCUUUCUUGAGACAUUUCAGCAAACACCUGAUUCAUCCUAUUAAACAUUAGCAUCAUUAAUCAGUAAAUGAUGUAAGGUAGCCCUGUUUCGUGAAGUCAACAUAAAUCAGUCACCUUAGAUUUUCUGAGUCUCAGAGCACAAUGGGUGAUGAUUUGAUGAGAAAUAUUAAUAUGCCUUCAUCCCCUGAAUUAGCUAGAGCUGGUUGUCAUUUUCUUCUUUCUUUUGGUACGGUUUUAGAUUUUUAAUCAAUCAGAUUCAGCUGCAUGUUUGCUUUUAGUCCAAACCAAAAUAAGAUAUUAAGUACUUUUGCCAGAAUAGACGCAACCAAAAUUCUAUGGGAUCUGUAGUUCCUAGUUCAUGCAGAAGCGACCGAAUGCUUCCUGCAACUCAGGCAGAUAGAACCUUGGUUGAUUCGUUUUUCUUCAUCUGAAAUUCUACCUAAUGCCUAUCCUCUUAAUUGGUUUAAAUUCUUCUUUUUUUUCUUUGAAUUGUUGAUUUAUAAUGUCUUGUAUGCAACAUUUAUAAUUUCGGAUGAUGAUAAUCUUGUUUAAGAAGAGAUUUCUAGUUACGGCAGCAGCGUUCUUGAUCAUGGCAUCACAAGCACGUGCUCUGGUUUGCUUAGUUUCCUUUUUGUCUCUGAUAUUUUCUUGGCAUUGUGGGAUAUUGUUUCUCUUUUGAUUUUCUGUUUUUGUUUGCUUAGUUUCCUUUUUAUGUCUGAUAUUUUCUUGGCAUUCUUGUUCUCUCUUAUAAUAAAGUGCUUUUGAUAAAUUCGCCUGGUCGGUUUACUUCACUAACCAUUAAUGAGCAAAUCCUCCCAGUGACUCUCAAACUCUUCUACACAAUUAUAAUAAUUUCAGUUUUACAUAUACAAAAAUGAACAGCUCUCAAACAUAUCAUUUGAUAAUGACAAAAACAAUAAUUCACUCCAAUAAAUCUCAUAAUAAAUACAUGAUCUACAUUGCAAGUCUUUUUAGGACGCAUUCAAAGAGAAAACAUAAGGAAUGGCAAUGCAAGAAUAUGGAAUCAGAAUAACAGUGAUACAAAGAGAAAAAAAAAGGGGAUGGUCGGGUUGGGUUGCUUGCAAAAUUAUUGGUGCGGGGGUCUACUUGUUUUUGUGUCACUUUAUUAAUUAAUUACCGAAGCAAACACGUCAUCAUUUGAAAAAGAAUCACUAGCACCAGCUUAUGAAAAAUAAAUUUGUAAGACAUAUUAAUUUGAAAAUAUUUUGGAAUUUCAGUCUAAGUUGAUUUGUCUAAUUAUGUAUGCACAAACUAGCUUGACCACUUCUUUCAUAUUGAUACCUAUAAAUUGCAACCUUAUUUUACGUUGAUGCACAAUCUAACUUAACAAAAAAAAUAUUCAAAUUGUCACAAAAUAUUUUCUUCUUAAUAUAUAUAUAUAUAUAUAUACAUACACACAGUAGUUAAUUUUCCUUAUUCUUCACUCCAGGAUCCAGCUGCAUACCCCUCUUUUUUGUCGUUAUGUUGCUCAACCGUUAGAUUUUAAUAACGUUAAUCUAACGGUUGAGAUUUGUAAAUGAAUAAUGAAGUGGUGUUUGGCUACUAUCUGAAAAUAUCGGCAGCCAUCGACGGCGAAUCUGAACAAAGGCAACAGGAGGUGAUCGUGGUGAAAUUGUUUUUUGGCAUGCGAAUCUAACGACUUUCAAAUACGUUCAUUCAAAUAUUAAAUGCAAUUCAGGCAAAUAGAAACUUGGUUGAUUGAUUGCUUUUCAUGUGAAAUUCUACCUAAGGGCUAUCCUUUUAAUGGUUUGUACUGUCUUAUAUGCAAAUUAAAUUCGGAAUUCGGGUGAUAAUAAUCUUGAUUUAGAACAGAUUAGGUAACAUGUGGCAUUCUACAUUCUUGCAAUGCCAUUUCUUUUUAUGGCAGCACCAUUUUUUAUCAUUGUUUGUGUGGACCUAUUUGCUGAAUUCAAAACUUGGCGUGUUAAAACGGCAUCGUUUUGUCCAUUAAGAUGUUUCAAGUUGUCCCCGGCUGGACAUAUGACUCACUUAAUGAUACCAAAACGGCGAGGCAUGAAGGUGUUUCGGCUAAGGGCUUAAGUUCUGCAUGUGACAAGCACGUGAGAGAAGAAUCAAGUUAGUUAUAAGUUGUUAUACACGUGGCUGGAUCUGGUGCAAUCUGGGGUAAUGAACAGCCGUUAUAUAAGCUGAGCUUUCAGGCAGUUUCAGCAAGAUGUAAAGAGCUUCUAGAGAGAAUGAAGAGAGAGAAAAUGUAUCAUCUUAUUCCUUGUUAGUUUCUCCGUGUGAGCUCUGUAAAAUACUUUGAUUCAUAAAUAAAACUCAUUUUAGUCGAUUCUCCCUUGGAUGUAUGUUCUGCCUCAUUGCACAGCCGAACCACGUAAACAGUGCUGGUUUCUUUUUUUUUCAUUUGUGUCUAUCACUAAAAAGCAGAGCACUUGCUUGAUUGAAUAAUGUCAUAUUACAUCACAUAAACUCUCUCAAUUAUUGAAAAAGAAAAUCGUAAAAGAGAUGUGUUGAAUUGAUAACUGAAAAAAUCUUAAAAAAUCUUCAAAGUUUUCAAUUAUUGAUAACUGAAAAUUAUUGAAAAAAAAAAUCUUAAAAGAGAUGUGUUGAAUUGUGAAAUUAAAACUGAGUUUCAGACAUUUCUGACAUGUCGGUUUAUAUUCUUGAUUGUGCAUGCCCUGUCGGUUGCUUGAUGAAACAGGAGAAUAUUGACAUCUGUGUAUUAUCGUUUACUUCCUGCAAUUAAAUCACAUGUUGUUCACGUGAUUCCAUUUGCUCUAUGCGGCACAUUUGGCAGUCGUUUAGGUCACUUACUGAAGCACGGGUUAAGUACUUGAUUCAAGGUUGUUAACUGACCUUUACAAGGCGGGAAAAACAAACCCGGAAUGCAGCUAGUGAGUGGGGGACUUUUCUAGACUCUUCAUGAUAUGUAUAUAUAGUCUUAGAGGCUAUAGUUGAGACAUAUGAAAAGCUUGUAACUUCUUCUUAAUGUUUGUAGUUUGAUCUCGGUGAUGGAGAUAAGAUUGCUGCCCUGUUCUCCAGGCCGAACCACUUAAAAUGUGCCUCUGUUUUGCUUGAUGACUACCAGUGGUGAGAAAACAGCUACAGAACAAAUCAAGCUUGAUGACUCAAAUAUUAGGGAAGCCAUAGUCAAGGCAUCUGGUUUAUGCAUCAACAGUGGUUCGUGGACUAGAAUUCUUAGCUAUUGCCGCUUCACAAUUGCACUGGAAGAAAGCGAAUUUGAUCGAGCUUUGGAUCGCAUAGCUAAAUUCAAAAGCAUCGUACAAAUAGUUAACUCAAAAACGGUAUUGUCAUUUGUCAUGAUUUAUUUCUAUUGCCUGAUGAUGAUACCCAUCACGCCUUAGUUGUCGUGAAUAAAUCUAAAAUCAAAUUGAACUGGCUUUUACUGGUUAGCAACAUUUGUGACGUUUUGAGAUUAUAAUAUAUGACAACACUGAUUAGUGUUGUCUCCCAUGUGAAUUGAGACAAAAAUUAUUUUCCCAAUUGCGCUUUCAUUUGAACAAUUCCACUGUAGAUUUAUAAAAUAAUGAUCAAAUUGUGUUUUAUAUUAAGUUACGAGUAAUUGGUUAAAUAUUAAUACAAAACUAUUUUAAGUAACAUGUGGCAUAUUCUAAUUCUAGCCAAGCUUCCAACUAAGAUUCCCAAAUCAAAAGAAUUUCAAUCUUCAGAACAUUCUGCAAAACGUUUAGUUUCUACGCAGUGCUAGAAUUUUCCCUAAGUUUCUAUCGCAAAGACUUCUAAAGAACUAUUCAGAUAUCGAGCUAUAAUCCAGUCUAAAGUGUAUAUAUCCCUCUAAUUCACCUCCCUCCAUUUCACCAGAAAAUCAACAAACACUUAGCUUCAAACAAACACUCUAAAAAAGCUAGCUAGCUAUUCAGAUGGCAAAACCAAGAAUUCUUGCAAUGACAAUGUUGUUUCUUGUUAUGGCAGCAACAUUGAUGAACAUGGCAUCGCAAGCAAACGCUCUGAUGUCGUACACACAAUCACCUUUCAGGGUUCUUGAACAAACCCCUUUAACAAUCGCAAAACGAGCUGAUCAUCAUCAAACUCUAGCCCCGGCGAGAACAGACUAGAUGGAGACACCAACAGCCCACGUGAUCACGCUCGACAUUCCAGGGAUGAAGAAAGAUAAUGUAAAGAUUGAAGUUGAAGAGAACAGAGUACUGAGAGUGAGUGGGGAGAGGAAGAGUAAUGAUUAUUACAAGGAGGGAGUUGAAGGAGAGAAAUGGCACAGAGCUGAGAGGACAUUUGGCAAGUUUUGGAGGCAGUUUAGGAUGCAUAUGAGUGCUGACUUGGAUCAUAUUAAGGCUCACAUGGAAAAUGGGAUUCUGAGGGUCACAGUGCCAACGCUUGCUGAGGAGAAGAAGAGGCAGCCUAAGGUUAUUAACAUUGAUGAAGAGUCUGGUAAUUCUUCCAAUGAAGAUAUUAAGGCUACCAAGGCUCAAAUGUAAUUGAUUAAAGAAAGAAGUGAUUGCUUUGCUUGAUGUGCUAUUUGUUUAUGAUCUUUUCUUGGUUUUGUUGUGAGAUGUUUCUAUUUGGAUGCUCUAUUUAAUGUAUUUUGAUGGGUUUUUGAGGAAGGCUUGUAUGUAUUGACAACAAUAAAGUGCUUUUUAUAAAUCCUAGUCCUCCAACACUAAAAGAAAUUAAUACGCUUGGUUUAUAGUUAAUAAAAAUAUAUAUAUUUUUAAAAAAAGUCUUUUUCUUUGGCAUAUAGUAUGCGUUUUGAGGGAAAAAAAAUUAUCCCACUCCUAAUUCGUCCUCUUCUGCGAUAUUAAUGUGUUAACACGAAGAUUCAUUGUAAUUGCAACAAUUUUGACGAAUCCAAACGUUCAAUAACUGUUAAAUUGUAUUUAUAAAUACUAAUAGCGAAGGUACAGAAACGAUUAAUUCACGAAGUUGCUUAAAGUGCAUUAAAUUAGAGAGUAUAAAUAAUUGUGUGAUACAGUCCAGCCUUCAUCUGCUUAUAAUUAGCAACCAAAAACCACUUUGCAACACCAUUAAAAAAACAUUUUAACAUUAUUGCUGAGGGAAGAGGCAGCUUAGGCUUAUUAACUCGUAUUAUUAAUGCUGAUGACGCAGCUGGUAAUCCUUUUGGUGAAUAUAUUAAGGCAGCUGAAGCUUAAAAUUAAUUAAGCCCACUAAAGCUUAAAACUAAUUCUUCUGGUGACGAUACUUUGCUUAGUUCGCUUUUUGUUUUUAAUUUUUUUGGGGCUAACGUUUUGCUUAUUUUGCUUUUAAAAUUCUAUUCGCGUUGCUGUGGAAUAUUGUUUCUCCUUCGAUUUUCUGUUUUUGUUGUUAUCGGAUUUGAUGAUGGUUUAUAUGUACGAAGAUUAUGUAAUAAAGUGCUUUUGUAAAAAUACUAAGGUAAUAUACAUUACACAUUUGUACUCAAUAAGAAAUCAAUUCAUUAAUAUAAGCAUUAAUACCCCUGGUUUAUUGUUAAUGAAAAUUAAAAAAGAAAAAAAAAAGUCUUUUUCUUUGGCCUUUAUUAUGGAUUUUAAGAGGAAAAAAAUUUAUCCCACUCCAAUUCAUGAAGAUAUUCUCUUUUCUGUCAUAAAGAUCCAUUGCAGUUGGUGAAUUCAAAUAUUCAGUAACUGAUGAAAUUGUAUUUAUAAAUUCAUACUAAUAGCAAUUGAAGAUUAUAAUUAAUUUUGUAAUAUGAUCUAGCCCUCGUGUGUUUAAUUAGCACUCAAAAACCACUUUACAUAAAUGAGGUUUCAACAGCUGAGAAAGAGAUAGCCAUUAUACAUUACACAUUUGCACUUAAUAAGAAAUCAAUUCAUUAAUAUAGCCAUUAAUACGCCUGGUUUAUUGUUAAUGAAAAUUAAAAGAGAAAAAAAAAGGUCUUUUUCUUUGGCCUUUAUUAUGCAUUUUAAGAGGAAAAAAAUUUAUCCCACUCCAAUUCAUGAAGAUAUUCUCGUUUCUGUCAUAUUGAUGUGUUAAUAUGAAGAUCCAUUGCAGUUGGUGAAUUCAAAUAUUCAGUAACUGAUGAAAUGGUAUUUAUUUAUAAAUUCAUACUAAUAGCGAUUGAAGAUUAUAAUUAAUUUUGUAAUAUGGUCAAGCCCUCGUGUGUUUAAUUAGCACUCAAAAACCGCAUUACAAUAGGCAUUAAAAGAACAUUAUAACGUCAUUGCUGAUGAGUUCUGGUGAAGAUAUUAAGUUAAGGCCACAAAAAUCGAAAUGUACGUAGCUUCGUUUGUUUUUUGUUUUUGAUUUUUUUUGGGGGGCAAAUGCUUGGCUUCGUUUGCUUUUUCGUUUUUGAUAUUUUAUUGGCUUUAUUGUGUGGCAUGUUCUUGUUUUCUUUUGAUUUUCUGUUUUGGUUGUUAUGGGAUUUGAUGACGAUGUACAUGUACAAAGAUUAUGUAAUAAAAUGCUUUUGAUAAAUUGUGGAACAAAAGAAGAACACUAACGAACUAAUUAAUUACUAAUAAGAACAUUAACAAUUUUUGCCGAAGUCUGAUGAAGAGAAAUAUUACACAUAAGUAACGGUACCGCGGAAGGAAAAAAUAAAAGAAACUAAAGUUUAUUUCAACAGCUAAGAAUGAAAUAGGCAUAAGAAAUUAACCCAUCAAUUAAUUAAUUAAUACAGUCCCCUGCUACUAAAUAAUGCGAGCCCCUUACUGUACUUAACAUUUUUCUUUUUAAUAAUUUAAAACAGUUUUCAACUGAGAUUUGAAUUUUAAAACUACAUACACAAAUACACCUGAUUUUAAAGAAAAAAAAUUUCUAAUAAUAAAAUAUUUUACAUAUAUAACCAUAUGGCGAAAAAAUAAAUAUAAGAAACUGAAGUUUCAACAACUGAGAAUGAGAUAGGCAUAAGAAAUUAAUUCAUUAAUUAAUUAAUAGAGUCCUCCUUUGCUAAGCUAAAUAAUGCGAGCCCAUUGUUCUUUUUAUUUCGAAAACCCAUUAAUCACCAACACAUAAUACACGCCCAACUUUUUUUUUAAAAAAAACCUAAUAAUAAAAUAUUUCAGUCGUCCUCUGUUGAGUCGUCCUCUGUUGAGUCGUCAUAAAAAACCCAUUUACCAGCUAUGACAGCAAGAGGAAUAUGGGUUAACAAGUCCCAAUAUUGUCCUCCAUCCUUUCUGCACUUCUUUUCUAUCAACGGACAAUCCACGAUUCUUAAUUGCAAAAGUGAGGAAGGCAGGCCCUUCUCCGGAAAGUAUUUGAGCUUGGGACAAUGAUAGAGACCCAAGUGAGUGAGGUUUUGAAGAUCAACAAUUGAAGAAGAUAGGCGUUCCAGAUUUGGAAAAUUGUAAAUCCACAGAGAUGUUAGAGAGGCAGGAAGAGGAAGCGCGGUCCCUAAUCUUUUGUCCUCUAGUGGAAAUGACACCAUGUCGUCAUCGCAUCCUAUGAUUUCAAGAUGUCGCAGACAGGAGAAUCUGUGAAAUCCCCGGCCCCGCUCAAUCAUUGACUUCCAAAUCUCCAUAUUACCCUCAAUCCAAAGUGAAUGAAGGUUGAUGGGAAGGCCAUCUUCUUCUUCAAGGCUUGGAAGCUCACCUCCUUUUCCUAUUGUUAAUUGUUGAAGAGAGGUCAGAUUGUGCAAUCCCUUGGGUAAGGCCUCUAGUCUCUUACAAUCAAGUAUCGUCAGCCUCGUGAGUUUCGCACAAGGGAAUGCCCCUUGGGGAAAGGACACUAGAUUUCCACAAUACGCUAUGCUAAUCUCUUGAAGCUGGCGGAGAUUAUGUAAACCACUCGGUAAAAUUUUCAGAUUUCCACAAUUAGAAAUGUCGAUUGUUUCAAGAGAUGUGUUGUUGUCCAACCUUUCUGCUAUUGACUCCAGCUUUGAACAUCCGCGAACAGAAAGGGACUUAAGAGACGGAGGUAGAUUGCCAACUUCAAGGGACUCAAGCGUGGCAGGUAACUCAUUUUUUGAAAAUAUACAUGUCAGUGAUGGACAGCUGUUAAUACGCAACUGCUCAAGAAGAGAUGAGGUGUACCUUCUAUUGCUGCUGCUGCUGCUACACUGGAUGCCCUCUUCCACUGUCAAAGUCCUUAUAUUACUGCAAUUGUUAAUCACCAACUGCUUAAGGCUCGGUGGUAGCUGGACUCCAGCAAUAUAUGUCAACGAAUGGCAAAAGCAAAUCUCCAAGAUCUCGAGAGAUGAAUUGGUGUCGCACAUCCAUGCCUCUGGUAAUGAUUUCAGUGCAUCACAUUCCCUAAUCUCAAUUGUCUUCAACUUGGAAGGCAGAGCAACCUCAGGAAAGGAAACAAGGGAACUGCACUUGUAGAUUUCUAUCUCUCUCAAGGAACUGAGACUGAGAGAUGAUUGUGGCAGCUUCACAAGGCCUUCGCAAUAUCUCAAUCUUAGAUAUUCGAGUCUGCAUGACAACUCGCAGAGCUGCUGUUGUUGGCCUUUCUCUUCCUCCGCCACCAAGGAUUGAAGUUUGGGACACCGUCUAAUCGUCAGUCUUCUGAGAGAGCAAAUGUCUUGCAGUAAUUCGUUAUGACUCUUCCAUAUAUAUGUCUGCUCUUUCAUUUCAUUUAUCUUCAAUUCUUCCAAUUUUGGUAGUCGCGGCUUUAAUGGCCCUGCGAGAAACACUUGAUUUGAUCUAUCUCUACAAACCACUGAAUUCUGUGAGCCGAGAUGAUCAGUUGCACUUCUCCACACAACCUUUUUACAUCCACCACUCUGUAAUUUGCAAAGAGCUGGAAGACUCGAAACUGAAACUGACAAUUCUUCACAUCCUUUAAUAACAAGCUUCUCCAAUGCAGGAAGGCGUUCUGGAAAUGUUCCUUGCAGCUUAGAACAUCUUAAAAUGUGAAGCUCUCUCAAUUUAGGAAACCGUUCAACUCCCUGACUGGAUCCAUGAGGAAUCCAGUCUUCCCAUCCUUGCAUGUCUUCAAAAUGAAGAGUCUCCAAGCAUGGAAAAGGAAUUGGAGUAUCAUUCCCAUAGAACUCUGAACCCAACCUCUUUACACUAGUCAUUCCACAUACUGCAAGAUGCUUUAGAGAGGGUAGUUGCCCGACUGACGGCAGGGUAGGACACAUGCCACAAUAUUCAAAUUUUAAGGUCACCAACUUUGAGAAUGAGGAAUCUCCGAACCAAGUUGGAAAUUUUGCACCUCUAUAGCCGCUGAUACAAAAUUGUUCCAAAUUUUUAUUGGGUUCUAGCAUGUCAAGCACGUCCUUUUCAAUUUCCGCCUCCCUUGAAGACGAGCCAUCGGUACUGAGUGUCCAUCGAAGCAAUAAUUCUCUAAGAUUCUUCUUUCCAUCCAAUUGAGCCUCCUUUGCAUCACCAACGUCUUUUACAUUCUCCAAUUUUGAAAUGUUAAGUGUCCCAUGAAGGUGCGUCAACAACUUUAGCUCUCGUAACCCGGAACCACUGCCUUUUCCCACAACAAAAUUACACAACGUCUGAAGACUAGUCAACCUACCAAUUCCUACUGGCAUUUCCUCCAACGACUUCGUAUUUGAAUUCUUAAGAUGAUGCAAUUUGGCGAGGUUUCCCAUGUCUGCACACAACUUCUUCAGCCGAUCACAAUCUUCCAACAAAAGACUAUGCAAAUUGUAAAGCUUGUUGACUGAUUCAGGCAGAGUUCUAAUCUCAGUUGUAGACAGGUUAAGGUACCUUAAAUACCUCAAAUCACCAAUUGAAUCCGGCAGCUCAGGGAUGCAGUAUCCACGCAAAGAGAAGACCCUCAAGCGUCGGAGUUUGAGCAACUUAGGAAGAAUGCUAGGAGCCAAGAAGCCAGGCGAACUUUUUGUCAACAUUACUGGUAAAAAAGUUCUCAAAUGCUGGAUAUCAUACAAGUCCC
Molecule: long non-coding RNA, 98243 nt
Filed under: Citrus x clementina
Lineage: Eukaryota; Viridiplantae; Streptophyta; Magnoliopsida; Sapindales; Rutaceae
Description: Citrus clementina (C. clementina) long non-coding RNA (CCLE_LNC002249)
Source: RNAcentral